This 104225-nucleotide long non-coding RNA is filed under the name Citrus x clementina. Its description in RNAcentral is "Citrus clementina (C. clementina) long non-coding RNA (CCLE_LNC002480)". The record is from RNAcentral. Lineage: Eukaryota; Viridiplantae; Streptophyta; Magnoliopsida; Sapindales; Rutaceae.
GUGGUUUGCAAGCUAGCUAAGUUAAUCCAAAAACAAUACUCUAGACAAAGAUGAGCAAAUUGAAGGCGACAAAUGCAAAUUGGAUUUCCAUGAAUAAUUGUUAGGCUGGUGGAGAUAUUCUUAAAAGGGCAUUAAGCUAUCUUAUGGAAUUGGAAAGUUAUUAUUGCUUGAAAGCAAGCAGCAUCUUCGUUGCGAAGGCUUUCCCCACCUGAUAAAAUGCUGAGAUUGUUACCGGCCCCUUAAUUAUUUAUUAACUCAGGUAUUUAUUAUCAAUACAUCAUCUUAUUCACCAUUUUGGCUAUAUAUAAAGAUUAAAAUUUCUAACAGUUGUUUCGGAUUCUUGUGUACUCAGGUUAAUAGGGCAAAUAUCAGAAUGAAGAUUGCUCAGUGCAACCGAUAGAGCAAGGAUGAUAGUUGUGAGAAAGAUUGUUGGCAAGACAAAUAGAGUCCUCCAUUUGGAGAAAUAUCAUCCUCAAAUUUGAAUUGUCGAGCAUGUGAGGUGAAGCUAAAGCCUUAAUAAUGAGACCUUCCUGUGGAAGUUUCAUUUGAAUGAAUUGAACGUUCUUAGUGAGUGAGAAAUUAAGUAUAUAUCAGCGAUUUUGGUCGUCUGUGAAUGUUUCCCUUCAAUAUUAAUACACUGGCAUUUCUUAGUAAAUUCGCUUCACGUCACUUCCUCCUUGUUGGUGGGACUAGUAAACAAAUGUCAUUUCUUAGUACAUUUUGAGAAUUUUGAUUCCCAAAUAAGCCUGCAGAACGGUGUAUGGUGGGAUUAGCUGCAGGAUUCUUUGCCAAAAUUCCUUUUUAUUCCUUUGUUCACUUAUUCGUUAUAAAUAAAGUAAAAUUAGAAUAUUGUUCCGUUUACUGUCUAAGCUGGUCUAACAUUUGUUUAAUUUGGGCAAUUUUUAAUGCCUAACAGGUUAUCUGUGACAAACCCAUCGGUCACUAACAAUUUUGAAGUUAUUGGAGUAGCACGGCUUUGAGGUCUCUCCCUCCCUCUUUUACGUAUUUGUCUAUCGAUCGACAUGUCUAUAUAUACAUUGAUAGACCAACUUACUCUUGUUUUAAUGUUUUGUUUGUUAAACUUGACUGGGGAAUGUUUAUUUGUCUCAUAUGAUGUCAAUGUGGUUCCAAUUGAAGUGUAUAGAUCUGUCACCUCAAAGUCUGAUUUCAAUUUUCCUUUACUUCAUCAACUAGCAUCCUUUCCAAGUCCAGAUACUUACCAAUAGUGAGACUUUGCUACGGAAGUACAAUUUCUCUUGUUUUACAGUUAAUUAUGUAAGAAUAGUUUUAAAUUUACAGAAUUUUGAAAUAGCUCUCUUAAGGAAAUGCGAGUGGUGAAUAUGGUUCCAACUUUUAAUAGGCUUAAUAGGCCCAUUUGUUAAGCCACAGUGAUUGCGGUCUAAAUUCUUCUUUACUGUCUAUAUGUGUUGGAGUUUGUCUAUUGUCCAACUUCUCAAAUCGAUUCCAUGCAGGGUUUUGAAUGUCUAAUUAGGAGAAAGAUUAACGGAUGACCUUUUGAAGAAGGCUUACACAACAGGCCAUCUCAGGAUGUCAUGGCUCAGCUCAAAAGUCCCCAGGUGGUUAAUGACAAUGUGCCAUUGUUUCUGGGCUUGGUCUCCUUGGCAUCAAACAAGAUAAUGUUGACUCUAUUAAAGGGGAAAUAAGGGCGACUAAAGCGCGAAGAAAGAGGAUAGUCCGGAGGAAGGUGACUGCAUAAAUUUGUUGGAGUUAAUGUAGUCAAUUGCCUAAUUUUGCUGCCUGUCGAAGAGACACAUCAUGGAAGUCCUCAUCAAACUCUGAGACACCUAAGAAAUAGUAUGAGGUGGUGGUAUUCCCCUGGUGUUAAUUUCCUGGCAAGUGUGGUUCACAGAUAGAGGGAUUCUUUUCUUGAUGUCUAAAUACCGUAUGUGAUACAACGUCGUAUAUUCUAAUUUUCCUUGAGUUAAAUUCUAGUCAGUUAGGAAAGUUAAUUUUGUUUUCGCUAUGGAUUGUUUCCUAGAUAAAAAUAGUUUCCAUGUUUCUUUGGGGUCUUAUUAACUCUCUGUAACCCAGUUCAAGUUUGCAAAUUCUAUUUCAGAUUUCUCAUAUAGUGUGCCUUUGUCACUUCUGUGAUACACUUUUGAUCACAAGUUUCCAUUUGAAGUAACCAAUAUUCUUUAUAGACUAAUUAUCUAAGGAUUAUUUUAUACAAAAAAUCAAAACUUUAAUUAAUUGAUCAUACUUAACUUGGCUUUUGUUUGAUAUUACUAGCUGUUGUGAGAACCAAAAAAAUAGCAGAAAGUUGACAAUGUGCAGUAAAUGUAUGACUUUUAAAUAAUAAUUUAAUAAAAUUAAUAAAGAUAUUAUAAAUUUUUUAAUAAUAAAGUAUGAGAUCAAAUCAAAUUAAUUUUUAAGUCAAAAUUGUUUAAUUAUGUAGUUUAAAAGUAUAGUAUCCAACCUCAACACAAUAGAGAGAUUUCUAUUUACCAAACUCUACCCAACUUUGGUUGUACUGACUCGAUCAUGCAAGUCCAUACUCGACGCGUUGACCAUACAAGAUGUUACUCAACUUUAACAAAUCUUACUCAAACUUUGCACGUUUAGCAUGCCGAAUGGAAUAUGAUAGUAGAUGAUGUGAUAGAUAUUAUAGGAAUAGUCGUAACAAAAUUAUAUUUAGUACUUUUUUAUAUUUUAUGUGAUGAACAGAUGUAGUAUAUGAAUGGAUUAUAUUACAAAUUUUAGUGUUAUCAUAAUUAAAAAAUUGAAUUAUUUUUUAUUAUUGAAAAACUGUAAUAUGUUAAAUAACAGUUAUUUUUAUUAAUUUUUUUUAAUGAAUUAUACUUUUAAAUUAUAAUCGAAAAUUCUUAUUACUGAACUAAUAAAAAAUUAAUUAGCUCAAGAGAUAAAUUCACUUAGUGUAGAACGAAAUGGUGUGUUAUUUUUAUGUGGGAUCCACAUCCUUUCCACAUCAACCUCAACAUCCAAACAUGAAAUUGGACUAAAAAUAGUUCUUUCCCAUGUAUUUACGUAACCUCCUCCCACUAAACGCAAAUAUUUAUUCUUGAUUUUACUAACAUAAUUUUCUCCCAUUUCCAUAUUGUCCGCGUUGAGUGCAUGUAAUCCACAAGUUUAAUUAAUUUUUUUUUUUUUGAGAGAGGUAUGUUAAAAUGAAUAUAUCACAUUUUUUUCUUUUUUCCUUUUUUUUGCGUGAGUGAUGGCUUCGUUGAAUGACAGUUGGCUGAUAAUAAGUUAUCUUUUAAUUUUGUUUUUGAUUUAAUAGAAACUAUUAAUUUUUGUAGUUUCGGUAGAUGAAAUUUCGAAUCAAAUAUUAAUAUUGUUAAAGUACGCAACCCAAUAUUUACUUAAAUUACAAAAAAGAUUAAUUGCUUUGCAUAAAAAAGAAGUGAUCACUUGAUUUAACUUCCUUUACUAAAUUUACGAUUUAAAAUCCAAAAUAAAAAAAAGAGUUUAUUAUUGAUUAUCUUUUUCCCAAAUUUAAGCUAAGACAGUAAUAUGUCCAAAAUACCCUCCACGUUAUCCUAAAACUUUAUGAAUUCCCCCGUUCCUCUCAACAUCAUCUCUUCCAAAUCUUUCUUCCCCAAAAAACCAGCCAUGGCUUCAUAUUUAGUUACCUCAACACUCCAAUAUUGGCUUGUAAACAGCAGCGGUUCAACCUCUAGGCAACUUAGGUGGUUGCAUAGGACUCCGCUUUAUAUGAAAGCCCUACAAGAUGAUUAUUUUGUAUAUAAAAGAGGAAAAUGAAUUUAAAAGUCAUUAUUAUUCAUUUAAUUUAUUAUUAUUUUGUAAUUAUCUUUUUCUAAAUAAACUAUCAAAUUCUUAUCAAGUUUAUUUAAUGUAGUACUUAAUUGUUUUAAUUUCUACAAAACCAAUAAAUUAAUAGUUUCAAUCCUAAAAAUUCUCUAUUUCAUUGUUAGAAUUAAUAAGUUAUAUUUCAAAAGUUUUAUAUUUAUUUUAAACCUCUAUAAAAACCCCACAUUUUAUUACUUAUCCAUUAAAUUUUUCGUUCAACAAUCAAGACAUCUUGGUGUUUGAGAGAAAGAAAGAGAGAGGGAAAAAAAUCUUGCUUCCUCUACUUUCUACUCUAGAAGAAAAAGAAAAAAUCAAAUAUUUUUCUCUAUUUUCUAUGACUAUUGGUUGCUACUCAAAUUUUCAAACAACAGCCUUAAUAUAAACAUAAGUUAAUUUAUGAUUUCAUCUCAAAUUUCUGAUUUUAUCUUUUUAUUAUUCUCUUAAUUAAUUGUGUUGUUAUUUGUUCUUAUUUCUUUUUAUAUAUUCUUUUCUUCAUCUACUUUUUUUGUGCUUGUUUUAUCUAUUUUGAAAUAAAACUAUAUCAAAAAAUUUUAGACAAUAGGAGAAUAAAAAAAUUAGAUUAAUUUAAAAAAAUAGUAAAAAAGAUAUAAUUUAACUUAAAAAAAAGUGAAAAUGUUAUAAUUGAAUUAAAAUUUUAUGACUUAACAACAAUAGAAUAAAUUUGUAUUUAAUAAUUUUAUAUUUUAAAGUAUUUAAAGAAUUAAUUUUUAAUAAAUAAUAUUAAUAUAUAUAUAUAUAUAUAUAUAUAUAUAUAUAAGUUACUUAUCUCUCCAUCCGCACUUACCUCUCCCUCACAUUCAUCCUCAACCACACAUCAACAUCAACAUCAACAUCACCUCUCAUUGGACCCCACAUCCUCAAGCCCAUCACAGCCGUCCAUAACCUCACCCUCCUCCUCCUCUCCCUCAUCAUGGCCGUUGUUUGCCCUCUCUCCAUCAUCCUCCAUUUACCGCACCUCCGUUACACCCUCUGUUUCCUCCUUACCAUUUCUCCGUCUGGCACGGCCUAAUUCCGACGGAAUCAACGACGGUCGUGAUGGGUUUUGGCUGCGACUAUUCGCGCUUCAAACGGCGGCGUUUCGGUUGGUUUUUGGCGACAGUGACGGUGGGAAAGUGAUGGCUGGCUCAGGAGCUUUCGUUGCUACCAUCCAUGGCCGGUGAGGUGGCCGAAAAUCGGAUAUAUGUCUGCGUCGGGUUCGCAGUUUUGGGUCGGGUUUUCCGGGUCAGUUUGACAGCUUCCUCUAUCCCUCUCCCCCAUAAAACAUUACCCAGCUUCCUCUUAUUAUUAUUUUUUUUUUCACAUACGUUACAGAACAUUAAUGAGAGAUGUUUAGUAGUAAGGACUAUUUUGAUAUUUCGAUGAGUAGUAAAAACUAAUGUUAAAAUUUUAUAGACGAAUGUAGAGUAAGAUGCUCAAAGUACUAGAACAUAUAUAAAUAAUCCCAGCUCUUAUAAAAUUUUGCCACAUAAUGAGUUUUAUCCCUUAAGCAAAACAUAUCGAUAAAGUAUACAAAAGCACAAUGCAUGAAUGAUGGUCUUACAAAGUUCGAAUAUAAAGUUUAUAAUCUAAAAUUAAUGAUGUGACAAUUAACCUAAUGGAGUAAGAAGGCCCAAAUAGAUUAUAUUUUGCUAAAGAAGUAAAUUCUACCAAGAAUACCUCUUUCUAUUGAAUUUAAAUGAUGAUUAUUUGUUUAUAUCAUAAAAACUAAAAUAACUGUGUGAGUAAUUUGAUUCUUUUACAGUAUAAAAAUAAAUUCAGAAAAUGUUAGGGCAUGUUCUGUGUUUUAUUUUUAAAUUUAUAUUAUGAGAAUGAAAAUGGUGUUUUCAAGUUGAUAAAUUUUCAAUUGAAAUAUGUGUUUGUUAUUAUUUCAUUUAUCCUAUAUUUUCAAAAUGAAAAUAACCGAUAGAUAAAGUUAAAAAUGAUAAAAUAAUGGAUAUAUUAAGCAAUUUUACUACAUGCAAAUUAUUUUCUGUGUUUAAAGUUCAUAUAAAGCUUGUUUAUUUUUCAACAUACCAACUUACAACAAUAAUAAUAAAAUUUUUGUGAUAUCCAAUAUUAACUUUUUAAAGUAAUUAUUUUUUGUUAAUGUGUCCGCUGUUCAAUCGAUCUUCCUACUUUCUAUGCUUGAGAUUAGAUCAUUUGCUUCAAAGAUUCGAACUGGACUUAUAGUAGGAAAAAGAAUUUUCUUCAAUAUGAACUCUAAUUCUCUUUUAUAUAUAUAUAUAAAAAAAUCUAAUUCUCCUUUCAACAUUUUAACAUUUUGAUGAAAUAAAAAAUUAUUGGCGAAAGAUUACAUGCUUCCUUACUUUAGAGAACCAAAUACUCAGAUAGGUAGUGUAAAUCUCUACUGAUCGUUGGUGAUUUUAUCAAAAUAAAAUUCAAUAAAAUGUAUAAGAACACUUAAAUCCGUCCAAAAAAAAAAAUGACCCAGCAAAUAAAGAAAAGUACUGUGAAGUAAAAAUUGAACAAACCUAGAAAGAAGAGAAGAAGAAGAAUGGAAGAAGGAGAUUCGGUUCAUAAAUCAUGGAGGGAGAUGAGACUUAAGAGAUAGGGUUAGUGAGACAGACGAGGUCCUAGAGUCUUAAAGAUGAAGACUAUCUAUUAUUAGUUACUUAUUAUAAUGAUGUUUAUUAUUAUAAUUUAUUUUACAAUUUUUUUUUAUGAAACAAGUAAAACAUGUUUAAGUUGUUUUGUAAUUUAUAACUGUUAGAGGCAAGUCAGAUUCUGUGUUUUACAAUUAAAUUUUAUGAGGACUACUGAACGCUUAUUUUACUUAGAUUUAUAAAACGAAAAUGAGAAUGGCCAGUAAAAAACAAUACCGAAUGCCCACUUACUUCAUCUCAUACUCUUAGGUCACAAAAAUAGCAAUAACUCUAACAAAUUUAUUAUUGAAUGUGAAUGGUUAUAUAUCGAUCAUUUGAUACGUAUUUUUCAAGACAGAACCUCAAUUCAAUGGACAAAAGCUCCUCUUAAUUUUUCUUUUCUAUUUAAAUAAAAGAACAAAAGAAAUUGAUUACAGAGCCAUUACUUUUCCAAGAAUUAAUAAACGAAAAGGCCCAUAAUUUUUGUAAACCCACCCCACUCUCAAGAAAUAAUUACAAUAAGUUCAAAUUAUUUUUUAAAAAUUGAAAUAAAGAAGAUGUAAUUACAAUAAUUUGGAGAUUGAAUCAAAUAAAAUAAAAGGGUUAUUUUUACAUACCUCCCCUGAGGUUUCACCUAAUAUCAGUUUAAUAGAAAGUAUCUCCGUAUUUUUACAUCCCUCCCCUACAGUUAGUAUAAAGUUAUGUAUAUCAUCAGUACACAAGGCUAAAAUCGUAAAAGCUCAUUUAAAAUUCGUUUUAAUCGUAUCAAGUGGCAUCGUAAUCAAAGCCAAUAAACCACCAGCCAUGGCUGCACUCACUCCCUGAAACGCCAUCACAGUUUUUGAAUCCGGCCUAAUCAUCAUCAUAUCACCCUCACGGUCACCAUAUUUCCUGCGCAAGAAACACCCAACUCCACCCCAAACAAGCCUUUGAGCAACGGAAUAAGACGCCCACCAAACUGCAUUUGAUGGUGCAUUUGUCAAGAUUGAAAUCCCGGAGCCCAUAUACAAUCCUCUAACCCCAUCAUUUCUAACAAUCUUCCUAAACAUAUCAACCCCAUUUACGUAUCUAGCAUCGGCCCCAUUAGCCACCAUAAGCCUCUGAGUCAAAACAUCAACUGGGGUCCAGACAAGCUGAGCAGCCAUGGCAGCACUCAAUCCACCAACAGCACUAGCGACCGCCGCCGCCGCAGUAAACCCUAAGUCACUAACAGCAAAGCUGCCAACUUUAGUUAAAUAAAAUUAAUUUAUUUGCUUUGAUUACGAUUAACAGAUGCAUAUCUUUGUGAAAACUUUGACCGGCAAGACCAUCACUCUCGAGGUGGAGAGCUCCGACACGAUCGACAAUGUCAAGGCUAAGAUCCAGGACAAGGAAGGGAUUCCACCGGACCAGCAGCGGCUGAUCUUCGCCGGAAAGCUCAUCUUUUAAUAAACUUUAGGAAAAGACCCCAUCACCAUCAUCGUGACCAUCUGCUUCCCUCCUUGUUUGUUGUUCCUUCAUUUUCUUUUUAUUUCUUCUUCGUGGAAUCGGUCUUAUUUUCUUCUUCUCUCACUAUUGUAGGUUGUUGUUGGCAGAGGGACGAAUUGUGUUUAUUUGCUUUUAGAAUUGGCUAAUUUAAUUGAUAUAAAUUGUUUUGGUUGUGCCGCGGACAUAAAUUGAAGUUUAGUCGACGGUGCUUUCAUAGCAACAUUUGGUGCUGUUAUUAUGGAUACCAAGCUAAAGUAAGAUGACGUUGGACAUGUUAUGAGGUUUAGUUUUUUUGAAUUGAUUUUUUAUUUGAAUUUUUGGGGAAAAAUAUCAAAAAUGGAAAGCUUGAUUUUAAGAAAACAAGGAUGUGGUUUUGUUGGCGAGGUGGUACAGGGGAUUUUAGUUUUUGUUGGAUGAAAGAAGACUGUCAACCUUGAAAGGGUAUUUUCAUCCUCUUGUUAGUCCACUAACGGUCAACUGACGGAAAUACUAACUGCAGGGGAGGGAUGUAAAAAUACGGAGAUACUUUCUAUUAAACUGAUAUUAGGUGAAACCUCAGGGGAGGUAUGUAAAAAUAACCCUAAAAUAAAAUACCCAAACUAUUAUAUACAAGAACUCUUGAUUUUUGGGGUAUUUUAGUCAUUUUAUAUUAUCAUGGUAAAUUAGUCAAAUAAAACUUAUCUUAAAGCAACCUAAACGGUCAAAGACACCUAAGUUAAAAAAAAAAUUAUACGAAUGAUUUAAUUUAUUGAUUGUCUAUACGUUUUAUUGAUUUAUAUAUUUUAAAAAUAGUAUGAACGUAUUACAAUUAUUUUCUGACAGCAAGGUAGAUUUGUAAAAUAAGUGGGUAGAAAAUAUCCCCGUCCUCAAACAAAUAAAUGAAUUAUCGGUGAUGCAUGCUUUUUUCCAACUUUUUUUUUUUUUCUUUUGGUUUUUUGUUUUUGUUUUAAAUGGCACUGGCCCGACCACUACAAAUUAAUUAGAGAAUAUUUACAAUUAUGUAUCACAGCUGUGGAGUAGAAUUGGGGAAAUUAAAAAUGCUAAAAUUAUUGACACGUAGGGUGGGCGACAAUAACCACAAACAUUUUUCGUGUAGUGUAAGAAGAAUGCAACAACUCGUUUCUUUCAGUAUUUUCGCAACAAAAGCACGUUGAACAACUUAUGAAAUUAUUUCUCUUUUUCUUUGCCAGAAUGGAUGUGAUCGCUUCCCCUCUCCCGGAGCAGCUGAACUCCUUUGCUGCUUGUGACUUACCAUAAAUCUUCAAGCCAUUCAAGCUGUGCUUGAAGAUGCAGAGAAGGCAAGUUGAUAUAAGAUUGUUGCAUGGAAUAAGCAGGGCAUCUUCCGAGGCUAGAAGUUGGGCUACGAGUAUUCGUUUUGGACAUAUAAUAUAGUUUCCAAGCUUGCGAUGAGUCGAACCAAAUGCAGAACAACCUAGGCUGUUAUGCUCUGCGAUUGAACUAAAAAUUUCACUUCUUUUAUAGUCGUUUUUUAGUUUUAAGAUAUUUUUCUAUUUUUCUUGAUUCUUCUAGGAUUUUUAUCAUUUUUUCUAGAUGUUGGAUUUAAGUGCCAUCUGUUUUCUUUCUCUUAUUUAGAUUCGAAGAAUUUUAUUAUCAUAUAAUAUUUUGAAUUUGCUUAGUUUGUUAAAUUUGCUAUAUUUAGGCUCCUAUAAAUGGGAUUAAAAACCCUAAUUUUGUUCAUUCAAAUUAUUCUCAAUAAAACUUAUUAUUCAAAUACUAGUUUAUAUUAUCUAAUAGCUUUUUAGUGUUUCUGCAUCAUCAGCUGGUAUCAGAGCAAGUUCACUUGUCAUCAUGGUGCGACCACACAAUCAAAGGAGCAACCAUCCCGGAGACGAUGUUCAAAUAUUAGGUUAUCUCUUGUAAGCCAUAUUCAUAAAUGUAUUGAAGGAAAGAUACUUUUUUCUUGUCUUAAAUGAUGUGUGGGAUGGACGUUACAAUUAAUGGGAACCAUUCUUUUGUUGUUUAAAGAAUAGUCUCUACGAUAGUCAAAUUUUGAUUACUACACGUAAUCAGUUAGUAGCAAGCAUGAUGAGAUCAACAAAUCUUACCUUUCUUAAGGAAUUAAUUGAAGAAGAAUGUUGGUCAUUGUUUAAGCAGGUAGCAUUUUUGGGUCAAUUCUUCAAGGAUCGUGAUCAAUCGAUCAAAAAAUUGCAUUUAAGUGCAAAGGCUUGCCUUUUGUUGCAAAGAUAAUAGGGAAAUUCUUACACUAUAAAUGACCAAUAGAAGAAUAGAAAAUAAUUUUAGAUAGUGGAAUGUGGAAGGUAGAAGAGUUUGGGAAAGGUCUUCUGGCUCCUUUGUCGUUAAGUUAUAAUGAUUUGUCGUCCAUAGUAAAACAAUAUUUCUCACAUUGUGCUAUCUUUUCAAAAGGUUACAAUAUGUGUAAAGAGGAACUAAUUACACUAUGGAUGGCUCAAAAUUACCUUAAAUGUAGAAAAAGGAAGAGAUGGAGAUCCAAUCCAAUCUGAUAGUAGUAGAUUAUUUUAAUUUUUAUUAAUUUGAUUUCAUAGGAGUAGUUUUCAUUGUUUUGUUGAAAGUUGGUAAAAAAAAAACUGAAAUGAGAUGAUUACUUUAAAACAAUCUUCAAGAACUAAAAUAAUUAAAAAAACUCAAAAUAAACAAAAAGGCUUAAAAAUAACCGUAAUCCGAACAUUGUUUGAAUCCAUCCUAACUAGCCCGAAUAUGAUUUUAACCCAAACCCAACCUAACUCGCUUAUAAUUAUAACCCAAUGCGAUCCAAAUUCAACUUGAAUAUUUGAUCCGAUCUAAUCCAAUUUGAAUAUUUUAACCCUAUCAACCAGAAACCCAAUUAGGUUGAUCUGAACCCACGUUUGUCCACUCCCAGAGGGGAUCAUGACCCCACAAGCUUUGAAAGUUUUUUGGAAUUUCUAAGUGAAUAUUAAAAAUUAUGUAUAAAAAGACUGAUUUGACCCCUAAACACUUGAUAUAGAAACUUUAUACAUACAAUAGAAAUUUAAUUUUAUAUUUUGUGAAAUAAAGUCAAAGUAACUGAAUUUUUUUUUAUUUUGUUAAUUAUUUUUCUACUAUGACAAAAUGACAAAUAGCCUUGUGCCUAGCUCUUUGACUUUUAUUUUGCUAAUUAUUUUUUUCAUUUCUCUUGCAACAGUAACUUCAAUUAUCAAUCAAAGUCGCCAAAUCAAAAUCUCUGCAGCCUGCAGCUACAAGCAAACUUCUCAAAUUUCGAAAUUCCUUAUGACUACAUAAUAGCUAUAAAUAGAAAAAGCGUCUAAAAUAACUAUGUUUUUCUAAGUUUGAGCUUGAACCCCCUGAAGAUUUACUCCAUACGUAACAAAAUAUUAGUUUUGCUAGUAAAAUUGCUAACUAUGUUUUUCUUUGUAUUUCCGCUCAAGGAUAAAGAAAUUUCCCUAGACUUUUGUGGUGAAUAUCUUACGAACAUAUGACAAUUUAAUCUUUGGCUGAGACUUGUUUAACAUAAGAGAUGACACUUUAAAGCAAUAGGAGAGAGAGAUAAUAAGCUUUGUUCCCCAAAAAAAUCUAUCAGAUAUAUUAUGCCCCCGGUUGCUAUUUCUAAAAAUAGUCAUAAUUACUAAAAAAUAAGUAAUUCUUUUUUCAUAUAUUAAAAUGGUAAACUGGUGGAUAAAAUUUAAAAUAACUUUUUAUCUGUUUUGACAUUCGAAUUUUAAGCUCGAGAAGUCAAGCAAUAAAUAAACCUUUUUGAGAGGCUAACUAAAUUCUUAGUAAUUUCAUAUAAUUUCAUUUCAUCAGAACAGUUUUAUCAAAAGCAAUUUUCUAAAUCUUUGUGGAAAGCUUUAAUCCUUAAUUAUCUUUCACAUAUUUUCUUUGUAAUAUGAGGUAAGCCAUGGACCAUAGUAUGGUAUUUAUUGUAAAUAAAAUCACUAUGAAACUGAUUUUAUUAUUAUUUUUUUCACAAACAAAGUAUCUAGCUAACUGCAGAUGUAAUGAAUUACUAAUUACCAUUAUUUGAUUCGCUCUCUAAAAUAGUGUUGUGUGUUGAUUCUGUUAUGCAUCUAGGAAUUUCAAAUGUUAUGACAUAAGUUGCAUUGGAUAUAUGUAUAUCAUAGAUUACAUUAUGAAGAAGACAAGAAAUGGAUCCAUACGUUAAAGCAAAAUUGAAAAAAAAAAAUUGCUAGGAGAUGAUUUUAUCUGAAAUUUCACCUGCACGGUAUUGGCCACAUAUAAAUUUGUGAUGAAAUUCAUAACGGAUUAAUAUAAUUGAACGAAAUUACUCUAUACAAUUUCAUAAGUAUGUAUUAUACAAUUAAAAAUCUAUUGAUAUUUUCAAUAAAAUAAUAUCUCUACUAUAAGUGAUGGGAUAUAUAUUUGUGGGGAAUGACAAAUGUAGAAAAUUGCAGUAAUAAAGGUGGAAGUGGAACUUUGUAAUAAUUAAUUAAUGUGUUUACAAUUCUGUAAGUAUAAUAAAAUAAUAGUAAUAGGUAAAUUGUAGAAAAUUAAUGUGUACUUUAAGGCACAUUACAAAUGUCUCUUUCCUAAAGAUAUUAUUUUUCCCACCAAUUCAGUGAUGCAUAUAGGCUAAACAAAUAUACCUCCGGGAUACAACGAAUCACUUAUUUGUUUGCUUGUGUUUUUCAUCGAUGAAAGCAAACUUGAAUACUUUUGAAUGUUGCAAGCUUGCCGAGAAUCAAUAUAUUAUUCCCGUAGUAAACAAUAUAUUAGAUAUUUGAUGCAUAUAGUAUAGAUGUUAUACAAUAAAAUUUGUUUCAGCAAAGAGGGUUGAGAAGAGAGUGAUGUAGUAUCAUUAUUUCCAUGUUUAAAAAUUAAUUCUAAAUUAACUACAACAUGCAAUCUUUUAAUAUUCACAUGUCCUAAAUGAAUAUGCUACAAAAAUAAUGAGUCAAUCAUGUAAGCAGAAGAAACAUUAAUUUUAUUAAUAUUGGGCUUGAACAUUCCCAAAUACAUGUAUCCUUUCCCAAUAAAGGUACCACCCUUAGACAAUGCAAAUUUGCUUUGACUCAAAUAAGGUACCACCCUAAUAUAGAUACAAGAUUUUUCCUACCUUUAGAUACAUGAUAAACAUCAAUAUGAGUUAAAGUUUUUCCACAAGUGAACUCUAGUUGCACAUUCCCUCUAAUUGUUGCAAUGGAGGAAUUUCCCAUCUAAAGAACACUUCAAUCAUCCAUUGCUUUGUAAGAUGUGAAAAGGCUACGAUUCUUGUACACAUACUUGAUUGCACCGGAAUCUAUUCACCAUGCAUUAUCAUGUUCAAGAAUAUUAAUUUAAGAUAUUAUGGCCAUAAAUUUUGUCCACAAAAUUUGUGUUCGAACACUUCUUUUCUUUCUUAAGAAGUUGAUAGUCUUUUUUAAAGUGGCUAGGCUUUUCACAUUGGUCACAUGUACACUUUUUUUUUUUUUGUUGGUUUGAUUUUAUUUGGAAUCAAAGUUUUGCUUUGACAGUCUUUUUAAAGUGGCUAGGCUUUUCACAUUGGUCACAUGUACACUUCUUUUUUUUAUUUUGUUGGUUUGAUUUUAUUUGGAAUCAAACUUUGGCUUUUGGUUAUUAAUGUGGUCAUUAGACUGCUUAAGCUUCUUCUCCUCCUCCACAACAUUAAUUUCACAGGACAUAGCAGUCUGUUCCUCAAGACUAUUAAGUCUAAGUUUCUAUUCAAUAUGAAGACUUUGCCAAGCCUUCCAGGCUAAUUUCCUCUUUGUUAUAUUUAAGACUUUUUUCAUAGUCUUUUCAAGAGGGGGGAAGUUUAUCAAUAAUUGAAGAAAUAAUAGUAAACUUAUUACUUUUCAUGUUGUGUUGGUUGAAUUGAUCAAGAAUGCAAAAAUUCUCAUUAUAUUGUUCAAUCACAAGUCUAUUAUCAAUCUUUUUAUAACUAAAAAAAAUUAGAAGUCAAGAAUUUCUUACUUGUGGUGUCUUCCAUUAGGGGUGGGCAAAAUCGGGUUCGGGUCGGGUUCGGGUCAAUCCGAUCGGGUUUCGGGUUGUUCGGGUUAGACAAAAAUUAAUCCGAACGUAACCCGAAUUAUGAACCCGACCCGAACUGACCCGAACUAAGUUCGGGUCAGGUCAAUUGUUAAAUGGAAUUGGAAUUCGUAUAUUUAAUCAAAAACUCCAAAUUAGAACCGUUAGAGAACCGAACUGAAAAAACUUGAAAAGAAUGAAUCUGGCUAUAUUUGUGAACCAGAAACAAGCCAGCGUUAUGCUUACGCCAUUUCAUUCUAUCCUGUCACCCAUAGACAAAAUGAAUCUAGAUGCAUUAUGGCUUUUCUCCUUAAACCUCAAGAGCAUUUUCGUCCUCUCAGUCAAGCGUGAAACUGCAUGUACGAACUGCUUCGCUUUCACGCACCGGUAGCUACAGCGGCAAGAGCAUUUUCGUCCUCUCAGUCAAGGGUGAAACUGCAUGUACGAACUGCUUCGCUUUCACGCACCGGUAGCUACAGCGGAAGACCCAGGCCGAGAUAAUUUAUUUCUUCCAACCACAAACUAUGUUUUGUUCACGAAUUACAAACUGUGCAGCUUGUGAUUUCUGCCGUUCUGCGUAUGUGAGUGCAGCAGCGAUAUGUGUAGUGUUAGGCUGUUAGCUUAGGUUUUUUUUUUUUUGGGAACCCGAUCAGGUAUUCGGAUCGGGUCGGGUUUGAUCCGAACCGAUCACAACCCGAUCGGGUUUGUAAAUUUCAAUCCGAUCGGGUUUCAAUCCCAACCCGAUCCGACCCGAACCCGAAAUUUAUCGGGUCGGGUCGGGUCGGAUCGGGUAAAAUGCCCACCCCUAUCUUCCAUCAUGUACUUAGACUCCAAUAAGUCCUAUAUUUCUUUUGCUGUGGAUUUUGUUGUGGUACUUAUCAAAACAAAGUACUAGACAUGGCAUUGUAAAUGUGUCCUAUGCACACGUAGACAUCUUGCUUCCACUUUUGCCACACUCGAGUUUCUCAUCCUCACGUUCUUCAGGCUUUGAUAUUGUAAGAACAUAAACAACAUUGAGGCUUGUCAACAAGAAAUGUAAUAUUUUUUGCCAACGUAUAAAAGUUGUGACCAUCAACUGCUCUAAUUUGAUAAAAUCUACCAUUGAAUUGCGGAUGAGAUGAGCACAGUGUCAUUGUUACAGAAAGAAUGUCUUAAGAAUGUUGGGAAUAUAUAUUUUUAGGGAAUGACAAACGUAAUAAUGGCAAAUGUAGAGAGUUGCAGUAAUAAUGAUUAUGCCACAAAGAUAAUGAGUCAAUCAUGUAAUAAUGGCAAACAUAGAGGGUUGCAGUAAUAAUGGUGGAAUUUUAUUCUAAUAAAAUAAUGAGUUUACUACUCUAUAGGUACAACGAAAAAAAUAGUAAUAAGUAAAUUGUAGAAAUUAAUGUGUAUUUCAAGGCACUUUACAAAUAUUACUUUCCUUAGACGUUAUUCGCCCCCACUAAUUGAGUGAUGAAUAUGGGUUAAACAAAUACGCAUCGACGAUACAAUGAAGUACUUAUUUGUUUGUUUGCAUUGUGUAUCGACGAAAGCAAACCUAAACACUCUUAAAUGUUGCAAGCUUGUCAAGAAUCAAUAUAUUAUUUGCUGAUAUAUUGUUCCCGCAGUAAACAAUAUGUUGGAUAUUUAAUGCAUAAAAUAUAGAUGUUAUAUGAUAAAAUUCGUUUUAGAAAGGAGAGUUUAGAAACGAUUGUUAUAGGAAUGUUAUGUUCAUGUCUAAAUGGCCUAAACAUGGCCUCUAUUUAUAAAUAUACUUGUGCCCUCCAUUUGGAUUGUCAUUUUUCAUGAUACCCAUUCAUUUAUGGUCAUUGGAUCAAGAUAUGAUUUUAAUCAAUUGUCUAAAUUGGUCCAUCACCAUUUCAAGUGAAAUUACAAUAUGAAAUGAUACAUUCUUAAGUGGAAAGAUACCUUUUAUAUGGGACAAUUACUUGGACAUGUUUUUAUAAUAAAACAUCAUUUAUUUUGAAAUUGUUACAGCACUAAGAUUAUUCUAGGUUAAGUUAAUCUAUUAUAUAUAACUUCAGAAGGUUCAUCGGUAGAUUGUUUUAAGUUUUUGUCGUAGUUUACAAAGAUUUUGUUACUUGUAAUGUAAGAAAUUUUAGAAAUGUUGGUGCUGAGUAAUCUGCAAAAUUAUUAUGAAUCAGAGAAACAGGGCAGAUGUUGUACAAUUAUUGUUGUGGUGGAGCGGAAAGGUAGCCCGAGAUGGUGACUGCUAUUGGGAUUUCUUUAAUUUGCAGCAUAAAAGCAUUUACAUUGACAUCGACUCAAGGGUAAAAAUUAAAUAUCUCAUGUAGCAUAAGAAGAAUGCAAAAAUGCUUGAAUGAGCAUUCUGACUCAAUACACAAAAGCUACUUUCCCUUGAGCACUUUCGCAACAAAAGCAAAUGUAAAAUUUAGCAUUUAAAUCUAACAUCAAAUGGCUGAUGCCAUCGUUUCCAUCCCUUGGGGAAACUGAAUUCCUCUACAUGAUAUUACAGUCUGGAGCGGCUCUUACCUUAGGCAACUUAGGAUAAUUUAGGCGGUUGCUCAGGACCCCACAUUUAACCUAGGACCCCAUUAUAAAUGAAGGUUUCUAAUUUAAUUCCUAAAUUAUAGUUAUUAAUUAUUGAUUUAUAUUUAUUAUUUAUAACUAUAUUUUCCAUAAACAAACUACUAGAUUCUUACAAAAUCCCCUUUUAACAUUAUAAUUAACAAUUUUAAUCCACUUAUUUCCUCCAUAUAUUUCAUUUAAAACUCUAUAAAGGCCACACCUUUUUUAAAUUAUUAUCCAUUAAUAUCUUUUUCCAAUAAAAAAAAACACAAAACCUUCAUUACUUUGGUGAAAAAACUACUUUCUCUACCUUACUUUUUGCAUAAGGAAGAAAAGAAAAUCAAUUGUUUUACUUUCUUUUGAUCAUUGUUGCUCAAAGUCUCAAUCCAUCAAAGUUAAAUUUCUCAAAUUUUCAAGUUUUAUCUUCCGAUUCUCUUAUUAAUUAAUUGUGUUAUUUAGGUGUUUUUGUUUCUUUGUAAAAAUAUUAUUCUGCUCAUAGGUUGUUUUCUUUUAAUUAUCUAGCAUAAUUGUUUGCAUGAUUACUCUUGUUUCCUUAGAAAAAAAAUGUCUACUAAAAACUAUGCAUCAUGAUACAAAAAACUUCAUAAAAGGAGAAGAAUACAAAAGUUAGCUUAAUCUAAAAACGUGCUAUUGAUAAAAAAUUAUUUAAGAUCAACCAUGUCAUAGGAAAGAUUAAAUAGGUUAACUAUAUUAUCUAUUGAGAAAGAUAUAUUAGCAAAAUUAGAAUAUAAAAAGUUGAUUAAUAAUUUUGCAUCUCAGAAAGUUAGAGAAAUUUAUUUUAAAUAAAUAAAACUUUAAUAAAAUUAAUACACAUAUUUCACCUCAAAUUUUUUGAAAGGUCUAAUUAAAUCAAUUUAUUUAAGACCUAAAAUAUGAUUGAGCCGCCUUGAAAUUGCAGUAAGAUAGAAAUGUGAAAUAGACAGAACACUUGCUCAUACGUUAAAGAUGCGACGAAUUUGAGAAUAUUUAUGUUUAUGUGCCAAAUUCCUAAUGUAUGGGAAUUUAAAAAUGUUAGUGCAGAACAUGUGUUCAUCGGUGGAGUAGAAUCAGGGAAAUUAAAGAUAAGCAUAAUUUUUGCAUCCAAUGCCAAAUUCCCCCAGGUAGAAAGUGGGGACUCCUUUGCAUAAAAGUUGAUAAAAGUUUGACUAAGAUCUUAUUAGAAAUUAAUAUAUUCUCUCUCCACAUAUUUCUGCACGAAAUAACAUGCAGAUAUAGUAUUUUAGGUUAUUGUUAAUAGUUUUACAAUAAUAAAAAUCAUUUUGUUAGAUCUUAAAAUGUACUCACACUCUAUUUUGUGCAAAAGUCUGCGAGAAAGGAUUUCAGAUUUACCUAACGGUGAAGUUGGGAACUUGCUUUUUUACCUAGGCUAAAAAUAUUUCAAUAAAUUCUGAUCGUGGAGACUAACAAGAGUUUUUUUAGUCAUAUAUAUAUUUAUUUUUUAGGGACUAAUAUGAAUAUUACUAAUUUCAUCGAGAUUAUUAAAAAAACAAUGUGCUAAUUUGCCAAUAUGAUUUCUCCAAUCUUUUUUCUUUUCGUCAUUUAUUCCUUUGUGAAUUUGAGUUAAUGCUUGAUAUUAUUUUUCUGCUCAUUUUUUAAAGUAGAAGAUUAAGAAGUCUACUGCUGUUUAGCUUGGUAGGCUAUAAAUAAAGAGGCGCAUAUAUAGAAGGCUUAGAAAUAACUCUCAUUCUCAUCAUUGCAAAAUGGCUUCUCUUCGUUUUCUCCUUGCAGCUGCUCUUGUAGUUGCAUUUGUGCUUGAGGGAUCAUAACCAGAUCAAGCUCAACUUUCUCCCUCUUUUUAUUCUUCCACAUGCCCUAAUGUAACCAACAUAAUUCGGGAGGUGCUUCAGAAUGCUUUCUUGUCCGAUAUUCGCAUCGGUGCCAGCCUCGUCAGGCUUCAUUUCCAUGACUGUUUUGUUAAUGGCUGUGAUGCAUCGAUUUUUCUGGACAAUACUACUACCAUAGAAAGCGAGAAAUUUGCUGGGCCAAAUAAUAAUUCAGCGAGGGGUUUUGAAGUUGUUGAUGACAUGAAAGCUGCCGUUGAAAGGGCCUGUCCAGGCGUUGUUUCCUGUGCUGAUAUUCUUACUAUUGCAGCUGAACAAUCUGUUGCUCUGUCAGGGGGUCCUUCAUGGACAAAUCUAUUGGGAAGAAGAGACAGCAGAACAGCAAACAGGACUCUUGCAAAUGAAAAUCUUCCAGUACCGAACAAUAGUCUUGAGAGGCUCAAAGAUAGAUUCAGAAAUGUUGGCCUCAACGAUAAUUUUGAUCUUGUUGCACUCUCCGGAGCUCACACAUUUGGAAGGGCUCAGUGCCGAACUUUUAGCGAUAGAUUAUUCAAUUUCAACAACACUGGCAAUCCAGACCCAACACUUAACACAACCCUCUUACAGCAACUUAGGCAACUAUGCCCACAAGGUGGAAACGGCAGCGUUCUAACUAAUCUUGAUGUCACAACACCUGAUGUGUUUGACAACAAAUACUUCUUCAAUCUUCAAAUACACAAGGGCCUUCUGCAGAGUGAUCAAGAGUUGUUUUCGACUCCCGGUGCCGAUACCGCUGCCAUUGUCAAUAACUUUGGCAGGAACCAGACUGCUUUCUUUGUAAACUUUGUGACUUCAAUGAUUAGAAUGGGCAAUUUGAAACCACUGACGGGAAAUCAAGGGGAGAUUAGAUUGAACUGCAGGAGGGUCAACGGAAACAGCAAUAUCGCAACAAGAUCAUCAUCAUCGGAGGGUGAUUUGAUCAGCUCUUUCUGAAUAAGCUAGUUUGCAGCUAACGCGAGAGAAAGAGUUUGUGGGUAACAAACUCAUGAAUUUACUCCUAUGUUUUGCCUGAAACAUGCUUUGUAUUUUCAAUAAACUAAAGUUGUGGUUGUGUAUUCACGUCCUGCUUUCUAUGUAUCAGAAAUCCUUGUCAUAUUGUAUGUGUUUCUUUUUCUUUUCUUUUUUUUCUCCCAAAGUCAUCGAUAUGUAUUUUCAUUUGAGUCACAAGUUUUUAAUACCCCACUUUAUCCUCUAGCUUUUAAAAAAAAAAAAGUAGAAGAUUAUGAAAAAGUGAACACACAAAAAGCAUAAAAAUCAUUAUUAGAUCCAAAUUUGUGCUAUUUUCAUACAUAACUUGAGAAUAUUUAUAAUUACGCAUCAGAACUAGUGGAGUAGAAUCAGGGAAAUUAAACAUUCUACAAUCAUUGACGUGUGGGGUUGGGAUAAGCAUAAGCUUUUUCUAUGCAGUAUAAAAGAAUGCAAUAACUCCUUUUCUUUCAGUAUCAUCGCAACAAAAGCACAUCUAAUAACUCUUCAGAAUUCUCGUCUUCUUUGUCAGAAUGGUUGAUGCGAUCGUUUCCUCUCUCCUGGAGCAGCUGAUCUCUGUUGCGGCUGAUGAAGCGAAACAACAGGUGAGGCUUGUGACUAGUGUCCGAGAAGAAGUGAAAAAGCUUACCAGCAAUCUUCAAGCCAUUCGAGCUGUGCUGGAGGAUGCCGAGCAAAGGCAAAUGCAGCAAGACAAAGUUGUUACUUUUUGGCUGGAUCAGCUCAAAGACGCGUCCUACGACAUGGAAGAUGUGUUGGACGAGUGGGUCUUUACAAGGCUCAAAUUGCAAAUUGAGGGCGUUGAUGAUGACAAUGCUUUUUCCCUUGCUCCUCACAAGAAGAAGGUACGUUCCUUCUUUCGUGCUGUAUCAAACUGCUUUGGUAGUUUCAAACAACUCGGUCUUCGUCAGGACAUUGCUGUCAAGAUUAGGGAAAUCAAUGAAAAGCCAGAUGAUAUUGCCUCCCAAAAAGAUAGGUUUAAAUUUGUUGAGAAUGUGAGUAACCAUGUUAAAAAACCGAAACAAGCGCGAACCACCUCCUUGAUUGAUGAGGGAGAGGUCUGCGGUAGAGUUGACGAGAAAAACGAGCUCUUAAGCAAGUUGUUGUUUGAAAGUAGUGAACAACAAAAAGGCCUUCAUGUCAUCUCACUAGUUGGGUUAGGGGGCAUGGGUAAAACACUCUUGCACAACUGGCCUAUAAUAAUGAUGAGGUGAAAAGAAAUUUUGAAAAAGUUAUAUGGGUGUGUGUAUCAGACACUUUUGAGGAGAUUAGGGUUGCCAAUGCAAUUAUUGAAGGUCUAGGUGAGUCAGCUUCUAGUUUAAGCGAAUUCCAAUCUCUUCUAAGCCAUAUCCAUAGAUCAAUUGAAGGAAAAAAAAAAUUUCUUGUCUUAGAUGAUGUAUGGGAUGGGGAUUAUAAUAAAUGGGAACCAUUCUUCCAUUGUCUAAAGCAUGGUCUCCACGGAAGUAAAAUUUUGCUUACCACACGUAAUGAGUCAGUUGCAUGUAUGAUGGGAUCAACAAAUAUUAUCUUCAUUGAGCAAUUGACUGAAGAGGAAUGUUGGUUGUUGUUCUAGCAGUUAGCAUUUUCCGGUCGCUCUUUCGAGGAUUGUGAAAAAUUAGAACCAAUCGGGCGAAAAAUUGCACGCAAGUGCAAAGGCCUGCCUCUUGCUGCAAAGGCAACAUGGAAUCUCUUACGCUCUAAAAGUACAAUAAAAGAGUGGCAAAAAACUUUAGAUAGUGAAAUGUGGAAAGUAGAAGAGAUUGGGCAAGGCCUUUUUGCUCCAUUGUUGUUGAGUUAUAAUGAUUUGCCCUCCAAUUCUAUGGUAAAACGAUGUUUUUCAUAUUGUGCUGUCUUUCCGAAAGAGUACAAUAUAAAAAAAAAGGAACUAAUUUCACUAUGGAUGGUUCAAGGUUACCUUAAUGCAGAAGAAGAUGAAGAGAUAGAGAUGACUGGGGAAGAGUAUUUCAACAUUAGCAGCACGCUCUUUCUUUCAAGAGUUUAAAAAAGAUGAUGAUGAUGAUGAUAUUAUGAGCUGUAAGAUGCAUGACAUAGUACAUGAUUUUGCCCAAUUUGUAAGUAGAAAAGAAUGUUGGUGGGUAGAAAUUAAUGGUACCAAAGAAUCAGUCAUAAACUCUUUUGGUGAUAAAGUCCGUCACUUAGGGUUAAAUUUUGAAGGAGGAGCUUCAUUUCCUAUGUCCAUUCAUGGACUUAAUAGAUUGCGGACCCUCCUAAUUUAUUUCCAAAGUCCUUCCAAUCCGUCUCUUAAUAGUAGCAUCCUUUCGGAGUUAUUUAGUAAAUUGGCGUGUUUCAGGGCAUUAGUUAUAGGGCAACAGAACUUUAUAUUUGAUCCUUACCCAAAUUUGAUUAGAGAAAUUCCAGAAAAUGUCAGAAAAUUAAUACAUUUAAAAUAUCUUAAUUUGUCUGAAUUAUGUAUAGAGAGACUGCCUAAGACUUUGUGUGAAUUAUAUAAUUUACAAAAGCUAGAUAUUAGGUGGUGCGAAGAUCUUAGAGAAUUGCCGGCGGGGAUUGGGAAGUUAAAGAACAUGAGGAGUUUACUGAAUGGUGGCACUCCUUCGCUGAAGUACAUGCCAAUAGGGAUUUCCAAAUUAACCAGUCUUCGAACAUUAGAAAAGUUUGCUAUGGGCGGAGGUGUUAAUGAUAUCAGUACGUGUAGGCUUGAAUCUCUAAAAAAUCUUCAGCUCCUUCGAGAAUGUGGAAUAGAAGGGCUGAGUAAUGUGUCACAUUUAGAUGAGGAUGAGAGAUUAGGACUUCACAAUAUGAAAAACCUCCUUCGUUUAUCUCUUGAGUUUGAUGAGGAAGGUGAAGAAGGGAGGAGGAAGAAUCAACAACUUCUGGAAGCCUUACAACCGCCUUUGAAUGUAAAAGAAUUAGGGAUUGUAUCCCACGGAGGCAACAUAUUUCCCAAAUGGUUGACUUCACUAACCAAUCUAAGGGAUUUAAGACUUAAAUCGUGCGUUAUCUGUGAGCAUUUUCCUCCCUUGGGAAAAUUACCGUUGGAAAAACUCACCCUUUAUGGCCUGUACGGUGUGAAAAGAGUGGGUAAUGAGUUUUUGGGAAUCGAAGGAAGCAGUGAGGAUGACCCAUCUUCAUCUUCAUCAUCAUCAUCAGUCAUUGCCUUCCCCAAAUUGAAAUCACUCCACAUUGGGGCAAUGGAAGAAUUGGAAGAGUGGAAUUAUAGGAUUACAAGAAAGGAAAACAUCUCCAUCAUGCCGCGUCUUUCUUCCUUGACGAUUUGGUAUUGCCCCAGAUUAAGGGUGUUGCUGGAUUACCUUUUUCAAUCGACGACAUUGCAGAAAUUGAGUAUUUCUUAUUGUCCAAUUAUGGAAGAACUGCGCAUUCUAGAAGAUCACAGGACAACAGACAUACCACGUCUUUCUUCCUUGGAAAUUGAGUAUUGCCCCAAAUUAAAGGUGCUGCCGGAUUACCUUCUUCGGCGACGACGCUGCAGCAAUUGAGUAUUCAGGGAUGUCCUCUUCUGGAAAACCGUUAUAGAGUGGAGAAAGGAGAAGACUAGCAUAAGAUAUCUCACAUUCCCUACAUCGAGUCCGAGUGGUAAAUUCUCGAAUGGUUGCAAUUACUAUCACCCACCGGUAAUUUCUCUCCCCUAUUUUACUUUGUUGUUACUUCAAACAACGACACUGCAAACAUUGACAAUUUGGGGUUACAGAGAAGGGGAAGGAGAAGACUGGCAUAAGAUAUCUCACCCUCCCCACAUCAUGCGGUCGGCGUAAGAUAUCACUCGCCGGUAAUUUCUCCUCCUCCUCUGAUUUACUCUGUUGUUGCUUGCAAUAAAAUUAAUAAAAAUAAUUAUAUUUUGAAUUAAAAUUCUAUAUAUUGCCCAAUGUCUGACAGGAAUAUACAAUAUUUUCUAAUAUUUUGAUUUGCAUAUCGAAUUUAACUAUUUACUUCAACCAUUAAUUUAUUGGGUCACUUUAUGAUGCUAUUAUAAAAAUUACAGAAUCAAUCAUAGUAUAAAUAUGUAGUGUUAAAUUUAAUCAAUAGUUCAUAAAGGUUAGUAAGAAUAAUACUUUAAUUUUAAUUAUUUAAAAUUUAAACUUCCUAGUCAUCAAAUUUGUUAAACUUGUUUUCUAAAGCUAAAAUAAUAAUAAAAUAAAGUAAAAAAAACAAGUGCAGUCUGUUGAAAUUUCUAUAAUUUCUUUUAAAAAAUAUGUAGUCUUUUGUAAAAUUUCAUACAACAUCAUAGAAAUAAUUUAUGUGUAAGUUCCUGAGAGACAAAAUCUCUGUGAUACAUUUGCAGUAAUGUUGAAAACUAACUUAUCAAUGUUAUCUUGUAUAAUGAUAAUCGUAUUUUUUUAUAUAUAAUUUAUGUGACAUUAAUUCUUUAAAGUAAUUGUGUGAUUGUUUUUAGUAGUACAUGAGCCCACUUUGUUUUAUUUCAUACGAGUUUAAUUAUGUUCACCAGGGAUUCGAGGAAAUGUCAGAACUACACUAGCAAUUCGCAGGUCCACGCUAAUUUGGUUCUAAUGAUGCACGCAGGAGAGCAAGAUUAUGAAAAUGAAUAGUUUAGCCAAAGGAUUGCUAAAAUGUUUUGCUGGUAAUUCACUUGCUUUUUUUUAUAGAAUUUCAUUUCCAUCUUCUUCUAUUGAUAUCUUGUUGUGAAUAAACAAGAACAGAGAAGUAACUAUAUAUAUAAAAAGUCCCUAUUAUGAUGAUGUUAAAGCAAGCUCAAGCUCAAACAUUGCAUUUUUAUUUUAUUUUAUUUAUAGAAUUUUCAUUUCUACCUGGAUUGCAUUUCUAUUUCAUUUUCAGGUUGACUUUGAAAACUCUAUGGAGCACAUUGGGGGGGUAACCAAGGAUUAUCAUUGUGGUUAUUGUGCAACGUUUGGUUGCUGGACUUUGAAGAAGGAAGUGAUGGCCGGGUCUGCUCUGUUUCAAUUGAGGAUGGAUAGCUGCCUGAAAGACAUGAUGAUUAUUAUUGCAUGAUGUUUAGGUGCUAAGAUCAUCAUUUCUGUCUUGUUUCAUUCUUUGAUCGGUUUAUCCUAUAUAAACAUAUGGAAUUAUGCUAAUAUUAUCAAUUUUUUCACCUAAUUUUCACUGUUGUUGUGAAAACAAUUUCAGGCUCUCAAAAGCUACAAAGCAAAGCAUUUGUAGGCUGAUCAUAUGUUUCAAUUGAGGAAGGAGCUUGGUGUUGGCAAUAUUGUCCAGGUAACCACAGCUGAUAAUUUCCACAAAUUUGCAUUAAACUUAGUUGUCACCAUCUCCUGCAAUUUCUCAUUCAUUCAAGAGUACUUCAAAAUUAGAUUUUCAGGGUUUGAAUGUUUAGUUGCGAUCAAAAUAUUUAGUCACUCAUUCGUAAUCUUUUCCGAUUUUCAAGUUCUUUAGGGCCAUAAACAGUUUUCCAACUCAUUCUUAAUUUUUAGGUUGAUUUCGAGUACCCUGUUGAGGACAUUCCUGAGACUAAGGAUUAGGCUGGCGAAGGAACUACUACCUCUGUUGUUAUUGUGCAAGGUUUGAUCAUUGGACCUUGAAUAAGAAUCCCUUACACGCAUUCUGUACUUCAAGCAUUCUCUAAAGGAAAAGAGCAGUAGAAGGGAUAGUGAUGGCCGGAUCCGCUCUAUUUUAGUUGAAGAUCUCUGUGAUGUCGAUGAACUUAAAGCAGUUGAUACUUCUUGAAAAUUGUUGUUACGGAUGAAUUGAUUCCUGAAGAUGGGUAUCCAAAGGCAUAUUUUCAUAAACUUCCUUUUUUUAACAAAUGCUCCAAUGCUUGCUGUAGUAACAAUUUCAUAGCUUGCAUCUCUCGGGUGCAUCAUGUUCACGGGUUGGAAAAAGCAUUUGUGGUAAACCUUCAAAGCUUGUAAAAUGGCUGUGAAAAGGCACAUUCAAUUCGGUAUGCUUUGGUGCGGUCUCCUAAUGCUAAUAUUAUGUUUCAAUGCUGGCUGUAGUAACAAUUUCAUAUCUUGCAUCUCUUGGGUGCAUCAUGUUCAAGGGUUUGAAAAAGCAUUUGUGGUAAUGCUUCAAAGCUUGUACAACGGCUGUGAAAAGGCACAUUCAAUUAGGUACGUUUUGGUGCGGUCUCCCAAUGCUAAUAUCAUAUUUUGUAUAGCAAUUAAAAUUUAGCUAUACAAUCUUAAUAUGCAAUAAAUCAUUGUAUACAAAGUUUUCUAUUGAUUAUAUGGUGACUGAAAUUUUAAUUAUCAUAUCAAUUUAAAGUUUUGGCUGAUAUGUCUAAUUCGUAGAAAUUCACUUCCAUCGGUUUCCAUUGGCUUUAGCACAAACAGAAACAGAGCUCUGGGGAAAAGUUUUACUUCUUGUGGUAUUAUGCCUUUGUUUCUUCAUUCAUCAUAUUUUUCGAAUUCAUGCUCUCAUUCAGAGGGUAAAGCCUUUUCCAGGCUGCUUUGUAGCCAAACUUUGACGCCUUUGAUGCAUGACUGUCAUUUAGAUUUCCCAAAUAACUGUUAGAUUGGAGAAGAAUAAAAAGAUACUGUUAAAAGGGUAUUUAAUUAGCGCCCUCUGAAUUUCUUGGAGUUAAUGUAGUCAAUUGCCCAAUUUUGCUGCCUGUCGAAGAUACACAGCAUGGAAGUCCUCAUCAAACUCUGAGACACCUAAUAAAUAGUAGGAUAGUAGGAGGGGGUGGUAUUCGCCUGGUGUUAAUUUCCUGGCAAGUAUAGUUCACAGAUAGAGGGGUUCUUUUCUUGAUGUCUAAAUACCGUAUGAGAUACAACAUCGUGUAUUCCAAUUUUUCUCUAGUUAAAUUUUAAUAAGUUAGAAAAGUUAAUUUUGUUUUAGCAAUGAAUUGUUUUCUUAAUAAUAAUAAUUGCCAUGUUCCUCUGAAGUCUUAUUAAUGCCAGACCAACAACUACUAGGUUCAUCUCUCGUUCACUUCCUCAGGGAAUCUCGAGGGCAUUCAUUGGCAGGUAGCCUUUCUUGUUGAGCUCCUGGAAUUACUUUUAAUUUAUCAUUUGUUGGGUUUUGCUUUUUGAUUGCUUUGGGAUUUGUGUUAUUAUCGCUUUGUCACUCAUUAAUCUUGGCUGUUUUGAAUCUGUGUUGGAUUUAGAAGUUUGGAGUUGAAAACAGUUAAAGCUUAGACUAGUAGAAGAGAUUUAUACAUUCAUUUAUCUUGGACAAAGUUUUUGGGGGAAAAAAAAAUUAUAAGUAUACACUUUCCAAUGGUUCGGUGAUGUUUGAUUGGUUUAAAGAUGUUGGAUCUCUCAUCAGAUUUCUUAUGUAUCGACUGUUGUUGCCACAGGAUGCUCGCAGAUCCUGCUUUUUUGUAUAAACUUCUACUAGAGCAGGCUGCAACAAUUGGUUGCACUGUUUUGUGGGAGUUGGAGAAUCAUAAGGAGAGGUGUGUUUUUUCUCUCAUAACAAAGGAACUCUCCCCUUCCUUUUUAUUUUCAUCUUAUAUAUUAAGCUAAUAAAUGUUUGUUUCUGUCGUGAUGGGAUAAAGCAAGAAUGGGAUCAGCUUGGUUUUGGUGCUUUCCUCGGACUAUAUGCAAACAUGAGAUAUCAACUAUUGUGUGGAUUUGAUAGAGCGGUCAUCAACCAUUUUGAUGUUACCAGGUUAUCUCUCCCUCUCCCUCUUCUACGUAUUUGUUUAUUGAUCUACAUCUCUAUAUAUAUUGAUAGACUAUUCUGGACGUACCAAAUUACCCUUGUUUUAAUGUUUUGUUUGUUAAACUUUGACUGGGGAAUCUGUUUAUUUGGCUGAUAAGAGGUUAGUGUGGUUUCUAUUGAAGUGUGUAGAUCUAUCACCAAGUAUUAUUUCAAUUUUUCUUUACUGAAUCAACUUGCAUCCUUUCCAAGUCCAGAUCCUUAACAAUAGUGCGACAUUGCUACCGAAGUACAAUUUCUCUAGUUUGACAGUUAAAUACGUAAGAAUGGUUUUAAAUUAACUGAACUCUGAGAUAGUUCUCUAAGGAAGUACAAGUGGUGAAUACGGUUCCAACUUUUAAGUGCCUUAAUAUAUCCAUUUGUUCAGCCCUGUGCAUAAAAAAUCAGUAAUUGCCGUCCAAAUUCUUCUUUACUGCCUAUAUGUGUUGGACUUUGUCUAUUCUUCAACUUCUCAAAUGGAUUUUUUGAAUGUCCAAUUAGGAGAAAGAUCAAGGCUUGCUUGGCUAGGAGUGGAAGCGGAUCCGCUACUUCAAUCAUAUGACCUUUUGAAGAAGGCUUACAACGGGGCGGCUCAGGAUGUCAAUGGCUCAACUCAAAAGUCCCCAAAGUGGUUGAUAUCAAAGAAUGCCAUUGUCUCUGGGCUUGGGCUCCUUGGGAUCAAACAAGGGAAUGCGACUCUGUUGAAGGGGAAGCACGGGCCCCUAAAGUGCGAAGAAAGAGGAUAGUCCGGAAGAAGGUGACCGCAUAAAUUUCUUGGGAGUUAAUCCUAGUCAAUAGCCCAAUUUUGCUGCCUGUCGAAGAGAUACAACACGGAAGUCCUCAUCAAACUCUUUGGGACAUCUAAGAACUAGUAGGGAGGUGGUGGUAUUCACUGUGUUUCCUGGCAAGUAUAGUUCACUGAUGGAUGGAUUCUUUUCUUGAUGUCUAAAUAUCAUAUGUGAUACAACGUCGUAUAUUCCAAUUUUUCUCCAGUAAAAUUCUAGUAAGUUAGAAAAGUUAAUUUUGUUCUAGCGAUGAAUUGUUUUCUUAGUAAUAAUAAUGGCCUGUUGCUUUGGAAUCUUAUUCACUCUCUGUAACCCAAUUAAAUUGUGCAAAUUCUACUGCGGAUUUGUCAAACAGAGCGUCUUUGUGAUUUCUUUGAUAGACUUUUGAUCGCUAGUUUAAGUUUGAAUCAUCUUGUAAUGCCAAAACAGAGCGCUUUUAAUUACUAGAUCGUACUCGAGUUUUUAUUCAGCUUUUAAUUACGAGAUCAGCUUUUAGUAUUAGCGAUAAUUAUAAUAUAAACGUUAAUUAUGAAACUCUUACCAAACAAGAUGUUACUCAAUUUUACUUAAUCUCACUCGUCUUUGAUUUGUAAAUUUUAUGCCUAAAUUUUUGUCAACAAAUUGGUCCCAGUUCCACGUUGAGUGCACGAGAUCCACAAGUUUGAUUGGGCAGAACGCAGAAGCAGCUAAAAAAAACUGAUGAAACCCACGUCCAAAGAUGCUGUUGUCGCGGAGGCCUAGACACGACUCCCCAUCCCCUUUUACCAUAUUUUAUAAUUGAAGAGGCCAUUAUUGAAUUGAAAAAUUAUGAUUCAACCGUUGGAAACCAACUCGGAAUUUUAAGUUGAUAUGAGAAAAGAUUUUUUCAUCAUCAUCAUCAUCAUUAUUAUUUCUUUUUAACAAAAAUUUAAGCUAAGACAACAAUAUAUGCCCAAAAUACCCCUCACAUUAUCCCAAACUUUCUAAACUCCCCCAUUCCUCUCAACAUCAUCUCUUCCAAAUCUUUCUUCCUCCAAAAAGCAGCCAUGGCUUCAAAUUCAAUCACCUCAACACUCCAAUAUUGGCUUGUAAACCACCCCCAAAUCCUCAACUUCACAUGGACUCAAAACCAAACCCCAGCUUCCUCCCCACACUUCCUCAUUCUCUCCAUCCUCACUUACCUCUCCCUCACAUUCAUCCUCUACCACAAAUUAACGCCAACGUCACCAUCAUCAUCACCUCUCAUUGGACCCCACAUCCUCAAGCCCAUCACAACCGUCCAUAACCUCACCCUCCUCCUCCUCUCCCUCGUCAUGGCCUUUGGUUGCACUCUCUCCAUCGUCCUCCAUUCACCCGACCUCCGUCACACCCUCUGUUUCCCCCCCACCAUUUCUGCCUCCGGUCCCCUCUUCUUCUACGCUUACAUCUUCUACCUCUCCAAAAUACUCGAAUUCCUAGACACCCUUUCGAUCAUUUUGUCAAACUCCAUCCAACGGCUUACAUUCCUCCACGUCUACCACCAUGCAACCGUCGUCGUAAUGUGCUACCUUUGGUUACAGACGAAGCAGUCUUUGUUUCCUAUCGCACUUGUCACCAAUGCAAGUGUGCACGUGAUCAUGUACGGGUACUAUCUAUUGUGUGUGAUGGGGUUGCGGCCAAAGUGGAAGAGAUUGGUCACUGACUGUCAGAUUGUUCAGUUCGUGUUUAGUUUUGUUGUUUCAGUUUUGAUGCUGUAUUAUCAUUUUGCGGGAUUUGGAUGCUCUGGGAUCUUGGGUUGGUGCUUCAAUGCUGUGUUUAAUGCUUCCCUCUUGACACUUUUUAUUAAUUUUCAUUCCAAGAGCUAUGCUAAGAAAAAGCAGGGAUGAUCAAAACAAAUCGUCGUUGUGAUUGUUCUCUGUGUGUGUGUGUUUUUUUUUUUUUGGUUAAUUAUGAAGGGUUGUGAUCGGUUCAUUGCAUUUGACAGAGAUGUUGAAGGGUUAUGUACUGGAAAAUAGAAAUUAAACCAACAUUAUCACUAUAACUGGUACAUUAUUACCAUCACAGAUCAAGAUCUGAAUGGACGCAUAGCAGCCAUCCUCAAAACCAAAGGAGGAGAAAAUUGAAAUAGAACAACCACCUUAAGGUGAAUAAGGCCAGAACAAGACACACAUCCUCAAAUCAUAAGGAAGAGGUGGGUGCAACCGAAAAAAAAAAGAAAAAAAGAAAUCAAGAAUCCACUGGAGAAGGCAAGAAAGAUAUUUGCCUCCGAAGAUUUGGUGAGGAAGAGAUGAGGAGUUAGAAAAGUUUUCGGAGAGAUCUACAGAUUAGCUUUAAAAGUGUGUUUUAAAGAAAAAGUUGUUGAGAACUUGAGAGGAUACAUGCGCAAUCAAUCCUUUACUCUUCAUGUUUGUGGAAUGUUUAUCCACUGAGUGUAAUCGUAAUCACACGGUUGAUAUUAGUUGGUUCUAUGUUGGAGUUGAUCCAUCAUAGCCGGAGCCUUUAAAUAAAAAACAUUACAACUAGAGAUGGCAAUGGGGCGGGGUGGGAGUGGGGAUGCCUACCUCAUUCCCCACCCCAUUAAAAAUUUUUGUCUCCAUUCCCCACCCUAUUCCCCAAUAAAUUUAGUGGGUUGAGGAUGAGGAAUCCCUACGUGGGGAAUGAUUCUCCCAUUCCCACCUCAUUCCCCAUUUACUUAUUUUAUAGUAGAUAUAAAAAUAUAAUUUUAGUAAAUUUAAAAUUAAAGACUUAAAAUAAAAACAUCAACAUAUUAUAAAGUAUUUAAAUUUUUUUGAAAAUCUCUAAAAGUUUGAAAUAAUAUCUUAAACUGAUAUUAAAAGUGAAAAAUAUUUAAAGAUAUUUAAAGAGAGCAGCACCUUAAAAGAGAAAAGAAAAUAUAAUAAUAUUUUUAAGUUAAAAAAUAUUGUAGGGUUUUCUUUUACUUAUAUCAUAUUUAUAUUACAUAAAAAUUAAAAAAUUAUUAAUUGACAUUAUAGUCGAUAAAAUAAAAAUUAAAAACAUAUUUAUAUAUAAUGGGGAUUGGGGUGGGGAUGGGGCGGGGAGUGCAAUACCAAACCCAACCCCAUUAACAAUUUGGGGAUUACUUUUCCCCCAAAAUUAUUAAAAAUUUUUUUCAUUUAGGGUGGGGCUCCAUGGGGCCCCAAACCCGUGGAGAAUUUUGUCAUCCCUAAUUACUUUGUCAUCCCUAAUUACAACUCAUGCAUCUAAGUACUUAAAGUUGGCUUGAGUGCAUGGGUUAUUGUCAGUUUUCUUCCUAAUUAAAUUAGGUUGGGAUAAAAUUAUCUCUUUAUUAAUAAGAAUAAAGUAGAUAUCUCUCUCGAUUUUCCUCUUAAUUAAACUGGAUAGGAGUAAAAUUAUCUUUUGAUUAAUAAGGAUGUAAUAUAUAUCUCUCUAAUAUUAUGUGAUGGUAGAAAUUUGGGUUGUACCGUAAUAGAAUUAUCAAGGAUAGUCUUGAUAGAAUUAAUGUAAAGAAUUAAGAUAAAGCCUCAAAGAUGGAACAGAGGUUAAAAAAAAAAAAGAGUACAAGACAAAGAAAUAAGGAAACAAAAGAAGACCAAGAAUAAAAGAAAAAAUAAUUUGGAAAACAAAAAAAUGGAUUGCAAUUUUAAAUUUUGAUUAAGGAUAAAUUGUAGUGGAUGCCAUUGUUGGUAAUUUAUUAUAUUUCAAAGCUCAAAUAAGGAAUAAAAUUAUUAUUAUUAUUAUUAUUAUUUUGCAAUAACUCGUUUCAAAUUUUAAAAGAUUAUAACUUUUUGUUUUUUAACAUUUUAAUCAUAAAUUAAAAAGGAGUUACUAUUCAAGAUUCCUAAGAAUACUGAAAAAAAUGAUAAAUAUUAUUCUAAGAAAAUGAUAUAUAUUGGAUAUACUAAAUAUUAUAAAUUAUUAAAUAUUUUACUAUUUUACCCCUUAGUUUGAUGUUUGGGGAAAAAAAAUACUAAAAUGGCUUUCAAUAAAAAGAAUUAUUAUUAAAAAAAUAAGAUUAAAAUUAUAACAAAUGAUAUUAAUAAGAAAGAAACUGAUAAAAAUUUGGGAUUAGAAAUAGGGGUUAAGGCUUCAGUCCUUGAAUUUCUCUAAAUUUUAUAUAUUUUUAAUUUUUAACCCGUCAAAUUACAUUAUUAAUGGAAUGUCAAUAAAUUUUGUGCGUUAAUUUUUGUUUUAGAUACUUUGAAAGGUAAAAUGGUAUUUUGGAUGGUAAAAGUCAACUAAUUAAUUAAAUAUUUAUAUUCUUCGCUCACCGGAUUUCUUAAAAAGUUUUCUGAACCUCCUAGCCAGCAUAUCCAUCUCUUCCUCAUCCAGCUCGCUUUCCUCAUCACUUUCAUGUUUCGAGGCUUUGAGAGCAAUGUUUUUCUUCUUCUCCUCAUUGCCUCUUUCGGCUUCUAAGUCUUCCUCAUAAGAAAUAAGAGAGCCAAUUAAAUCAUCAAUAGGUAAGAUAUUUAAAUCCUUGGCUUCUUCAAUGACAGUCCUUUUUGGUCUCCAUUCCUUAGGUAGCGACCUAAUAGUUUUCUUAACUUUCUCGCUAUUUGAAAAAGUAUUUCCUAGGGCUCCUAGAGUGUUCACUAUGUCCGUAAAUCUAGUAUACAUAGCAUACACACUCUCAUUUUGUUCCAUUUGGAACAAUUCAUAUUGCCGAGUGUACCUACUAAUUUUAGACUCUUUCACUUGAUUUGUGGCUUCAUAAACAACUUCAAGUUUGUGCCAAAUUUCAUUAGCACUCUCACAACUAGAUACUCUAUGGAAUUCUUUCUUAUCUAGUGCACAAAAUAAGGCAUUCAUAGCUUUGGAAUUUAGAGUAGCUUUUCUCUUUUCCAAUUCAUUCCAUUCCCGUGAAGGUUUUGGAAUAUCUUCCCCGACUUCGUUUCUAGUCAAAGGCAUAAAUGGACCAUCACAAACAAUUUCCCAAAUUUCAUAAUCUAAAGCUUGUAAAUAAAUUCUCAUCCUAGUUUUCCAAUAUGGGUAGUCAUUACCGUCAAAGAACGGUGGUCUAAUUGUGGAUUGUCCUUCCCUAAAGGUUGAAUCACUAUAGGUUGCCAUGGAUCUUUAACUCUACACGGUUAAGUCUACACAAGAGCACCUCGCUCUGAUACCAAAUGAAAUACUAACUAGGCAACCUAAGAGGGGGAGUGAAUUGGGUUUUUAAAAUUUAAGCUAAACAAACCACACAACAAUUUAAUCUAUUACCUUGAUCAAAUUGAAAACAAUAAAUUCAAUCAUGCACAAUAUUAAAAGAGUAAGGGAAGAGAAAACAAACACAAUGAUUUUUAUGUGGUUCGGCAAUCCCCGCUUACGUCCACGCUUCCAAGCUCACCGGGCUUGAGGAUUUCACUAAGCUAGCCUCCCAAGGCUUCAAAAGCUUACAAUUGACUUCCAAGGUGUCAAUGGACCUUUACAACAAGAGAUUAUCCCCAAUCUCUUAACCCAAGUGUAUCCCAACACUUACAAUCUUUUAACUUGAUUUUACAAAAAAAAGAUUACAAAUGAAUCUCUCUCACACAAUAUGUUUGAUCACAAGUGAAAGCUCAAUGUGUGAAUGAAUGAGAUGAAUACAAGAAUUUAAAGCUCAAUGAAAGUUGUAUUCUCAAUAUUUUGCUCAAUGAUGAUUGUUGGAAUCCUUCUUGUUUGAAUUGGAUUGAGCUUAUUUAUAGUUGGAGCUGAAAAACUAGCCGUUACAAACUGUCUGCCCGAAAACGGCUCGCCGUUAACCAUUAACGGUUAACCGUUUACGCUGGUCAAAAGUUACCGUUGGGCCAAAUUUCAAACAAACGGUUAACCGUUUAGGCUUACCCUUUUGCCGUUAAAUUCCAGAGACCAGCAAAACAAAUUUGAUUUAACCGUUCUUACUAAACGGUUCAAGGUUAGCAAUCUAGAAAUAAUCAGUUAACCGUUUUCAGUAAACGGUUCACCGUUAUUUUCCAGAAUCAUCAUUUUAACAAUACUUUGCAGAACAUGCUUUCUGGAAAUUAUCGGUUAGCCGUUUGCUACAGUGUAAUUACUACAGUGAAAUUAUUUUCCAAAAUUACAAUUUGACCCCAAAACUUUAUAAACUAUAGUAUGGCCCAACACGUUAUGAAACAUUGCACAUAGGUCCAAUUUCAUAAUUUCUAAGUAAUGCUUUGUUAAUCCCAAAACUUUUUGAAAUUAUGGUAUAGCCCAAAAUGCUAUGACACUUUUCAAAUAAGUCAUUCUCCAAAAUUUCAAGCAAUAUUUGUUUAUUUCAAAGUUUUCAAAAUUCUUUCAAUUAAACCAUAAACUUUGAAAAACAACCAAUUUCAUAAAAUCAUUUUUCCAUUAAAUAUGAAACAUUUAUAAUGUGAAAAUAAUGAUUUAUUUAAAAAGAAUAAAAACAAUCAAUUUCUUGAAAUCAUUUUUCCAUUAAAUAUAAAACCUUUAUAAUGUAAAAGUAAUGAUUUAUUUUAAAAUGUAUAAAAAAUAAUUUGAUCUUAAAAGAUUAAUCAUUCUUAAUCUUGUUUGUUAUCAUCAAAAUCAAUAUUAUGGAAACAUAUAUGUUAACAACAUAUACAUCCUUUACUUUAUAAUCUUUUACUUUUGCUCUUAAGCUAAAGCAUUAAAAGGCCCCAUAUCCACUCUUUAUAUAUAUAUAUAGGGAGAAUGACAAUUUUCUCCCAUACUGUAAUCAAUAUAUAUCAUUUACGUCCUACUUUUUUAUAAUAACCAAUAAUCCUUGGAUAGCAUAAUUUAACAAUAUUAUUUUUGGUUUAUUUUAAUUUUUGUUCAUUUGAUUUCAUAGUAGUAGUUUUCAUUUUUUUAGUUUAAAAUUUGUAAAAAUGAACUAAAAUGAGAUAAUUUUGAAUAAGAAUCAAAACAAAAAAAGGCCCAAAAUUACCCCUAUUCCGAACAUUAUCUGAAUCCAUCAUAAUUGACCCAAAUUCAAAUUUAACUCAAACCCAACCUCGGCCUCAUAUAAUUAUAACCUGAUCCGAUCUAGACUCAACCCCAAAGUUUUGAUUUGAUCUAAUCAAAUUCGAAUAUUCCAAGCCAAUCAACCUAAAACCCAAUCAAGUUCAUCCAAACCCAAAUUUGCGUACUCCUAGAGGGGACCAUCACCCUAUAAGCUUUGAAUUUUUUUUUGAGGUUUUUAAAUGAAAUAUUCAAAAUUAGGUAUAAAAUGACUGAUUUGCCCUUGAAUACUUGAUACAUAAACUUGAUACAUAUAAUGAAACUUUAAUUGUAUAUUUUGUGAAAUAAAAUCAAUUAAACCUGAUUUUUUUUAUUUGUUAAUUAUUUUUCAUAGCCUUUUUUAAAAGUUUGUAAGUUUGGGCCUACCUCUUUGAUUGUAUGUUGUUCAUUUUGCUUUCUCUUGCAACAAUAGUUUCAAAUAUCAGUCACAAAAUUCUCAAAUUUUGGAAUACCCUACAUACUAGCUAUAAAUAGAAAAAACUGAAUAAAAUUAAUCCCCAACUAACACUUGAAAUUUGAACUUGGGCCUCAUGAAGAUUUACUCUGAGCUCCGCCCCUGAUAUGCAAUAAAAUAUUAGUUUUGCUAGUGAAAUUUUCAAUUAUGUUUUUUUUUUUGUAUUUUCCGCUUAGGGAAGAAGAAAUUUCCUACAACUAUUGUGGUGAAUAUCUUGUGAAUUUAUGACAGUUUAAUCUUUAGUUUGCCACUUGCUUAAAAUGAAAAAGGGAAAAGGGUAUUUAUAUCUCUAAGGUUUGGAGAAAUAGUCACCAACACUACAAGUUUUCUAAAAAGGACAUCAAGACUCCUUUUUUACCAUAAUACCCUUUACUUUUAGUACCUCGAAAAAUUUAACUUGCAAAUGAAUAAAUACAAAUAUUAUAUAAAUAAUGUAAUCUACUUUGUAGAUUAAUAAUAUAAUCUACUUUGUAGAUUAAUAAUAUUUAAAUAUUUAAAUAAAUUUAAAUAUGUAAAUUAAUAAAUUUAUUUAAUAAUAUAUUUGUAUUUAUUGCAUUUUACAAUUAAAAAAGUCUCACAUACUAAUAAUGUUAAAAUUAUUAUUUUACAUAAUAAUUUAAAUUUUAAUACAUUUAUUUUAAUAUUAUGUUUACAUUUAUCAUAAAAUUUACUUUAACAUAAUAAAAUAUAUUAAUAGAUUGUAAAAUAUUAAAAUAUUUUUAAAUAUUGAAAUUAUUUUAAAAUGUAUAAAUUAUUACAUUUAUUUUAAUAUUAUAUUUCUCUUUACUAUAAAAAAUUAAAGUUAAUUUUUGGGAUAAUAAAGGUAAAGGGUAUUGCAGUAAGAAAGAAGUUUUAGUAUCUUUUAUUGAAAACUUAGGAGCAUUGGUAACCAUUUCUCCAAACUUUGGGGAUAUAAGUGUCUUUUUCCUAACAAAAAAUGACAUUUUUAAUAGGAGAUAUAAUAAGCUUUGUUCUAUAGAAAAAUCCAUCAGAUAUAUUAUGCCCCCGGUUGCUAUGUUAAAAAUAAGUAAUUCUUCUUUUUGUAUAUUAAAAUAGUAAAAGGGUGGAUAAUAUUUAAAUUUUCUUUUAACCUUUUAUCUUUUUUGACAUUCGAAUUUUAAACUCGAGAAAUAGACUUCCUGAGAGGUUAACUAAAUUCUUAGUAAUUUGAUAUAAUUUCAUAACCGUUCUCCAAAAGCAUUACGAUAUUUAUUAAAAUCAUUAUGGGACUGAUUUUAUUCUCUUUUUUUUUCUCAACAAAAUAUCCGACUGCAGAUGUAAUAAAUUACUCAUUACAAUUAUUUGAGUCCCCACUCUAAAUUAGAUUUUGAAGUUUGUCCUGACAUAAUAAAGUUACAUUUUCAAAUGACCAAAUCAAUUAAUGAGUCUGACAAAAAGAUGUUGUCGGCCAAGUUGAAAAAUAUAAUAAAUAAAUUGUCAGGAGAUGAUUUUUUCUGAAAUUUCAUUUUCAAGGUCCAGAACACAUUCAAAUUUCCGCUGAAAUUCAUAAUGGAUUCAUAUGAUCGGGCGAAAUUACACUAUACAAUUUCAUCAAUACCUAUUAAACGAUAAAAAGUUUAUUGAUUAUUUAUAAUUAAAAAAAAUCUAUCUACUAAGACUAUUCUAGAUCAAUAAUUAAUAUAUUAUAUAUAACUUCAGAAGGUUCAUCGGCGUAUUGAUCUAAGCCUUUUGUAGUAGUUUAUAAAUAUUUUGUUGCUUAUAAUGUAAGAAAUUUUACAGGAGUUGAUGCUGAGUAGUCUGAAUAAGAAAAUUAAUUAUAUUGUAAGUUAUUGGGUAUUUAUAAUAAAAUAAACAAUAAAAAAUGAAUAAAAAUUUAAAUACUUAAUUAAUUUUUAUCAAAUUCUUAUCAAAUAUUUAAAAUAUAUAUAAAAUCAAUUAAUUGAUGAUGUUGUUAAUUUUCAUGAUAUUUUUAAUAUUAUAUUAGUGAUUAUUAAAUUUAAUACAAUCAAUAAUGCUAUAAAUUAUUAAAUGGUUAAUUUUAUUGACAAAUUAUCAAAUAUGCAAAUAAUGAAAAAUUAAUCUCAAGAGUUGGUAGAAGUAAAGUUCCAAUUUAAUCAGAUAAUAAAUAAAAAUAAUUUUUAAGUAAAUUAUAAAUAAAAAAUAAUUAAUAUUAAGUAUAAAUAAACAAUAAUGAUAGAAAUUAAAGUCUCAUAAGAGCAUCUCCAAAAGACUCUUCAAAUAAGAUUCUACUUCUUAUUUGAAGAGCCAUGUCAAUAUUUUACACUCCAAAAGACACGUUAAUUUAAAUUCUUCAAAUAAAAUUUAUUUUUCACUCUUCAAUAUUGCCGAGUGAGUUUCUCCCUCUUCUAUUAAUAUUUUAUUAUUAUUUAUUGAAAAGAUAAGACUGCAAUAAUUAUUAUUUAUGUUUCUUUUAAAAAAUAUAAUAACAAUACAAUUUGAUAGUGGAAAAAUUUGAUUAAAAUAAUAUUAAUUUAUUCUUAUUUGGUGAGUCUUUUGGAGGGGAUUAUAUUUUUUUAUACACUUAUUUGCCACAUCAGUAAGCAAAUUGAAAUUUAAAGAGUAAAAUUUAAAGAUCCUUUUGGAGAUACUCUAAAUAGAUAACUUUUUUUCUUUAAUUUUAUCCCAACUAAAAUCAUGUGUAAAUUACAAUGAUUAAUCCCAUAAUUUUAGGAUGAAACUUAAAUUUAGUCCCCGAGUCCAAUUCAAUUAAUUUAACAAACAGGAGAUAAAUAUUUAAUAACAAAAUUAGUCCAAUUUCGUACUUAAUACUAGUAUAUGAACAUGGCCUGAUAAAAUAAUUUAGGUAAUAUGCUUCUAUGACUCACAAUUUAAAUAAAUUUGAGAAUUUAUAUAAGGGAUGGAAAAUUCAUAAUAAUCAUAACAUGUGCUAUCUUUUCUUCCUUUUCUUAAUUAAAUAAAAGAAAAAUAUUAAUCACAGAACCACUGCUGUUUAAAAUGACCCGAUGAUCGAUGAAGUCGCAUUCGCCUAUCUAAUAUUGCGCAAUCAGAUAAAUUCUCAAAUUUUAAAUGAAUUUAAUCUGCAAUUAGAUCAAUAACUACACAAUAAAGAUUAAAAAAUUUCAAAUUAUACUUGAGUUAAAAUUUGAUUCUUUUUUAUUAUUUAAAGUGAUUUAUUUAUAAUUAUUUUAACCCAAUUAGAUUUUUUUUUUUAAUGCUUGGUCUAUGACAGAAUUGAUCCUCAAAGUUUAAUUAAGCCUGAGAUGGAUACUCUCAGCAAUUUAUUAGAAUCUAACAGGAAAAGAGAGUUGCGAUUUGUAUGUGUAGAAAGAAAAUGUCAAAACGAAAUGUUAAUGUCACUUGUAGAGAGAGAGUUGGGACUGAUGAUCUGCAAUUUAGUCAUGAAAAAUUAGUGAUUAAAUACAACUAAAUUUCAGUUCUUUCUUUGGGAUCCAGAAAAAAAAUAAAAUUCCCCCUCAAUUUUCUGUUUGCAAGGGGGUAACUGUAAGCACAGUCUGAUUUUAUUUUCAGGGAAUAAUAUCGGUGAACCACCGUCGGGGAAAAUUUGAAGUCUAAACAGGUCAUUCACAGAUAAGGCCAAAGAGUAAAACAGGUCGUUCAUCGUGCAUUUGGAUUCCUUUCAUCUGGUUAAUUAUUGAAGACAAGAUGAAAACGCAACUAAUGUCAAUAUUUUAAUUUGGAAUGGGGGCCGUGUAUGGUGUAUAAAAUAGCAUUAAUUGUUGUCUGUGUUUGUUGUUUAAUAUAUAUAUAUAUAUAUAUAGGUCUAAACAGGUCAUUCACAGAUAAGUCUAAACAGGUCAUUCACAAACAGGUCAUCUUAUGAAUUAUUGAAGACAAGUAGCUGUUCGACGCCAGCACUUUUCAAAUCUGAAGAGCAAUUAGACAAUAUUUCUAUUUCAAAUUGGGGCCACACUCCAAAAAAAUUGCAAUAAUUCUCUGUUUUAUACCAAAUAUUGCGCAAUCAGAUAAAAAAAGGGUCGGCUGCAUGAUUUUUCCAACUUUUGUUUUAUUUUUUCUCUUUUCCACGGGCAUGUUAUAUUUAACAAUUCUCUUUUUGUCGUGACAUAAUGGACUAAAACGGAAUCACAACUUUUUCAAAUGACCAAAUGGCUUCGCCCUACCUGAUAAUAAAAGGCCAUAUAGAUGAGAAAUGGAUCCAUACGUUAAAGCUAUAUUAAAACAUAUAAUAAAUAAAUAGUCAGGAGAUGAUUUUUAUCAAAAAUUUCACUCGCACGGUCCCGACCAAAUACAAAUUUGUGAUGAUAUUCAUAAUGAAUUUAUACAAUUAGGCGAAAUUACUCUAUAUAGUUCCAUCGAUAUAUAUUAUACCAUUAAAAAUAUACUAAUAUUUAUAAUAAAAAAAAUUUAUGACUAUUCUAAAUCGACUGUAUUAUAUGUGAACUCACAAGAUUCAUCGAUAGAUUGCACUGAGCUUUUUGUUGCAGUUUACAAAUAUUUUGUUACUAAUUAUCUUAAGAGCGGCAAGUAACUAAAUACAAAUGUAAGAAAUUUUACAAGUGCUGAUGCUGUGUACUCCGCAGAAAGCUAGCCCACGACGGUGACUCCUGUUGGGACUCCUUCAAUUUGCAGCACAAAAGAACGUUCACAUUGACAUUGACUUGAGGGUAAAAAUUAAAAUAUCUCCAAUUAGUAUAAGAAGAAUCCAAACAUGCUUGAAUGAACAUUCUCUCAGAAUACAUAAAAGCUACUUUCCUCUGAGCAUUUUAGCAGCACGAAAAGCAAUUGCAGCAUUUACCAUUUGAUCUAAUAUCAGAAUGGCUCAUGCGAUCGUUUCCUCUCUCCUGGACCAGCUGAAUUCCAUUGCUCAAGAUCAGGUGAAAGAAAAGUGGAGGCUUGUGACGGGUGUCGAACAAGAAGUGGGAAAGCUUACCACCAAUCUUCAAGCCAUUCAAUCUGUGCUGGAAGAUGCAGAGCAGAGGCAAAUGAAGCAGGACAAAGCUGUUACUUUUUGGCUGGAUCAGCUCAGAGACACAUCCUACGACAUGGAAGAUGUGUUGGAAGAGUGGUUCACUGAAACACGGAAAUUGCAGCUUGAUGAGGGACGCGAUGAUGAUGAUGAUGAUAACGACGGUGCUUUUGUUACUUUUUUGACGAAGGUAUGUUCCUUCUUUCCUGCUGCCUCAAACUGCUUCGGUGGUUUCAAACAACUCAGUCUUCGUCAUCAUAUUGCUGUCAAGAUUAGAGAAAUCAGUGAAAAGCUAGAUGAUAUUGCCACUCGAAAAGAUAGGUUUAAUUUUGUUGAGAAUGUGAGUAACAAUGUUAGGAAUCCAGAGCGAGUGCGAACCAUCUCCUUGAUUGAUGAGGGAGAGGUUUGCGGUAGAGUUGAUGAGAAAAGUGAGCUCUUAAGCAAGUUGUUGGGUGAAAGUAGUGAACAACAAGAAGGCCUUCAUAUCAUCUCACUAGUUGGGUUAGGGGGUAUAGGUAAAACCACUCUUGCACAACUAGCCUAUAAUAAUGAUGAGGUGAAAAGAAAUUUUGACAAAGUUAUAUGGGUAUGUGUAUCAGACACUUUUGAGGAGAUUAGGGUCGCCAAAGCAAUCAUUGAAGGUUUAGGUGUGUCAGCUUCUGGUUUAAGCGAAUUCGAAUCUCUUAUGAAACAGAUUCAGGAAUAUAUUACAGGGAAGAAAUUUUUUCUUGUUUUAGAUGAUGUGUGGGAUGGAGAUUACAAAAAAUGGGACCUAUUCUUUUCUUGUCUAAAGAAUGGCCACCAUGAAAGUAAAAUUCUAAUUACCACACGUGAUAGGUCAGUUGCACUACAGUUGGGAUCAAUAGAUAUUAUCCCUGUCAAGGAGUUGGGUGAAGGGGAAUGUUGGUUACUGUUUAAGCAUAUAGCAUUUCUACGUAGGUCCUUUGAGGAUUGUGAAAAAUUAGAACCAAUCGGGAGAAAAAUAGCAUGUAAGUGCAAAGGCCUGCCUCUUGCUGCAAAGGUAAUAGGGAAUCUCUUGCGCUCUAAAAGUACAGAAAAAGAGUGGCAAAGAAUUUUAGAUAGUGAAAUGUGGAAAGUAGAAGAGAUUGGGCAAGGUCUUUUAGCUCCUUUGUUGUUGAGUUAUAACGAUUUGCCCUCCAAUUCUAUGGUAAAACGGUGUUUCUCAUAUUGUGCUGUCUUUCCAAAAGACUACGAGAUGGAUAAAGAGGAGUUGAUUGAUCUGUGGAUGGCUCAAGGUUACCUUAAUGCAGAAGAAGACGAAGAAAUGGAGAUGAUUGGAGAAGAGUAUUUCAACAUCUUAGCAACACGCUCUUUCUUUCAAGAGUUUAAAAUAUAUGAUGACGAUGAUGAUUUUACGAGUUGUAAGAUGCAUGACAUAGUACAUGAUUUUGCCCAAUUUGUAAGUAGCAAAGAAUGUUUGUGGCUAGAAAUUAAUGGUACCAAGGAAUCAGUCAUAAACUUUUUUGGUGACAAAGUCCGUCACUUAGGGUUAAAUUUUGGAGGAGGAGCUUCAUUUCCUAUGACCAUUUAUGGACUUAAUAGAUUGCGUACCCUCCUAAUUUAUGACCAAAGUUUUGUCAAUUUAUCUCUUAACAGUAGCAUCCUUCGGGAGUUAUUUAGUAAAUUGGCAUGUUUAAGGGCAUUAGUUAUAAGGCAAUCGACCAAGCUUUUGUAUGAAGACACAAAUUGGAUUACGGAAAUUCCAGAUAAUGUUGGAAAAUUGAUACAUUUAAAAUAUCUUAAGUUGUCUAAAUUGUAUAUAGCGAGACUACCUGAGACUUUGUGUGAAUUAUAUAAUUUACAAAAACUAGAUAUUAGGCGGUGCAAAUAUCUUAGAGAAUUGCCUGCGGGGAUUGGGAAGUUAAAGAACAUGAGGAGUUUACUGAAUGAUCAAACUGAAAAGCUGAAGUACCUGCCAAUAGGGAUUUCCAGAUUGACCAGCCUUCGAACAUUAGAAAAGUUUGUUGUGGGUGGAGGUGUUGAUGGUGGCAGCACGUGUAGGCUUGAAUCUCUGAAAAAUCUUCAACUCCUUCGAGAAUGUGGAAUAGAAGGGCUGAGUAAUGUAUCGCAUGUAGAUGAGGCUGAGAGGUUACAACUUUACAAUAAGAAAAACCUCCUUCGUUUGCGUCUUGAGUUUGGUGUAGUCGUAGAUGGGGAAGGCGAAGAAAGGAGGAGGAAGAACGAGAAAGAUAAACAACUUCUUGAAGCCUUACAACCGCCUUUGAAUGUAGAGGAAUUAUGGAUUGAAUCCUAUGGAGGCGUCAUUUUUCCCAAAUGGUUGACUUCACUAACCAAUCUAAGGAAUUUAUAUCUUUCCUUGUGUUUUAACUGUGAGCAUUUGCCUCCUUUGGGAAAAUUGCCUCUGGAAAAACUCAUCCUAUGCAAUUUGAUUGGUGUAAAAAGAGUGGGUAAUGAGUUUUUAGGAAUAGAAGAAAGCAGUUAUUGGGACGACCCAUCUUCAUCUUCAUCGUCAUCAUCAGUUAUUGCCUUCCCCAAAUUGAAAUCUCUCAAAAUUUGGUUCUUGGAUGAAUUGGAAGAGUGGAAUUACAGGAUUACGAGGAAGGAAAACAUCUCCAUCAUGCCACGUCUUUCUUCCUUGAAAAUUAAGCAUUGCCCCAAAUUAAAGGUGCUGCCGGAUUACCUUCUUCAAACGACGACGCUGCAGCACUUGAGUAUUCAGGGAUGUCCUCUUCUGGAAAACCGUUAUCGAGAGGGGAAAGGAGAAGACUGGCAUAAGAUAUCUCACAUUCCCCACAUCAAGUGGCGGUAAAUUCUCGAAUGGUUGCAAUUACUAUCACCCACCGGUAAUUGCUCUCCUCUAUUUUACUUUGUUGUUACUUCAAACAACGACACUGCAAACAUUGACAAUUUUAUAGAACGCAUUAGUACAUGUCAAUAACAAGACCAAUUAGAUUAUGGCAUUGCUUUAUUUUAUUUAUUUAUUUUUUUGAUUCUUUUGAAAUAAGAUCAAUUAAUUAGAUCAUGCUAGAAGUUAAUUUUUUUUUUUCAAAUGAAAAAGGAGCAGUCAUACAAAGUUUGAAUAUAAAAUUUAUAAUCUAAAACUAAUGAUGUGACAAUUAACAUGUUAUUAACCUAGCUAAUAGAGUUGGAAGUCCCAAAUACAUCAUAUUCUGCUCCAGAAAUCAAUUCCACCUAGAAUACUUCUUUCUAUUGAAAUUAAUGAUGAUUUGUUUGUUUGCAUCAUGAAAGUCAAAAAUAAUUUUAUGAGUAAUUUGAUUCUUUACGGUACAAAAAAUAAAUUUGGAAAGUACUAAUUUCUCUCAUACUUUUUGGGCUAAAAAAUAAAUGUAAGUCUAACAUAUUUAUUAUAUAAUGGUUCUAUAUAGAAUCAAUCAUGGUAUAAAUAUGUAAAACUUCCUAGUUAUCAAUUUUGUCUUGCAUAAUGAUAAUCGUUUUUUUUUAUAUAUAAUUUAUGUAACAUUAAUUCUUUAAAGUAAUUGUGGAAUUGUUUUUACUACAUUAGCCCUCUUUGUUUUAUUUCAUACGAGUUUAAUUAUGUUCACCAGGGAUUCGAGGAAAUGUCAGAACUACACUAGCAAUUCACAGGUCCAAUCUAAUUUGGUUUUAAUGAUGCAUGCAGGAGAGCAAGAUUAUGAAAAUGAAAAGUUUAGCCAAAGGAUUGCUAAACUGUUCUGCUGGUAAUUCACUUGCUUUAUUUUAUAGAAUUUCAUUUCCAUCUUCUUCUAUUGAUAUCUUGUUGUGAAUAAACAAGCACAGAGAAGUAAAUGAUUGAACCACGGAGAAGUAAAGAUAUAUCCAAAUUCGAUUAUUAUGAUGAUUAAAGCAAGCUCAAGCUCAAGCACUGCAUUUUUUUAUUUUAUUUAGUUUAUAGAAUUUUCAUUUCCACCUGCAUUGCAUUUUUACUUCAUUUUUAGGUUGACGUUGAAGACUCUUAUGGAGAACAUUGGGGUAACCAAGGAUUAUCACUGUGGUUAUUGUGCAACGUUUGGUUGCUGGACUUUGAAGAAGGAAGUGAUGGCCGGGUCUGCUCUGUUUCAAUUGAGGAUGGAUAGCUGCCUGAAAGAUAUGAUGAUUAUUAUUGCAUGAUAUUAAGGUGCUAAGAUCAUCAUUUCUAUCUUGUUUCAUUCUUGGAAUCAUUUAUCCUAUAUAAACAUAUUGAAUUGUGCUAAUAUUAUCAUAUGCGUCAAUGGAGGCAGGAAUUUGGUGUUGACACUAUUAUGCAGGUAACCACACUUCAUAGUUUGCACAAAUUUGCGUUGUCAGAAUAUCCUUUAAUAUUCAUUGUGUUUCUGUGUGUUAUCAGGUUAUCAUCUCCAAGGGUUUGAAAGAGCCUUUGCAGUAAAGUCAGUUUUCACCAGCUCGUGCAAUUGCAAAUUCAUUCAGAGUACUUCAAUAUUGGGUUUUCAAGUUUUGUAUGUUUAGUCGAUUAAAAUGUUUAGUCACUCAUUCUUAAUCAUUUCUGAUUUUCAAGUUCUUUAGGGCCAUAAACAGUUUUUCAAACUCAUUCUUAUUUUUUAGGUUGAUUUCCUACUCGUGGAGAACGUUGGGAAGUCCAAGGAUUAGGCUGGCGAUGGAACUACUACCUCUGUUGUUAUUGUACAAGGUUUGAUCGCUGGACCUUGAACAAGAAAGCCUUACACGCAUUCUGUAAUUGAAGCGUUCUCUAAAGCAAAAGAGCAGUAGAAGGAAUAGUGUUGGCCGGAUCUGUUCUAUCUUAAUUGAAGAUCUCUGUGAUGUUGAGGAGCUAAUGAUUGUUAAGGCAUAUUUUCAUGAACUUCCUUUCUUAACAAAUGUUUCAAUGCUGGCUGUAGUAACAAUUUCAUAUCUUGCAUCUCUCGGGUGCAUCAUGUUCUCGGGUUUGAAAAAGCAUUUGUGGUAAUGCUUCAAAGCUUGUACAAUGGCUGUGAAAAGGCACAUUCAAUUAGGUACGUUUUGGUGCGGUCUCUCAAUGCUAAUAUUAUAUUUUGUAUAGCAAUUAAAAUUUAGCUAUACAAUCUUAAUAUGCAAUAAAUCAUUGUAUACAAAGUUUUCCAUUAAUUAUGUGGUGACAGAAAUUUUAAUUAUCAUAUAUCAAUUUAAAUUUUUUUGUAACUCUCUCUUACUUUGCUUGUACAGAGUACCUGUUUUGGCUGAUAUGUCUAAUUCGUAGAAAUUCAUUUCCAUCGGUUUCCAUUGGCUUUAGCACAAACCGAAACAGAUCUCUGGGGAAAAGUUUUACUUCUUGUGAUAUUAUGCCUCUGUUUCUUCAUUCAUCAUAUUUUUCGAAUUCAUGCUCUCAUUCAGAGGGUAAAGCCUUUUCCAGGCUUCUUUGUAGCCAAACUUUGACGCCUUUGAUGCAUGACUGUCAUUUAGAUUUUCCAAAUAACUGUUAGAUUGGAGAAGAAUAAGAAGAUACUGUUAAAAGGGUAUUUAAUUAAUGUAGUCAAUUACCCUCUGAAUUUCUUGGAGUUAAUGUAGUCAAUUACCCAAUCUUGCUUCAAACUCUGACAUACCUAAUAAAUAGUAGGAGGGGGUGGUAUUCGCCUGGUGUUAAUUUCCUGGCAAGUAUAGUUCACAGAUAGAGGGGUUCUUUUCUUGAUGUCUAAAUACCGUAUGUGAUACAACAUCGUGUAUUCCAAUUUUUCUCCAGUUAAAUUUUAAUACGUUAGUAAAGUUAAUUUUGUUUUAGCGAUGAAUUGUUUUCUUAAUAAUAAUAAUUGCCAUGUUCCUCUGAAGUCUUAUUAAUGCCACGUCAUCGAUCCGUCUAUGCGAACAGUGUCGUGAACAGUACCAUACAUGUGAAUAGUACCGUACAUGUGAAUAGUGCCAUUUUUCCGUUUAUGCUCCUCCUAAGGUUUUCGACCGUCUUGAGUUCAAAAGUGAUGUCCGUUUUGCCGUCUGAUCUCUCGUUUAUUGUGAAAUGACCAUGAUACCCCUAAAAUACAUAAAAUACUUAAUUAAAAAUCAAACACACAUAAUUAAAUUGCAAGAAGCUUAAAUACAUAAAAGUAAGGGUUGUUAGUAAAACUUGAAAUGUAAAAUGAUGAUUUUCUCCUUUAUAAAUAUACAUUUUCUAACACUCAACACCGGCUUCUUAAUUAUUUGUUAAAUCAGGUUUUUCUUAUCAAGUACAUCAUCUUAUUCACCAUUUUGGCUAUAUCAGAAUUUGCUAUUACCAUGAUGUCAAAGCAAGCUCAAGCACUAGAUCCCUAAUAAUAAUGCAUUGCAUUUUCAUUUUAUUUUUAGGUUGGUUUGAAGACCCUAUGGAGAACAUUGGGGUAAUCAAGGAUUAGGCUGGUGAUCGAACUACUUCCACUGUGGUGUUGUGUGCAACGUUCAGUUGCUGGACUUUGAAGAAGAAAGUGAUGGCCAGGUCUGCUCUGUUUCAAUUGAGGAUGGAUAGCUGCCUGGAAGGCAUGAUGAUUUUUGUUGCAUGAUAUUAAGGUACUAAGAUCAUCAUUUCUAUCUUGUUUUUUUCUUUGAUUGGUUUAUCCUCUAUAAGCAAAUUCAAUUAUGGUAAUAUUACCAUUUUUUCACCCAAUUUUCACCGUUGGUUGUAAUAACAAUUUCACGUACUCAAAAGCUACAGAGCAAAGCACAUGUGGGCUGAUCAUAUGCUUCCAUGGAGGAAGGAAUUCGGUAUUAACACUAUUAUGCAGGUAACCACAGUUGUUAAUUUGCACAAAUUUUGCAUUGUCAGAAUGCCCUUUAAUAUUCACAGUGUUUCUUUUUGUUAUUCAGGUUACCAUGGCAUGUAGAGUAUCAUCUUUGAGGGUUUGUGAGAGCCUUUGCAGUAAAGUUACCGGCUCGAACAAUUGCACAUUCAUCGAGAACAAUUUUAGAUUUGCAAGGUUGCGAUUAGCAGGCUUAGUCACUCAUUCCUAAUCUUUUUUGAUUUUCAAGUUAUUUAGGUCCAUUAACCGUUUUCGCACAUGUUUCAAUGCUAGUUGUAAUAACAAUUUCUUAUCCUGCAUCUCUAAGGUGCAUCACGUUUGAAACAGCUUUUGCGGCAAAGUUUCAAUGCUUGUACAAUGGCCGUGAAGAGGUACAUUCAAUUCGGUACAUGUUGGUGCAGUCUUCUAAUGCUAAUAUCAUGUUGUGUAUAUUUAAUUUGCAAUUAAAACAUAGGUAUACAUUCUUAAUCUCCAAUAAAUCAUUGUGUACAAAGUUUUCUAUUAAUUAUAUGGUGACUAAAAGUUUAAUUAUCUUAAAAUUUUUUGUAACUCUCUUUUACUUUGCUUGUACAGAGUACCUGUUUUGGCUGACAUGUCUAAUUCGUAGAAAUUCAUUUCCAUCAGUUUCCAUUGGUGCUAGCACAUACAGAAACAGAGCUCUACUUCUUAUGGUAUUAUGCCUUUGUUUCUUCAUUCACCAUAUUUGUUCGUGUAAAAAACACAGAUUAGAAUGAAUAAUUUCUAUAUUUUAUUGAUGAUAAUUACUCCUCUUUAAAUAGAUUACAGGGGCAUAAAUCAAAUCCCACAAAAUCAGAGCUAUGACAUCUAGAAAUCUAAUUCUAAGGAAACAAAUCAAUAAACCUAUUUAAGGAAACAAAUCUUGCCAAAUAACAUAGAUCCUAAUAUAUACAAUUCUAAUUAUGUAUAAUUUUGAUUUCAUCCACACUCCCCCUCAAGCUUGGCUAUAGAUGUUGAUGAGACCAAGCCUGCCUUCAAGAAACUCAUGAGUAUGUUCUCAGAGUCCUUUGGUGAGGAUAUCAGCCAGUUGGUGAGAUGUAGGCACAUAUUCAAGCUUGAUAAUGUUUCCAUCAAGCUUUUCUUUAAUAAAAUGUCGAUCAACCUCCACAUGUUUAGUCUUAUCAUGAUGAACAGGAUUGUGAGAUAUACUAAUUGCUGACUUAUUAUCACAAUAGAGCAGCAUAGGUUCUUCAAAUCCAAUCUUUAAUUCCUUCAACACCCUUCUUAUCCAGAUAAACUCACACACUCCAUGUGCCAUUGCUCUAAACUCAGCUUCCGCACUACUUCUAGCAACCACUGACUGUUUUUUGCUACGCCAAGUCACCAGAUUUCCCCAUAGCAACGUGCAAUAACCAGAUGUUGAUUUAUGAUCAUUAAUUGAUCUAGCCCAAUCAGCAUCUGUGAAUGCUUUCACCUUUCGAUCAUUGGUCUUUGCAAAAAUAAGCCUUUUUCGGGUGUUCGCUUCAAGUAUCUCAGGAUUCUAUCUACUGCAUUCAAAUGACCUUGACAUGGUGCAUGCAUAUGUUGACUUACUAAACUCACUGCAAAGGCAAUAUCCGGUCUUGUAUGUGAGAGAUAGAUGAGCUUUCCAACUACAGGUGAUAAGAUGUUGCUUGAAUUCAGCAUCUUGUAUUGCGAUGAUUUUGCCCACAUGAGGUUCUGUGAUUCUUGACAUCAGGAUAACUCAGGUCAAUUUUUUGUAUCAGCAUAUAUCAUCUUGUUUACUGUUUUGCCUUCAAAGAAUAAACUUUAGUGAAGUUGUUUUUGUUUGUGUAAGUUAUCAGGUUAAGGAUACUAAGCAGCUUAUUAAGGCAAAUGUCAUAAUGAAGAUUGUUCACCACACCUGGCAUUUAUGAUGGCAAGGAAGAUUAAUUGUUCACAAGCCAAUUUGAUGAGUGUUAGAUUUUUGGCUUUAUAUAUUAUUAGAGCUCUCCCUUCUGAGAGAUAUCUCAUUAAAUUGAGUAGAGCUCUCCCAAUAAUCGCAAGCUUUCAUUUGUUUGUAAAAUCAUCUUCUUAUAUUGAUUGUGUUUCCUUGUGUUAUCAAGUAGAGUAUCAUCUUCAAGGGUUUAAAAAAGUCUUUGCAGUAAAGUUUCAACCAGUUGCUGUGAAGAGGCAUAUUCAUUUGAGUAAUUCAGUUUCAGAUUUUCAGGGCAUGUAUGUUUAAUUAGUUUUGAUUAUGCUCUAAAUCUAACAAAAGUAUAUUUCUACUUCUUGUGGUUAUUUUACUUUUGUAUUUUCUGUCAUCAUUUUGAUUAAUUCAUUCGAAUUCAGACUCUCAUUAUUUAAAACCAUUUUCAGGUGGCUUGCACGCUAAUUAAGAAAUUGGAAAGUUAUCAUUGCUUGAAUGAAAGCACCAUCUUCUUUUGUCAAGGCUUUCCCCACACGAUGAGAUUAUGUGCUUGUUAUCGGCCGCUUAAUUAUUUAUUAAAUCAGGUUUUUGUUAUCAAGUACAUCAUCUUAUUCACCAUUUUGGCUAUAUAUAAAGAUUAAAAUUUCUAACAGUUGUUUCAGAUUCUUGUGCACUCAGGUUAAUAGUGCAAAUGUCAGAAUGAAGAUUGUUCAGUGCAACCGGUAUAGCAAGGAUGAUAGUGGUGAGGAAGAUUGUAACACCCCAGUUCGAAAUCCAAGGGCAAAUAUGUCCACAACUCACAUAUGAUUUAAAUAACUCUUUACAAACAAUAAAAUUCGAGCCUCAAAUACAAAAGCCAGCAGAAUAACUUAAAAAUUUAGCCAAACCAUCUACUAUCUUCAACUUGUCACUCAUCACGAAAUAAUCCUGACUUCUGGAAACUGAAUCACAAUAAACUAUAAUGAGUACAAAACUCAGUAAGAAACUAGUUUUUCUUAUAGAAAAUACAUACAUACUUAUACAUAAUGCAAUGGAUGAUAUGCCAUGAUCUUUUGGAAAUAUUGUAAAAUAAAUUCAUAAAAAUCUCUUUCUGUCGCCUUCAAACUUUCUCAUUUUCUUUCGAUGAAAUACGUAUCCUGCAAUGUCGCACUUUGUGCUGUGCGUGGCACUUUGCGGCACUCUGGCCCUCAAGAGGUGGCCCCUGCAUAGUCUCAAGAGGUGGCCCCCCCACAACUUCAAGAGGUGGCCCCCAAUGUAAAAAUCUCAUAAAACAGAAAUUCCGUUUGCUAAAAUCCACUUUCUCAUUCAUAGAAAAUUCAAUGCAUUUUCGUGCUCAUGCCAAUGAACCAUCACACAUACAUAUGCCCAUGUACAUAAUCACGCCCAUUACAUAACAACACAUCACAUAAACACAUGAGCAGAGACAUAUAAAUCCAUAUUCGUACAUAUCAAAAUAGGCUUUUCAUACAAGUCAAACAUAUAUAUUAUUUAUUGUGAUUCGUUUUAAAGUCUAGUUCACUUACCUCUUGGCAUCCUCAUGUAACAAAUGUGUACUGAUACCAUCAACCUAAAAUCAUCAAUAAAUUCUCAUAAGAUAUAAUCAAAUCUCAAUCAUAAACUCUAAUGUCCUCAAAUAUCUCAAUUUAAACAACUCUUAAGCUCAACCUCAAAUGUCCUCAAUAAUCGGCCCUCAAAACAUAACAGUCCAUACUUCUCCGAUUUUUAAUAAAUUAUUCUCUUAUUGGAAGAAUCUCAAAUUUUACAGACCAUAUGCUGACACAUUGAAAGUUCAUUGAUAAAAAUUUCAUAACAUAAUUCCUUCCAAAACGAUUGAAAAUAAUUCACGUUUCAGACAUCAUCAAUACUGUCAAACAGUUUUCUGUUUUGAACACACUUGCUUUAAAAAUACAAAACAAUUUAUUUCUUUAUCAUAAAAUCAUGAAAAUUUCCAGAAUCAUACUAGACUUAUAUAAAACUCAUUGGUCCAAAUUUCAUAAGUUUGAAGAAGUCUAGAUAUGGUAGAAAUAAUUUCGUAAUUCACUGAAAUCAUAAAUUUCCAGGUUUUCAGACUUGACUUUGAAAAAUCAUAAUUAAUUGAAAUCUUAUCUGAUUAACUUGAAACAAGUUUCAAAACAUAUUAGACGAUGUCUAGUUUAACAUACCCAAAAAUCAGAAUCAAAAUCAAUUUUUACAAAUUACUAUGAUUUUCGUAAUAAUUCACUGUCAGCAUAUUUAUGUAAAAUCUUUGAUUUCUACUUCUAUUGCAAUCAUGCUUCUCCACAACAAUUUAAUAGAAACCAAUAAUUAAAACAUACCUCCAAAAAUUCUCCCAACAAUAACAACUUGAUCCAAUGUGUUGUCUAUGGCAAAACUAAGAAGAAGAAGAAGAGCUUCUUUUUUUUUUCUUUUCUCUCUUGUCUCUCCAUCUCUCUUUUUUAACCGAUCCCUCUUUUUCUCUCUCUUAUAAUGAAAAAGACAUCUUGUUCUAUUUAUACUAGGGUAAAAAGGAUCACUAAAAAUUAAAAAGACUUAAAUACCCUUAGGAGAUUUGGGGUAUUACAAAGAUUGUUGGCAAGCCAAAUAGAUCCCUCCAUUUUGAGAAAUAUCAUCCUCAAAUUUGAAUUGCUGAGCAUGUGAAGUGAAGCUAAAGCCUUAAUAAUGAGACCUUCCUGUGAAAGUUUCAUUUGAGUGAAUUGAACGUUCUUGGAGUGAGUGAGAAAUUAAGCAUAUAUCAGCGAUUAGUGAAUUUUUUUCUUUAACAUUAGUACACUCUUAUUUCUUAGUAAAAUUCUCUUCCCGUCUCUGACUGUGACGUAGACCAAAAGCUUAACAAUGUAAAAUUAUAUUGUUAUUUCCUUAUGCUUGUUUUGCUAUAUAUCAUUUCUGUGCAAUCAAGAAUGUAAUUUUGUAAUUAUUUAAUUCUGCUUCCGCAAACAUGCCGUAUUACAAGUGAUAUCUUGCAGAAUUUUCCCCCCCUUUUUUCUUUCUGCAUUAAAACUGCAACAAAUGGAAGUGACUGGCUUGAUUUUAGCUCCUGUAAAAAAGUGCUUGCGGCAAUGUCUUUUGUAUCAGCAAGUCAUCAAACAUCAUUUUACGCUUGAAGUUGGGCCUUCUGAAGAUUUACCCCAUAUGGAACAAAAUAUUGGUUUCGCUACUAAAAUUGCGAACUAUGUUUUUCUUUGUAUUUUCCGCUCAACUGUUGUGCUGAAUAUGUUGCGAACAUAUGACAAUUUAAUCUUUGGCUGAGACUUGUUUAAAAUAAAAAAUGACACUUUAAAGCAAUAGGAGACUUUUAUAUAUUAAAAUGGUAAACGGGUGGAUAAAACUCAAAAUAAAUUUUUGACAUUUUAUCUAUUUUGACAUUCGAAUUUUAAACUUUAGAAGUCAAGCAAUGAAUAAACCUUUUUGAGAGGCUAAUUAAAUUCUUAGUAAUUUCACAUAAUUUCAUUUCAUCAGAACAGUUUUAUCAAAAGCAAUUUUAUAAAUCGUUGUUGAAAGCUUUAUUCCUUAAUUAUCUUUCACAUAGUUUCUUUGUAAUGUGGGUAAGUCAUAGACCAUGGUAUGAUAUUUAUUAAAUAUCAAAAGAUACCUCUUCUAUGGCAAAGUUAAUUAGACAUGUCUUUAUAAUAAAACAUCAUUUAUUUUGAAAUUGAUCCAACACUAAGAUUAUUGUAGAUCAAAUUAGUCUAUUACAGAUAACUUCAGAAGGUUCAUCAGUAGAUUGUUCCAACCUUUUUGUCGUAGUUUACAAGUAUUUUGUUACUUAUAAUACAAGAAAUUUUACAAGUGCUGAUGCUGAGUAGUCUGAAUAAUUAUUAUGAAUCAUAAAAACAGGGCAGAUGCUGUACAAAUUUUACAAAUAUUUUGUUACUUAUAAUGUAAGAAAUUUUACAAGUGCUGAUGCUGAGUAGUCUGCAUAAUUAUUGAGGUGGUGGAGCAAAUGCUCAGUAGUCUGAAUAAUAAUUAUGAAUCGGAAAAAUAGGGCAGAUGCUGUACAAUUAUUGAGGUGGUGGAGCAGAUGCUCAGUAGUUUGAAUAAUUAUUAUGAAUCGGACAAACAGGGCAGAUGCUGUACAAUUAUUGACGUGGUUGAACAGAAAGCUAGCCCCAGACGGUGACUCCUGUGGGGACUCCUUUAAUUUGCAGCACAAAAGAACGCUCACAUUGACAUUGACUCACGGGUAAAAAUUAAAUAUCUCAUAUGGUAUAAGAAGAAUGCAAACAUGCUUGAAUCAACAUUCUCUCAGAAUACAUAAAAGCUACUUUCCUCUGAGCAUUUUAUCAAGAAAAGCAAUUGCUGCAUUUACCAUUUGAUCUGAUAUCAGAAUGGCUCAUGCGAUCGUUUCCUCUCUCUUAGACCAGCUGAUCUCUGUUGCGGCUGAUGAAGUGAAACAGCAGGUGAGGCUUGUGACGGGUGUCGAACAUGAAGUGGGAAAGCUUACCACCAACCUUCAAGCCUUUCAAGCUGUACUGGAAGAUGCAGAGCAGAGGCAACUGGAGAAGGAAAAGGCUGUUACUAUUUGGCUGGAUCAGCUCAGAGACGCAUCCUACGACAUGGAAGAUGUGUUGGAUGAGUGGAUCACUGCAAGGCUCAAAUUGCAGAUUGAGGGCAUUGAUGAUGACAAUGCUCUUGCUCUUGCUCCUCAUAAGAAGAAGGUACGCUCCUUCUUUUGUGCUGUAUCAAAUUGUUUUGGUAGUUUCAAACAACUUAGUCUUCGUCAUGACAUUGCCGUCAAGAUUAGGGAAAUCAAUGGAAAGCUAGAUGAUAUUGCCUCCCAAAAAGAUACGUUUAAAUUUGUUGAGAAUGUGAGUAACAAUGUUAAGAAACCAGAGCGAGUGCGAACCACCUCCUUGAUUGAUGAGGGAGGGGUUUGUGGUAGAGUUGAUGAGAAAAAUGAGCUCUUAAGCAAGUUGCUGUGUGGAAGUAGUGAACAACAAAAAGGCCUUCAUGUCAUUUCACUAGUUGGGUUAGGGGGUAUAGGUAAAACCACUCUUGCACAACUGGCGUAUAAUAAUGAUGAGGUGAAAAGAAAUUUUGAAAAAGUUAUAUGGGUGUGUGUAUCAGACACUUUUGAGGAGAUUAGGGUCGCCAAAGCAAUCAUUGAAGGUCUAGGCGUGUCAGCUUCUGGUUUAAGCGAAUUCGAAUCUCUUAUGAAACAGAUUCAGGAAUAUAUUACGGGGAAUAAAUUUUUUCUUGUUUUAGAUGAUGUGUGGGAUGGAGAUUACAAAAAAUGGGACCUAUUCUUUUCUUGUCUAAAGAAUGGCCACCAUGAAAGUAAAAUUCUAAUUACCACACGUGAUAGGUCAGUUGCACUACAGUUGGGAUCAAUAGAUAUUAUCCCUGUCAAGGAGUUGGGUGAAGGGGAAUGUUGGUUACUGUUUAAGCAUAUAGCAUUUCUACGUAGGUCCUUUGAGGAUUGUGAAAAAUUAGAACCAAUCGGGAGAAAAAUAGCAUGUAAGUGCAAAGGCCUGCCUCUUGCUGCAAAGGUAAUAGGGAAUCUCUUGCGCUCUAAAAGUACAGAAAAAGAGUGGCAAAGAAUUUUAGAUAGUGAAAUGUGGAAAGUAGAAGAGAUUGGGCAAGGUCUUUUAGCUCCUUUGUUGUUGAGUUAUAACGAUUUGCCCUCCAAUUCUAUGGUAAAACGGUGUUUCUCAUAUUGUGCUGUCUUUCCAAAAGACUACGAGAUGGAUAAAGAGGAGUUGAUUGAUCUGUGGAUGGCUCAAGGUUACCUUAAUGCAGAAGAAGACGAAGAAAUGGAGAUGAUUGGAGAAGAGUAUUUCAACAUCUUAGCAACACGCUCUUUCUUUCAAGAAUUUCAGAAAAAUGAUGAUGAUGAUUUUACGAGUUGUAAGAUGCAUGACAUAGUACAUGAUUUUGCCCAAUUUGUAAGUAGCAAAGAAUGUUUGUGGCUAGAAAUUAAUGGUACCAAGGAAUCAGUCAUAAACUUUUUUGGUGACAAAGUCCGUCACUUAGGGUUAAAUUUUGGAGGAGGAGCUUCAUUUCCUAUGACCAUUUAUGGACUUAAUAGAUUGCGUACCCUCCUAAUUUAUGACCAAAGUUUUGUCAAUUUAUCUCUUAACAGUAGCAUCCUUCGGGAGUUAUUUAGUAAAUUGGCAUGUUUAAGGGCAUUAGUUAUAAGCCAAUCGACCAAGCUUUUGUAUGAAGACACAAAUUGGAUUACGGAAAUUCCAGAUAAUGUUGGAAAAUUGAUACAUUUAAAAUAUCUUAAGUUGUCUGAAUUACACAUAGAGAGACUGCCUGAGACUUUGUGUGAAUUAUAUAAUUUACAAAAGCUAGAUAUUAGGCGGUGCCCAAAUCUUAGGGAAUUACCUGCGGGGAUUGGGAAGUUAAUGAACAUGAGGAGUUUACUGAAUGGUAAAACUUAUUCGUUGAAAUACAUGCCAGUAGGGAUUUCCAAAUUAACCAGUCUUCGAACAUUAGAAAAGUUUGUUGUGGGUGGAGGUGUUGAUGGUAGCAAUACGUGUAGGCUUGAAUCUCUGAAAAAUCUUCAACUCCUUCGAGAAUGUGGAAUAGAAGGGCUGGGUAAUGUGUCCCAUUUAGAUGAGGCCGAGAGAUUACAACUUUACAAUCAGCAAAACCUCCUUCGUUUGCGUCUUCGGUUUGGUGGAGUCGUAGAUGGGGAAGAUGAAGAAAGGAGGAGGAAGAAUGAUAAAGACAAACAACUUCUUGAAGCUUUACAACCGCCUUUGAGUGUAGAGGAAUUAGGGAUUGAAUCCUAUGGAGGCGACAUUUUUCCCAAAUGGUUGACUUCACUAACCAAUCUAAGGAAUUUAACACUUUCCUCGUGCGCUAACUGUGAGCAUUUGCCUCCUUUGGGAAAAUUGCCUCUGAAAAAACUCGAACUACUCGACUUGGAAAGUGUAAAAAGAGUGGGUAAUGAGUUUUUGGGAAUAGAAGAAAGCAGUGAGGAUGACCCAUCUUCAUCUUCAUCGUCACCAUCAGUUAUUGCCUUCCCCAAAUUGAAAUCACUCGAAAUUGACGGAAUGAAAGAACUGGAAGAGUGGAAUUACAGGAUUACGAGGAAGGAAAACAUCUCCAUCAUGCCCCGUCUUUCUUCCUUGCAAAUUAUGAAUUGCCGCAAAUUAAAGGCGCUGCCGGAUUACCUUCUUCAAACGAUAGCACUGCAGAAACUGGGUAUUUAUUAUUGUGAUCUUCUAGAAGAACUGCCCAUUCUAGAAGAUCGCAGGACAACAGACAUACCACGUCUUUCUUCCUUGGCGAUUUGGUAUUGCCCCAAAUUAAAGGUGCUGCCGGAUUACCUCCUUCGAACGACGACGCUGCAGGUAUUGAGUAUUAUGGAAUGUCCUCUUCUAGAAGGACAUUAUAGAGAGGGCAAAGGAGAAGACUGGCAUAAGGUAUCUCACAUUCCCUGCAUCAUGUGGUUGCCGUCGUUGUAAGAUAUCACUCGCUGGUAAUUUCUCCUCCUCCUCUGAUUUACUUCGUUGUUGCUUGCAAUGAAAUUAAUAAAAAUAAUUAUAUUUUGAAUUAAAAUUCUAUAUAGAAUCAAUCAUGGUAUAAAUAUGUAAAACUUCCUAGUUAUUAAAUCUGUUUAACUUGUUUUCUAAAGAUUAAAUUAAAAAAAAGUGUAGUCUGUUGAAAUUUCUAUAUUUACUUCUAAAAAAUAUGUGCUCUUUUGUAAAAUUUCAUACCACAUCAUAGAAAAUCCCAAUGUAAUUUAUUUUUUAAUGUACAAAAAUUUGUUAUGUGUAACUUCCUGAGAGGCAAAAUCUCUGGGAUACAUUUGCAAUAAUGUUGAAAAAUAAAUUAUCAAUUUUAUCUUGUAUAAUGAUAAUCAUAUUUUUUUAUAUAUAAUUUAUGUGACAUUAAUUCUUUAAAGUAAUUGUGUAAUUGUUUUUAGUAGUACAUUAGCCCACUUUAUUUUAUUUCAUAUGAGUUUAAUUAUGUUCACCAGGGAUUCGAGGAAAUGUCAGAACUACACUAGCAAUUCACAGGUCCAAUCUAAUUUGGUUUUAAUGAUGCAGGCAGGAGAGCAAGACUAUGAAAAUGAAAAGUUUAGCCAAAGGAUUGCUAAAAUGUUCUGCUGGUAAUUCACUUGCUUUAUUUUAUAGAAUUUCAUUUCCAUCUUCUUCUAUUGAUAUCUUGUUGUGAAUAAACAAGAACAGAGAAGUAAAUGAUUGAACCACAGAGAAGUAAAGAUAUAUCCAAAUUCGAUUAUUAUGAUGAUUAAAGCAAGCUCAAGCUCAAGCAUUGCAUUUUUUAUUUUAUUUAGUUUAUAGAAUUUUCAUUUCCACCUGCAUUUCAUUUUUAUUUCAUUUUUAGGUUGACGUUGAAGACUCUAUGGAGAACAUUGGGGUAACCAAGGAUUAUCACUGUGGUUAUUGUGCAACGUUUGGUUGCGGGACUUUGGAGAAGGAAGUGAUGGCCGGGUCUGCUCUGUUUCAAUUGAGGAUGGACAGCUGCCUGAAAGACAUGAUGAUUAUUAUUGCACGAUGUUAAGGUGCUAAGAUCAUCAUUUCUAUCUUGCUUCAUUCUUGGAAUCAUUUAUCCUAUAUAAACAUAUUGAAUUGUGCUAAUAUUAUCAUAUGCGUCAAUGGAGGCAGGAAUUUGGUGUUGACACUAUUAUACAGGUAACCACACUUCAUAGUUUGCACAAAUUUGCGUUGUCAGAAUAUCCUUUAAUAUUCAUUGUGUUUCUGUGUGUUAUCAGGUUAUCAUCUCCAAGGGUUUGAAAGAGCCUUUGCAGUAAAGUCAGUUGUCACCAGCUCGUGCAAUUGCGCAUUCAUUCAUAGUACUUCAAUAUUGGGUUUUCAAGUUUUGUAUGUUUAGUCGAUUAAAAUGUUUAGUCAAUCAUUCUUAAUCAUUUCUGAUUUUCAAGUUCUUUAGGGCCAUAAACAGUUUUUCAAACUCAUUCUUAUUUUUUAGGUUGAUUUCCUACUCGUGGAAGUCCAAGGAUUAGGCUGGCGAUGGAACUACUACCUCUGUUGUUAUUGUGCAAGGUUUGAUCGCUGGACCUUGAACAAGAAAGCCUUACAUGCAUUCUGUAAUUGAAGCGUUCUCUAAAGCAAAAGAGCAGUAGAAGGAAUAGUGAUGGCCGGAUAUGCUCUAUCUUAAUUGAAGAUCUCUGUGAUGUUGAGGAGCUAAUGAUUGUUAAGGCGUAUUUUCAUGAACUUCCUUUCUUAACAAAUGUUUCAAUGCUGGCUGUAGUAACAAUUUCAUAUCUUGCAUCUCUCGGGUGCAUCAUGUUCACAGGUUUGAAAAAGCAUUUGUGGUAAUGCUUUAAAGCUUGUACAAUGGCUGUGAAAAGGCACAUUCAAUUAGGUACGUUUUGGUGCGGUCUCCCAAUGCUAAUAUUAUAUUUUGUAUAGCAAUUAAAAUUUAGCUAUACAAUUUUAAUAUGCAAUAAAUCAUUGUAUACAAAGUUUUCUAUUAAUUAUAUGGUGACUGAAAUUUUAAUUAUCAUAUCAAUUUAAAUUUUUUUGUAACUCUCUUUUACUUUGCUUGUACAGAGUACCUGUUUUGGUUGAUAUGUCUAAUUUGUAGAAAUUCAUUUCCAUCGGUUUCCAUUGGCUUUAGCACAAACCGAAACAGAGCUCUGGGGAAAAGUUUUACUUCUUGUGAUAUUAUGCCUUUGUUUCUUCAUUCAUCAUAUUUUUCGAAUUCAUGCUCUCAUUCAGAGGGUAAAGCCUUUUCCAGGCUGCUUUGUAGCCAAACUUUGACGCCUUUGAUGCAUGACUGUCAUUCUUUUUCUUGGUUAUUCAAACUUUCAGUUAUAUAUUAUGUGAAAGAUUCUUUUUCUUAUUAAAGUACAUUGUUGGUUUUUUCUUUUUCCUUCAUUUUGUCUGAAUUAAAGCUAAAAUUGUAAGUUUUUUUUUAAUUGGAAAAUAUUAAUAUUUCAUUAAACAAAUAACAACAAUACAACUACUUGCAGUACAUCACUAGUUCACAUUACAAAGAUUAAAAUACAGAGAUCUGUUUUAGUUACAGAGAUCUAUUACAGUAAUCAAUUGAAUUAACCCCUAAAAGUUUAUUAAAGAAUAGGAAGAAACACAUGUACACUAAAAGAAAAACUUCCAUUCGUAAUGCACAUAUAAUUCAAGCUCCAUUUGGGGUUCCAUGGCUCUUUCGAAAUUAUCUCCACCACCAUAUUUAUGCUUUCCAGCUAGUACCAAAAUAGAUUUACCGUAAAAAUUGAUUCACACCCUCUAACUUUACAAACAUGAGAAACAUAGACUCUAGAUCUAAAAGUUGAAGGGUUAUGUACUGGCAAAUAGAAAUUAAACCAACAUUAUCACUAUAACAGAUACAUUAUUACCAUCAAAGAUCAAGAUCUGAAUGGAUGCACAGCAGCCAUCGUCAAGACCAAAAGAGGAAGAAAUUGAAAUAGAACAACCACCUUAAGGUGGAGAAGGCCAGAACAAGACACCCAUCCUCAAAUCAUAUGGAAGAGGUGGGUGCAACCAAAAAAAAAAAAAAAGAGAGAAUCCACUGGAGAAGGCAAGAAAGAUUUCUGCCUCCAAAGAUUUGGUGAGGAAGAGAUGAGGAAUUUGGAGAGGAAAAGUUUCGGAGAGAUCUAGAGUUUGGCUUUAAAAAUGUGUUUUAAAGAAAAAGUUGUUGAGAGGAAACGAGACCAAUUAGAUCAUGCAAGAAGUUAAUUUUUUUUAAAUAAAAAAGGAGAAAUGAUGAUCUUACAAAGUUUGAAUAUAAAGUUUAAAAUCUAAAAUUAAUGACUUGACAAUCGAUGCAUUAUUAGCCUAAUAGAGUAAGAAGUCCCUGCUAAAGAAUUCAAUAUUCUACCCAGAAUACUUCUUUCUAUUGCAAUUAAAUGAUGAUUAUUUGUUUUUAUCAUGAAAGCUAAAAUAACUUUGUGAGUAAUUUGAUCCUUUUGCAGUAUAAAAAUAAAUUCAGAAAUGGGCACCAUUCUUCCUUUGUUUAAAUCAUGGUCUCCACGGAAGUAAAAUUUUGGUUACUACACGUAAUGAGUUAGUUGCACGUAUGAUGGGAUCAACAAAUAUUAUCUUCAUUGAGCAAUUGAUUGAAGAGGAUUGCUAGUCGGUUUUCAAGCGAUUAGCAUUUUUCGGUCACUCUUUCGAGGAUUGUGAAAGAUUAGAACCAAUCGGCCGAAAAAUUGCACGCAAGUGCAAAGGCCUGCCUCUUGCUGCAAAGGUAAUAAGGAAUCUCUCGCGUUCAAAAAGUGCAAUAAACGACUGGCAAAGAAUUUUAGAUAGUGAAAUGUGGAAGGCAGAAGAGAUUGGGAAAGGUCUUUUGACUCCUUUAUUGUUGAGUUAUAAUGAUUUGUCGUCCAAUUCUAUGGUAAAACAAUAUUUUUCAUUUUGUGCUGUCUUUCCGAAAGACUACAAUAUGUAUAAAGAGGAGCUAAUUUCACUAUGGAUGGCUCAAGGUUACCUUAAUGCAGAAGAAUAUGAAGAGAUGGAGAUGACUGGGGAAGAGUGUUUCAACAUUUUAGCAACACACUCUUUCUUUCAAGAGUUUGAGAAAAAUGAUGAUGAUGAUAUUAUGAGUUGCAAGAUGCAUGACAUAGUACAUGAUUUUGCUCAAUUUGUAAGUAGCAAAGAAUGUUUGUGGCUAGAAAUUAAUGGUACCAAAGAAUCAGUCAUAAACUCUUUUGGUGGGAAAGUCCGUCCCUUAGGUUAAAGUUUAAAGGAGGCGCUUUAUUUCCUAUGUCCAUUCAUGGACUUAAUAGAUCGCGUACCCUCCUAAUUGAUUAUGAAAGUCCUUCCAAUUCGUCUCUUGAUAGUAGCAUCCUUCCUGAGUUAUUUAGUAAAUUGGCAUGUUUAAGAGCAUUAGUUAUAAGGCAAUCAUUCUUGCUUUGUCGUCCUGACCCAAAUUUGAUUAGAGAAAUUCCAGAAGAUGUCGGGAAAUUGAUGCUUUUAAAAUAUCUUAAUUUGUCUGAAUUACACAUAGAGAGACUGCCUGAGACUUUGUGUGAAUUAUAUAAUUUACAAAAGCUAGAUAUUAGGGGGUGCCGAAAUCUAAGAGAAUUGCCUGCAGGGAUUGGGAAGUUAAAGAACAUGAGGAGUUUGCUAAAUGGUCUUACUUGUUCGUUGAAGUACAUGCCAAUAGGAUUUUCCAAAUUAACCAAUCUUCGAACAUUAGACAAGUUUGCUGUGGGUGGAGGUGUUGAUGGUGGCAGUACGUGGAGGCUUGAAUGUCUGAAAAAUCUUCAACUCCUUCGAGAAUGUGGAAUAGAAGGGCUGAGUAAUUUGUCACAUGUAGAUGAGGCUGAGAGAUUAGAACUCAAAAAUAUGGAAAACCUCCUUCGUUUGUAUCUUUUGUUUGAAGUUGUAGAUUGGGAAGAUAAAGAAGAGGAUGAAGAUGAAGGUGGGGAAGAUGAAGGUGAGGAUGGGGGAUAUGAAGAAGAAGAAGGAGGUGAAGUUGUAAAUGGGGAAGAUGAAGAAAGGAGCAGGAAGAAUGAGAAAGAUGAACAACUUCUUGAAGCCUUACAGCCGCCUUUGAAUGUAGAGGAAUUAUGGAUUUUAUUAUAUGGAGGCAACAUUUUUCCCAAAUGGUUGACUUCGCUAACCAAUAUAAGGAAUUUAUUUCUUCACAGGUGUCUUAACUGUGAGCAUUUGCCUCCUCUGGGAAAAUUGCCUCUGGAAAAACUCGCCCUGCAAAAUUUGAAUAGUGUAAAAAGAGUGGGUAAUGAGGUUUUGGGAAUAGAGGAAAGUAGUGAUGAUGACCCGUCUUCAUCUUCAUCAUCAUCAUCAGUUAUUGCCUUCCCCAAAUUGAAAUCACUCAAAAUUUGGGACAUGGAAGAAUUGGAAGAGUGGGAUUACACGGUUACGAGGAAGGAAAACAUCUCCAUCAUGCCACGUCUUUCUUCCUUGGAAAUUGAUUGUUGCCCCAAAUUAAAGGUGUUGCCAGAUGACCUUCUUCAAACGUCGACACUGCAGGAAUUGAGUAUUGGGGGAUGUCCUAUUCUAGAAGACUGGCAUAAGAUAUCUCACAUUCCCCACAUCGAGUUUUAAAUUCUCGAACGGUUGCAAUUACUAUAACCCGCCGGUAAUUUCUCCUCCUCCUCUGUUUUGCUUCAUUGUUACUUGUAAUGAAAUUAAUAAUAAUAAUGAUAAUAAUUAAAUUUUGAAUUAAAUUUCUAUAUUUUGCCAAUGUCUCAUAGGAAUGUGCAAUAUUUUCUAAUAUUUUGAUUUUUGUAUUGAAUAUAACUAUUUACUUCAGUGUACGAUAAUUUGUUACGUGAAACUUCUUGAGAGACUGAAUUUCUGGGGUACUUUGUAGUAAUGUUGAAAACUAAGUGAUGGCUGGGUCUGCUCUGUUUCAGUUGAGGAUGGAUUGCUGCCUGGAAGACAUGCUGAUUAUUAUUGCAUGAUAUUAAGGUGCUGAGAUCAUCAUUUCUAUCUUGUUUCUUUCUUUGAACGGUUUAUCCUCUAUAAGCAUAUGGAAUUAUGUUAGUAUUAUCACUUCUUCACCCAAUUUUCACUGUUGGUUGUAAUAACCAUUUCAGGUUCUCAAAAGCUACAAAGCAAAGCAUCUUUGGGCUGAUCAUAUAUUUCAAUUGACGAAGGAAUUCGAUGUUGGCACUAUUAUGCAGGUAACCAGAGUUGAUAAUUUGUACAAAUUUGCAUUGUCAGAAUACCCUUCAUAUUCACCGUGUUUCUUUGUGUAGGUAUGUAGAGUAUCAUCUUCAAGGGUUGUAAGAGCCUUUGCAGUAAAUUUAGCUGCUAGUGCAAUUGCUCAUUCAUCGAAGUACAAUUUUGGAUUUUCAAGGUUUGUAUGCUCAGUUGUAAUUAAAAUGCUUAGUCACUUAUUCCUAAUCUUUCUGAUUUUCAAGUUAUUUUAGGUCCAUAAACAGUUUUCACACAUGUUUCAAUGCUUCUUGUAAUGACAAUUUCAUAUCUUGCAUCUCUAAUGUGCAUCAUGUUUGAAACAGCUUUCGCGGUAAAGUCUUCGAUGCUUGUACAAUGGCUGUGAAGAGGCACACUAAAUUCGGUACAUUUUGGUACGGCCUCCUAAUGCUGGUAUAAUGUUGUGUAUAUUUAGUUUGCAAUUAAAACUUAGGUAUACAAAUCUUAAUCUGCAAUAGAUCAUAGUGUACAAAGUUUCUAUUAAUGAUAUGGUGACUGAAAGUUUAAUUAUCUUAAAAUUUUUCUAUGACUCUCUUUUACUUUCUUUGUACAGAGUACUUGUUUUGGCUGAUGUGUCUAAUUCAUAGAAAUUCAUUUCCAUCGGUUUCCAUUGGUUUGAGCACAAACAGAAACAGAGGUCUGAGGAGAAGUUUCACUUCUUGCGGUAUUAUGCCUUUGUUUCUUUAUUCACCAUAUUUGUUCGAAUUCAUGCCCUCAUUAAGAAUUUAAAGCCUUUUCCAGGCAGCUUUGUAGCCAAAUUUUGAUGCCAUAAAUGCAUGAUUGUCAUUUAGAUUUUCCGAAUAUUUGUUAUUUGGAGAAAUAUUGUUAAAAGGGCAUUUGAUUAGCUACUUACCCUAUGAAUUUAGUUGCCAAUAAUAGAUUGAAAUUGAGUAGGCUAAUGGUUGAGGAAAGUUAUUGUCUUAAUUAAAUUACAGGUGAUAAGAUGUUGCUUGUGUAAUCAGAUAAAUGGGGCAAAUGUCAGAACAAAGAUUGUUCAGUGCUGCUGGUAGGGCAAGGAUGAUGAUGGUGAGGAAGAUUGUUCACAAGCCAAGUAGAGCCCUCCAUUUUGAGAAAUAUCAUCCUCAAAUUUGAAUUGUUGAGCAUAUGAAGUGAUGCUAAAGCCUUAAUAUUAAGUCUUUCUGAAAGUUUCAUUUGAAUGAAUUUUCGGAGAUUGAAUGUUCUUAGCGUGAGUAAGAAAAUUAAGCACAUAUCUGCGAUUUGGAUCGUCGGUGAAUGUUUUCCUUUAAUAUUUGUACAAACCCGUUUCUUAGUAAAAUUUUCUUCAUGUCUUUUACUAUGACAUAGGCUAAUAGCCGUACCACAUAACAUUAUCUUCUUAUUUCUUUAUGCUUGGUUUUGCUACAUAUAAGAAUGCAAUUUUGUAACUACUUAACUCUGCUUCGGCAAAGUUAAGUAGUUACAAAAAUUUUUUUUUUUCGUUUUUCUUUCUCCGAUAAAAUUGCCACAAAUGGAAGCGAUUGGCUUGAUUUUUGCUUCUGUAAAAAGUGGUGGGAGCAAUGUCUUGUGUACCCGCAAGUUAUAAAUCGUCAUAGUUUAAAUGACGAAUCCCGAGUUGCCAUCCAAACUAAAGAAAUUGCAAAUUAAGUAGUUCAUUACAAAUGAUAUAUUUUGAGUUGCUAAUUAUUAAGUAUUUCAUUCAAAAAUGUUCUCGUUCCCACAGUUUCUAAUGUUUAAAGUGCAUCAUUGCUCUACUUCCGUCAUAACAGCAUAAGAGAAUUUAACAUAAUACUGAGAAAAUGAUUAUUUUACCCUAAAUGUAAAUGAUUAUUCUACCCUUAACAUAAAAUAACUAAUUUGCCCUAAUUUAAUAACGAAAAAAAUAGAUGACUGCAAUAUAGAUAUUAAAUAAUAAAUAAAAUAAAAAAUAAGAAUUAAAACUAAAAUAAUUAAAAGAGAGCUCAAGAGAAAACGCACUUUAAUCUGGUACCUGUACCCGUGGAUCGUGGCGAUGGCGGAUUGGGGCUUAUUACCAAGUCGUUUAAGAAUUUUAAACUUUCAAAUUUUUUUUAAACCUUGAAUUUUUUAGUUUAUUGGUUAAGUGAUAAAAUUUGGUGGUAGUUUGAUACUGUGUUGUAUGUUGUGUUAUUUUAGCUCAUUAACUUUGUUAUGUAAUUCUUCUUUAAAUACGACGUCGUUUUUGUCCAUUAAGAGUCCAAUGACAAGUUUAUCAUUCUGACAUGAGUAAAAUUCUAACGGCGUGAUGACAAUAGUGUAGAAAUGAUAGAUUUUGUAAACAUCAGGUGGAAUUGUUAAAAAAAAAAAUGUGGUCGUGUAUUUUUUAUAAAGUCUAAAACAUCAAGUGAUUAGAGAAUAUUUGUGCUUAAGUAUUUGAUUCAAAAAAAUUUCCACUCCUAGACUAUUUAAGUUGUAACCAAAACUGAGAAUUUUUUUUUUUUUUUGCAUGAUGAAUCUCGAUAUUUAGGAUGAAUAUUUUAAUAUUUAAGCUUAAUGGUCACCCACUAUUGGUAGAAGAAUUUUUAUUCUAACACUAUACAAUUUUCGUGUGAGGUGGUCUUGGGCUUAUCUCAACCUUAAAAGUCAAAAGCUAGCUCAAUAAGUGAGAUUUUUUUCUCACACUUAUGAAAUCACCACGAGCUCCUCCCACAACCAAUGUGGGAUAAUCCCAACAAUCUCCCCUCACUCAUCGAGCCUUGGGUUGGAAGCAUAAACAUCAAUUCUCCCUAUUAGAUUGUUGGUUGAGUUGUUGGUGAACCUGAGCUUUGAUACUAAUGUUAGAUGGUCUUGGGCUUCUCUCGACUUCAAAAGCUAGCUCAAAGAGAGAGAUAUUCCCUCACAUUUAUGAGGUCAUUAUCAGCCUCUUCCACAAUCGAUGUCGGCUAACCCGACAUUUCUCUCUCUAUAUAAUACAUAAGUUGGAUAAUAAAUUUAUAUCUCAAUCUAGGUAUAAACAUUAAUUUUAUUUCUUUUUAUCAAUCAUUAUCCUAUUGGGUCUAUCGACUCACCGUACAAAAUGUUGUAAAACUUCCCCGCCGAAGAGACUUUGGUAGCUUUGAGUUUGUAAAUCAAGUUCCUAUCCGUCGUCCCUCCUAAUCCAUUCUUCGGCCAAGUACGCCUGACAUUCUUGUACCUUACAACGUCAUAUUUGGCACAAAAUUCAUGAAACUUAAACCAAACACUAAACUAUUAUUAGUUCUCAACAUUUUAUAUCAUUCGACGUUUUGUGUCAGAAUAAAUAUUUUAUCUUUGAACUUCUCAAGCACUUAUUCAUGGCUUAUUUCUCAACUCACUAUGGAUUAAUGAUGCUGAUGAAAUUGUGGAUUAACCAGACAAUAUUGUAAUUAUUACACAUACACACAAGCACACGUACAUACGUACAAAAGCAUAUAGGAGUUGACCUUGCUCAGGAUUUAAAAAAAAUGAAUAAAAUUUUCCAAUAAUUAAUUAAGAUAAAAAAGAUCAUUAAAACCCGAGUACCCCUCGCAAUUGUGUCACUUGAAUUCUCUGUAUUUAUGCACAUAUAAUAUUUUGAAUGAAUCUAUAAUGAUGUUAAUUUUUUAAUGAACUUAAUCUUAAAUUAAAAUUUUCUUUUGAAAAAAAAGAAGAAAUCUUAAAUAUUAUAAAAUAUAGAUCAGUUGGAAAACUAUUCCUAGAAAUGCAUCUUAGUUUUAUUCUUGGAAAAUGUUUCCUUUCGCACUUGCGAGGAAUUAGAAAUUGAACAAUAAUUUUUAGACUUUUCAUUGUCUUUGUGGUUAUAUGGUUGUCUUUAAUAUAAAUAUAUGAUCCCGGAGGCCAAAUGUCUAAGUCACAUGCAUUUACCUAAUACUUUUUUCUUUUUUCUUUGUUUUUCGGAUAGGGCAAUUAUUUAAUACCUUGAAGAAAGAGAGAUAAAAUAUAAUGCAUGCCAAUUUGUUGCAACAAAGCUUUCAUAUCAAGCGUUGGCAUAAAUUAUUAUGCCAAUUUGUUCAAGACAAUAUCUUUAGUUGGCAUGUAAGUUUCAUUAGCCGGCGUCUACUCUUAAUUUAUGUCAAAUUAAGUAAUCGCUCCGCCCCAAUAAUGUUGCCUUUGAUCUCUCAGCCCCAGUAAAAGAAUUGGCUAAAAGAGAAUGUUGGUCACUGUUUAAGCAAGUAUGCUUUUGGCGGUCCUUUGAGGAUCUUCAAAAUUUAGAACUAAUAACCAAUCAAAUGAAAAAUUGCAUACAAGUGUAAAAGCUUACCCCUUAAUGCAUAGGUAAUAGGAAUUCUCUUGCUCAACAUAUACACCCUUUUCUUUAUAAUCUUUUACUUUUGCUCUUAAGCUAAAGCAUUAAAAGGCCCAAUAUCCACUCUUUAUAUAUAGUAGUUUCUGGUCCGGGAUCAUAAAGUGCGGGAAAUAUUCGGAAAAAUUUUAAAAUCGUGGGGUUUUAAAUGCUUAAAACUUAAAGUGCUUAAACUGAACGGUUAAUAUGUUUUCCUGGACGUUCCCGCAUUUUAAAAUUCCGGACUGUAACAUUUCUCUCUCUCUCUCUCUCUUUAUAUAUAUAUAUAUAUAUAUAUAUAUAUAUAUAUAUAUAGGGAGAAUGCCAAUUUCCCCCCAUAUUGUAAUCAAUUUAUAUCAUUUAUGUCCUACUCUUAUAUAAUAGCCAAUAACUCCUGGAUAGCAUAAUAUAACAAUAUUAUCUUUAAUUUUAAAUACACUUUUAUUUAUAUUUAUUAUAAAUUAAAUAAAACAUGUGAAUGAAAACUAAAAUAAAUAUUAAAUAUUAAAAACAAUAAAUAUAUGUUUUGAUGUGAAUAAAAAAUUAAUAGUAAAAUAUUUUUCUUGUACUUCUUUUAUUUACAAACAUUUUCUAAUAAUACAUAUAUAAGAAAAUUAUUAUAAAAUAAUUAUAAAUUAAUAUAAAUUAAUAAUAAAAUAGUAUAAAAUUAAUAAUAAAAUAUUUUUCUUGUACUUUUGUAUUUUAUAUAUUUAUUAUAAGAAAAUGUUUAUAAAACAAAAAUACAAAAAAAUUUAUUAUUAAUUUUUUUAUUCACAUCAAGACGUAUAUUUCUUGUUUUUAAUAAAUUUUUUUUUUACCAUUCAAUAUGAUUUGUUUAAUGUAUAAUAAAUAUGAAUAAAGGUGUAUUUGAAAAUAAAAAUAAUAUUGUAGGAAACAUUUACCAUUUUCUAAGAGAAGCUUAAGAGUGAGUAAAGGCUUGUUUAAACCAGAUAUUUUGAGCCAUAUAUUUUAAAAUACCUCAAGGCACCCUCAUUGUUAAAUAUGCUAUAUUUCUACUCUUACUUUUUCUUUCCUUUUAUAAUAUUACCCUUGCAACAAUAUUCUAACCUUUUUGAGGAUAUCAAUGAAAGAAAAAAAAUUAAUUUAUCAAAAUUUGCCUUAAAAGUAACAUAAAAAAUUCCACAAAUUUUUAUGUUAUUAUUUUACUUUUAGGAUUAAUUUGGUAAAUUAAUUUUUUAUAAAAUAACUAUUAGUAAAAUUGUUGCAAAUAUAUUAAACAUUUCUUUAAGUUGGAUAAUAUUGAUUUAUUUAUAAAUAAAUUAUUGGCAAUUAGUUCUUUCAUACUGAAAUUUAUUAGUUAAUUUGCUAAUCAAUAAUUAUUGGUUAAUACGCUAAUAAACUUUUAUAGAUAAAUUAAUUAAUGUCAAGAAUAUUAUUGCAAGGUAUUAUUAUAAAAGCAAAUAGAAAGUAAGUGCAAGAAUGUAAUAUAUUUAAUUAUAAAGGUAUUUUGAGAUAUUUUUGAAAUUAUAAGAACUAAACAAGCAUUUACCAGUUGAGAGAAGAUGAAAUGGGAAAAAUUCAAGGGUUAGGAUAUAUGAUGAGUUAAGGAUUAGGUCUUGUAAAAUCUUGAUUUGGGGAGAUGAUUUUGGAGUGUUUCAACCCUAAAUUCAUUUGGGAAGACUCAUUGACGUACACAUUAAAGGUGGAAAGUGUAGAGAGAGAGAGAAGGAGAAAGUGUGUGUUUAGAGUGAGAGAUGUGUAAUUCAAGUAAACAAGUUGGAUACUUGGAUUUCUCACUAAAUAGAGUAAGAUUUCCAUCAUUCUAUCAUUAUUUAUGCUAAAUUUAAUUUAAAGAUUUGUUUAUUUUAUUUAAAUUAAUGUUUCCAACAUAUGGUAAAGUGGUACGAAGAUAAAUUUUGUAAUUUGUGGAUUACUUUAGGUGCACACAGCACCAACAAGGCAUUGUAGAGCCAAAAAGACUUAGCACUUGAUGUUUCUGGUUCGAUAUAUAAAUAGCUAAUAAUUGUGUAUUAUGUUUAUGUAGUUUAUGGUUAGUAAUGAGAUUGGUGGUAAUGUAGCUCUAUAAUUAACUAUUUAUUUCCAAAACUAAGGAACUUCAUAUCGUAUUUUCUUCCAAAACUAAGGAGCUUCAUAUCAUGUAUUUCAUUAAAAAAUAGUCUCACUCUUAGACUUUAUGAGUUGCUGUGAAAAAUAAAUGAUGAUAAAUUUUCAUACAAAUUUAUUUUUAUAAAUUGAUACGACAUUAGUUCAUUGGUUGCAUGAAAUAUAAAAGCAGGUAGCAGUUGGUCCUUUGAGGAUCAUAAAAUUUAGAACCAAUCGGUCUAAAAAUUGCAUGCAAGUGCAAAGGUCUGCUCUUGUUGCAAAGGUAAUAGAGAAUCUCUUAUUCUCUAAAAGAGUAGUAGAAGAAUAGAAAAGAAUUCUAGAUGGUGAUAUGUGGAAGCUAGAAGAGAUAAGGAAAGGUCUUUUGGCUCCUUUAUUGUUGAGUUAUAUUGCUAUGCCAUCCAUGGUAAAAUGAUUUUUCUCAUAUUGUGCUGUCUUUUCAAAAGACUACAACAUGUAUAAAGAGGAACUAAUUACCCUAUGGAUGACUUAAAGUUACCUUAGUAUAACUAAUUACCCGGCGUCGGAGGGUUUACACCGGGAAAACACUCGGCGUGCUCUGACUUGUCUCUGUGUACGCAGGAGUUUGCGGAGAAGAAGCCUUACGAGGAGAGAUCCUGAUCGUGGUCGAGUUGGUUGAGGAGAGAGCUUGGUCGUGGUCGAGCAGGGAACCAAAAUCUCGCAUCAACACAGUUUCUGUUGCAAUUGUAUUGGCCUGGGUUUAGGGAACUGUCAACUUUCAGAAGAAGAUGGAGUUUCUCAAACCAAAUCUAAGAAGAUAUCUCACAUUCCCCACAUGGUCUCAACGCACAGGUAAGUUCUUCUCUAGCUCUGUUUUUCAUUGUUUGUUAUUUUUAAUGUAACUAAGAAGCAGAGUUAAUCUCUUAUCUUGUCCUUGCUUUGAGAAAACCUGCUUUUACAUCUAUUUUUAAUUCACAUGUCCACAGUAAUUUCAUUUUAGUUUGAGCUGAGUGAUAACUGUUCAAGGCUCACUUACUCAUUGGGAGAAGCUGCAUGACGCAGGCUGCAAGGAUUUAGAUUUUCAUUCGAAGGCUCACUUACUCAUAGUGUGCAUGUUUCGUUACGAUUAAAAUGAUUAGUCUCUUGUUCUUAAGUAUACAAUUUCCAAUGGAUUUGAUAGAGCGGUCAUCAACCAUAUUGAUGUUAUUGGAGUAGCACUGUUCUUAAGCACUGCUUUGAGGUCUCUCCCUCUCUAUAUACAUUGAUAGACUAUUCUGGUCGUACCAAAUUAUCCUUGUUUUAUUGUUUUGUUUGUUAAACUUUGACUGGGGGAAUCUGUUUAUUUGUCUGAUAUGAUGUUAGUGUGGUUUCGAUUGAAGUGUGUUGAUCUAUCACCAAGUAUUAUUUCAAUUUUUCUUUACCUAAUCAACUUGCAUACUUUCCAAGUCUAGAUCCUUAACAAUAGUGAGACUCCGCUACAGAAGUACGAUUUCUCUAGUUUUGUAGUUAAAUACGUAAGAAUAGUUUUAAAUUAACAGAACUCUGAGAUAGUUCUCUGAGGAAAUACAAGUGGUGAAUAUGGUUCCAACUUUUAAGUGCCUUAAGAUUCCCAUUUGUUCAGCCCUGUGCGUAAACAAUCAGUAAUUUCUGUCCAAAUUCUUCUUUAAUGCCUAUAUGUGUUGGACUUUGUCUACUGUUCAACUUCUCAAAUGGAUUCCAUGCAGGGUUUUGAAUGUCCAAUUAGGAGAAAGAUCAAGGCUUGCUUGGCUAGGAGUGGAAGCGGAUCCACUACUUCAGUCAGAUGACCUUUUGAAGAAGGCUUACAACAGGCCGUCUCAGGAUGUCAAUGGCUCAACUCAAAAGUCCCCAAAGUGGUUGAUAUCGAAGAAUGCCGUUGUCUCUGGGCUUGGGCUCCUUGGCAUCAAACAAGGGAAUGUCGACUCUGUUGAAGGGGAAGCAAGGGCUCCUAAAGUGCGAAGAAAGAGGAUAGGCCGGAAGAAGGUGACCGCAUAAAUUUCUUGGGAGUUGAUCCUAGUCAAUAGCCCAAUUUUUUUGUCAAAACAUUGGUCCCGAUUCCAGCAAAACAGUAACUUCCAUUCAAAAGGGUUCAGCGUUGAGUGCAUGUAAUCUGCACAAGUUUGACAAAAAAUAACCGAAAAAAAAAAAAGAAACCCACGUCCAAAGAUGCCGUUGAAAAAAGUUAUUGGGUAUUCAUAAUAAAAUAAACAAAUAAAAAAAUGAAUAAAAAUUUAAAUACUUAAUUAAUUUUUAUCAAAUUCUUAUCAAAUAUUUAAAAAAGUAUAUAAAAUGAAUUAAUUGAUGGUAUUAUUAAUUUUCAUGAUGAUUUUUAAUAUUAUAUUAGUGAUUAGUAAGUUUAAUACAAUCAAUAAUGCAAGAAAUUAUUAAAUGGUUAAUUUUAUUGGCAAAUUUUAUCAAAUACGCAAGUAAUGAAAAAUUAAUCUCAAGAGUUAGUAGAAGUAAAGUUCUAAUUUAACCAGAUGAUAGAUAAUAAAUACAAAUAAAUUUUAAGUAAAUCAUAAAUUAAAAAUAAAUAAAUUAAUUAAUAUUAAGUAUAAAUAAAAAAUAAUGACAUAAAUUAAAGUCUCAUAAAUGGAUAACUUUUUUUCUUUAAUCUUAUCCUAAGUCCCAACUAAAGGAAUGUGUAAAUUAGGAUUAUUAAUCCCAUAAUUUUAGGAUUAAACUUAAAUUUAGUCCCUUAGUCCAAUUCAAUUAAGCUUACCAAAUAUGAUAUAAAUAUAUAAUCACAAAAUUAGUCCAAUUCCAUACUUAAUCCUAGUAUUCGAACAUGGCCGGAUAAAAUAGUUUAGAUAAUAUACUUCUAUGGCUCACAAUUUAAAUAAAUUUGAGAAUUUAAAUAAGGGAUGGAAAAUUCACAAUAAUCAUACCAUGUACUGUCUUUUCUUCCUUUUCUUAAUUAAAUAAAAGAAAAAAAAUUAAUGACAGAACCACUGCUGUGUGAUAUCGAUGAAGUCGCAUUCGCCUACCUAAUAUUGCGCAAUCAGAUAGAAAAAAGGGUCGGCUGCAUGAUUUUUCCAACUUUUGUCUUAUUUUUCUCUUUUCCACUACAAAUUAAUUUGAGAAUGUUAUAUUUUCCAAUUCUCUUUUUGUCGUGACAUAAUAGACUAAAGCGGAAUCACAUACUUUUUCAAAUGACCAAAUGGCUUUGGCCUACCUGAUAAUAAAAGGAAUGGAUCCAUACGUUAAAGCUAAAUUGAAAAAUAUAAUAAAUAAAUUGUCAGGAGAUGAUUUUAUCAAAAAUUUCACUCGCACGGUCCCGACCAAAUACAAAUUUGUGAUGAUAUUCAUAAUGAAUUUAUACCAUUAGGCGAAAUUACUCUAUAUAGUUUCAUCGAUAUAUAUUAUACCAUUACAAAUAUACUAAUAUUUAUAAUAAAAAAAAUUUAUGACUAUUUUAAAUCGACUGUAUUAUAUGUGAAUUCACAAGAUUCAUAGAUAGAUUGCACUGAGCUUUUUGUUGCAGUUUACAAAUAUUUUGUUACUAAUUAUCUUAAGAGCAGCAAGUAACUAAAUACAAAUGUAAGAAAUUUCACAAGUGCUGAUGCUGUGUACUCUGCAGAAUUAAUAAUGGAUUAUUAUGAAUCAGAGAAACAGGGCAGACGCUGUACAAUUAUUGACGUGGUGGAGCAGAAAGCUAGCCCCACAUGGUGACUCCUUUAAUUUGCAGCACAAAAGAACGUUCACAUUGACAUUGACUCGAGGGUAAAAAGAAUGCAAACAUGCUUGAAUGAACAUUCUCACAGAAUACAUAAAAGCAAGAAAAGCAAUUGCAGCAUUUUCCAUUUGAUCUAAUAUCAGAAUGGCUCUUGCGAUCGUUUGCGCUCUCUUGGACCAGCUGAAUUCCAUUGCUCAAGAAAAGUGGAGGCUUUUGACGGGUGUCGAACAAGAAGUGGGAAAGCUUACUACCAAUCUUCAAGCCAUUCAAGCUGUGCUGGAAGAUGCAGAGCAGAGGCAAAUGAAGCAGGACAGAGCUGUUACUCUUUGGCUGGAUCAGCUCAGAGACGCAUCCUACGACAUGGAAGAUGUGUUGGAUAAGUGGAUCACUGAAACACGGAAAUCGCAGCUUGAUGAGGGCGGCGAUGAUGAAGAUGAUGAUAACGACAAUGCUUUUGUUACUCUUUUGACGAAGGUAUGUUCCUUCUUUCCUGCUGCCUCAAACUGCUUUGGUUGUUUCAAACAACUCAGUCUUCGUCAUCAUAUUACUGUCAAGAUUAGAGAAAUCAGUAAAAGGCUAGAUGAUAUUGCCAGACAAAAAGAUAGUUUCAAAUUUGUUGAGAAUGUGAGUAACAAUGUUAAGAAACCAGAGCGAGUGCGAACCACCUCCUUGAUUGAUAAGGGAGAGGUUUUUGGUAGAGUUGAUGAGAAAAAUGAGCUCUUAAGCAAGUUGUUGUGUGACAGUAGUGAACAACACCCUCAUAUCAUCUCAUUGGUUGGGUUCGGGGGUAUAGGCAAAACCACUCUUGCACAACUAGCCUAUAAUGAUGAUGAGGUGAAAAUAAAUUUUGAAAAAGUUAUAUGGGCGUGUGUAUCAGACACUUUUGAGGAGAUUAGGGUCGCCAAAGCAAUCAUUGAAGGUCUAGGCGAGUCAAAAAAAGCUUCUGGUUUAAGCGAAUUCCAAUCUCUUAUGAGCCAUAUCCAUAGAUCAAUUGGGGGAAAAAAAUUUUUUCUUGUCUUAGAUGAUGUAUGGGAUGGGGAUUCCAAUAAAUGGGAUCCAUUCUUCUUUUGUCUAAAGAAUGGUCUCCACGGAAGUAAAAUUUUGGUUACCACACGUAAUGAGUCAAUUGCACGUAUGAUGGGAACAACAGAGUCAGAUACUAUCUCCAUUGAACAACUGGCUGAAGAGGAAUGCUGGUUGUUUUCCAAGCAGUUAGCAUUUUUCGGUCGCUGUUUCGAGGAUUGUGAAAGAUUAGAACCAAUCGGGCGAAAAAUUGCACGCAAGUGCAAAGGCCUGCCUCUUGCUGCAAAGGUAAUAGGGAAUCUCUUGCGCUCUAAAAUUACAGUAAAAGAGUGGCAAAGAAUGUUAGAUAGUGAAAUGUGGAAAUUAGAAGAGAUUGGGCAAGGUCUUUUGGCUCCUUUGUUGUUGAGUUAUAACGAUUUGCCCUCCAAUUCGAUGGUAAAACGGUGUUUCUCAUAUUGUGUUGUCUUUCCAAAUGACUACAGUAUGAAUAAAGAAGAAUUGAUUAGUCUGUGGAUGGCUCAAGGCUACUUUAACGCAGAAGAAGACGAAGAAAUGGAGAUGAUUGGAGAAGAGUAUUUCAACAUAUUAGCAGCACGCUCUUUCUUUCAAGAGUUUAAAAAAGAUUAUUUCAAUGGUGAUUUUAUGUGGUGUAAGAUGCAUGACAUAGUACAUGAUUUUGCCCAAUUUAUAAGUAGAAAAGUAUGUCUGUGGCUAGAAAUUGAUGGUACCAAAGAAUCAGUCAUAAACUCUUUUGGUGACAAAGUCCGUCACUUAGGGUUAAAUUUUCAAGGAGGAGCUUCAUUUCCUAUGUCCAUUCAUGGACUUAAUAGAUUGCGUACCCUCUUAAUUUAUGAUAGAAGUCAUUUCAUUCCAUCUCUUAGUAGUAGCAUCCUUUCGGAGUUAUUUAAUAAAUUGGUGUGUUUAAGGGCAUUAGUUAUAAGGCAAUUUAACCUUUAAGUUUGCAUCCUGUGCCAGAUAGGAUUAGAGAAAUUCCAGAAAAUGUUGGAAAAUUGAUACAUUUAAAAUAUCUUAAUUUGAAUGGACUAUGUAUAAAGAGACUACCUGAGACUUUGUGUGAAUUAUAUAAUUUACAAAAGCUAGAUAUUAGGUGGUGCCGAAAUCUUAGAGAAUUGCCUGCGGGGAUUGGGAAGUUAAUGAACAUGAGGAGUUUACUGAAUUACGACACUCGUUCGUUGAAAUACAUGCCAAUAGGGAUUUCCAGAUUGACCAGCCUUCGAACAUUAGAAAAGUUUGUUGUGGGUGGAGGUGUUGAUGGCGGCAGCACGUGUAGGCUUGAAUCUUUGAAAAAUCUUCAACUCCUUCGUGAAUGUCGAGUAGAAGGGCUGAGUAAUGUAUCGCAUGUAGAUGAGGCUGAGAGGUUACAACUUUACAAUAAGAAAAACCUCCUUCGUUUGAAUCUCAAGUUUGGUAUAGCCGUAGAUGGGGAAGGCGAAGAAGGGAGGAGGAAGAAUGAGAAAGAUAAACAACUUCUUGAAGCCUUACAACCGCCUUUGAAUGUAGAGGAAUUACGGAUUUUGUCCUACGGAGGCAACAUGUUUCCCAAAUGGUUGACUUUGCUAACCAAUCGAAGGGAACUAAGGAUUGAUUUUUGUGAAAAUUUGCAAGAACUGCCAAUUCUAGAAGAUUGCAGGACAACAGACAUACCGCAUCUUUCUUUCUUGAUUAUUCAGAAUUGCCCCAAAUUAAAGGUGCUGCCGGAUUACCUUCUUCGGACGACGACGCUGCAGAAAUUGACAAUUUGGCGAUGUCCCCUUUUGGAAAACCGUUAUAGAGAGGGGAAAGGAGUAGACUGGCAUAAGAUAUCUCACAUUCCCCACAUCAAGUUGUCGCUGUGGAUGCCGUAAGAUAUCACUGGACGGUAAUUUCUCCUCCUCUGAUAUACUUCGUUGUUGCUUGCAAUGAAAUUAAUAAAAAUAAUUAUAUUUUGAAUUAAAAUUCUAUAUAGAAUCAAUCUUGGUAUAAAUAUGUAAAACUUCCUAGUUAUCAAAUCUGUUAGACUUGUUUUCUAUAUUUAUUUACUUUAAAAAAAUAUGUGCUCUUUUGUAAAAUUUGAUACAACAUCAUAGAAAAUCCCAAUGUAAUUUAUUUUUUAAUGUACGAAAAUUUGUUAUGUGUGACGUCCUGAGUGACAAAAUCUCCUUGAUACAUUUGCAGUAAUGUCGAAAACUAAAUUAUCAAUUUUAUCUUGUAUAAUGAUAAUCUUAUUUUUUUAUAUAUAAUUUACGUGACAUUAAUUCUUUAAAGUAAUUGUGUAAUUGUUUUUACUACAUUAGCCCACUUUGUUUUUUUUCAUACUUGUUUAAUUAUGUUCACCAGGGAUUCGAGGAAAUGUCAGAACUACACUAGCAAUUCACAGGUCCAAGCUAAUUUGGUUUUAAUGAUGCAGGCAGGAGAGCAAGACUAUGAAAAUGAAAAGUUUAGCCAAAGGAUUGCUAAAAUGUUCUGCUGGUAAUUCCCUUGCUUUAUUUUAUAGAAUUUCAUUUCUAUCUUCUUCUAUUGAUAUCUUGUUGUGAAUAAACAAGAACAGAGAGUAAAUGAUUGAACCACAGAGAAGUAAAGUAAUAUCAAAAUUCGCUAUUAUGAUGAUUUUAAAGCAAGCUCAAGCUCAAGCUUGCAUUUUUAUUUUAUUUUAUUUAUAGAACUUCCAUUUCCACCUGCAUUUCAUUUUUAUUAGACUCUAUGGAGCACAUUGGGGUAACCAAGGAUUAUCACUGUCGUUAUUGUGCAACGUUGGGUUGCUGGACUUUGAAGAAGGAAGCGAUGGCCGGGUCUGCUCUGUUUCAAUUGAGGAUGGAUAGCUGCCUGAAAGACAUGAUGAUUAUUAUUGCAUGAUGUUAAGGUGCUGAGAUCAUCAUUUCUAUCUUGUUUCAUUCUUGGAAUCGUUUAUCAUAUGCGUCAAUGGAGGCAGGUAUUUGGUGUUGACACUAUUAUGCAGGUAACCACACUUGAUAAUUUGCACAAAUUUGCGUUGUCAGAAUACCCUUUAAUAUUCAUUGUGUUUCUUUGUGUUAUCAGGUUAUCAUCUCCAAGGGUUUGAAAGAGCCUUUGCAGUUGUCAGAAUACCCUUUAAUAUUCAAUUAGGUACGUUUUGGUGCGGUCUCCCAAUGCUAAUAUCAUAUUUUGUAUAGCAAUUAAAAUUUAGCUAUACAAUUUUAAUAUGCAAUAAAUCAUUGUAUACAAAGUUUUUUAUUAAUUAUAUGGUGACUGAAAUUUUAAUUAUCAUAUCAAUUUAAAUUUUUUUGUAACUCUCUUUUACUUUGCUUGUACAGAGUACCUGUUUUGGCUGAUAUGUCUAAUUCGUAGAAAUUUAUUUCCAUCGGUUUCCAUUGGCUUUAGCACAAACAGAAACAGAGCUCUGGGGAAAAGUUUGACUUCUUGUGGUAUUAUGCCUUUGUUUCUUCAUUCAUCAUAUUUUUCGAAUUCAUGCUCUCAUUCAGAGGGUAAAGCCUUUUCAUGGCUGCUUUGUAGCCAAACUUUGACGCCAUUGAUGCAUGACUGUCAUUUAGAUUUUCCAAUAACGGUUAGAUUGGAGAAGAAUAAGAAGAUAUUGUUAAAAGGGUAUUUAAUUAGCGCCGUCUGAAUUUAGUUGCCAAUAAUGCAUUGAAAUAGUUGGGGAAAGUUAUUGUCUUAAUUAAAUUACAGGUGAUAAGAUGCUGCCUCAAUUUUGUAAGCAUCUCGUAUUGAGAAGAUUAAUUGUUGACAAGCCAAAUUUUAGGCAAAUUUUACCGUGAUUCUUGACAUCAUGGUAACACAGGUCAAAUUUUAGUAUCAAGACAUAUCUUCUUCUUUACUGUUCUGCCUCUAAAUAUUAAACUUUAGGCAAGUUGUUUUUGUUUGUGUAAGUUAUCAGGUUAAGGAUACCAAGCAGCUUAAUUGUUCACCACACCUGGUAGGAAUGAUCGCCAGGAAGAUUAAUUGUUGACAAGCCAAUUUUAUCAGUGUUAGAUUUUUUGCCUCCCUUUGAGAGAUAUCAUCAUCAAAUUUGUGUAGAGAAUCUUUGAAGAGAAUUUUGUUGUGAGAGUUUCACUGUAGUGAAUUUUGGGAGCUUGAACUCACUUGAGUGAGAUAAUAGAGUGUAUUGGGGAUUUGGGUUAUGAGUAAUCGUUAUCCUUCCAAUAUUUGCAAGCUCUUACUUGUUAGUAAAAUCAUCUUCGUAUAUUGACUCUGUUUCUUUGUUCCUUAUUUAAUUAGUUUCGAUUAUCAUAAUUAGUCACUCAUUCUGAAUUUUUCUAAUUUUAAAGUUCCUUAGGUCCGCCACCAGUUUUUCAAGUCUGCAUAUGGCUGCAAAAGAUCGAUGGUCAUAAAAUUAUCUUGAGCCUUGAGGCAUUGCGUUCGAGCUCACACUGUAACAGAGAUAAAGAUAAAGAAGACAGUAGAAGAUGCUCUAAACAUAACAAAAGUAUAUUUCUACGUCUUGUGGUUGCUUUAAUUUACUUUUGUUUCUUCUGUCAUCAUAUUUGAUUAAUUCGUUCGAAUUCACACUCUCACAUUAUUUAAAACUAUUUGUAGGUGGCUUGCAAGCUAGUUACGUUAAUGCAAAAACAAUACUCUAGACAAAGAUGAGCAAAUUAAAGGUGAUAAAUGCAAAUUGAAUGUCCAUGAAUAAUUGUUAGGCCGGUGCUGAUAAAUUGCUUCAAAGCAAGCAGCAUCUUCUGCUGCGAAGGCUUUCCCCACAUGAUAUGUUGUGAUUGUUACCGGCCCCGUAUUUAUUAACUCAGGUCAGUAUUAUCUUCUUCAUCAUUUUGGCUAUAUAUAAAGAUUAAAAUUUUGAACACUUGUCUCGGUUUCUUGUGUAAUCAGGCUAAUAGAGCAAAUGUUUACUGUCUAAGCACUAAUGCGACAAUCCCAUCUGUAAAUUUGGGCCAUCUUUGAUGUCUGACAGGUAAGCUGUGACAAUCCCAUCUGUAAGUACUAAUGCGCUUGGUUAUAGUGCUUUCAUUGGACUAUAUGCAAACAUGAGAUAUCAACUAUUGUGUGGAUUUGAUAGAGCGGUCACCAACCAUUUUGAUGUUAUUGGAGUAGCACUGUUCUUAAGCACGGCUUUGAGGUCUCUCCGUCUCUCUUUUACGUAUUUGUCUAUUGAUCGACAUCUCUAUAUAUACAUUGAUAGACCAAAUUACUCUUGCUUUAAUGUUAAUGUGGUUCCUAUAAAAGUGUAUAUAAAUCUAUCACCUCAAAGUCUGAUUUCAAUUUUCCUUUACUUAAUCAACUAGCAUCCUUUCCAAGUCCAGAUACUUACCAAUAGUGAGACUUUGCUACGGAAGUACAAUUUCUCUUGUUUUAUAGUUAAGUAUGUAAGAAUAGUUUCAAAUUUACAAAUUUCUGAUAUAGUUCUCUACGGAAAUGCGAGUGGUGAAUAUGGUUCCAACUUUUAAUAGGCUUAAUUGGCCCAUUUGUUCAGCCACAGUGAUUGCGGUCUGAAUUCUUCUUUACUGUCUCUAUGUGUUGGAGUUUGUCUAUUGUCCAACUUCUCCAAUGGAUUCCAUGCAGGGUUUUGAAUGUCUAAUUAGGAGAAAUCAACGGAUGACCUUUUGAAGAAGGCUUACACAACAGGCCAUCUCAGGAUGUCAUGGCUCAGCUCAAAAGUCCCCAGGUGGUUGAUACCAAAGAGUGCCAUUGUUUCUGGGCUUGGGCUCCUUGGCGUCAAACAAGAUAAUGGGAAAUAGGGGCAACUAAAGCGCGAAGAAAGAGGAUGGUCUGGAGGAAGGUGUCUGCAUAAAUUUGUUGGAGUUGAUGUAGUCAAUUGCCCAAUUUUGCUGCCUGUCGAAGAGACACAGCAUGGAAGUCCUCAUCAAACUCUGAGACACCUAAGAAAUAGUAUGAGGUGGUGGUAUUCCCCUGGUGUUAAUUUCCUGGCAAGUGUGGUUCACAGAUAGAGGGAUUCUUUUCUUGAUGUCUAAAUACCAAAUGUGAUGCAACGUCGUAUAUUCUAAGAUAUUAAAUUCUAUUUCAGAUUUCUCAUAUAGUGUCGUUGUCACUUCUGUGGUACACUUUUGAUCGCAAAUUUCCAUUUGAAGUAGCCGAUAUUCUUUACAGACUAAUUAUCUAAUGAUUAUUUUGUACAAAAAAAAUCAAAACUUUAAUUAUUUGAUCAUACUCAACUUAGGUCUUAUUCGAUAUUACUAGUUGUUAAUGUGUAAUAAAUGUAUGACUUUUAAAUAAUAAUUUUAAUAAAAAUAAUAAAGAUAUUAUAAGUUUUUUUUUAUAAUAAAGUAUGAGAUCAAAUCAAAUUAAUUUUGAAGUCACAAUAGCAAAUGUUUACCAAAACUAUUUAAUUAUAUGACUUAAAAGAUAUAGUUGUCCAAUCCCAACAAUAUAUAUAAAGAUUUACCAAACUUUACCCGACUUUAGUUGUACCCACUUGAUUAUGUAAGUCCAUUCUCCACGCGCUUGACCAUAUGAGAUGUUACUCAACUUUAACAAAUCUUACUUAAACUUUGCACGUUUGACAUGUUGGAUGAAAUAUAGCAUAUGAUGUGAUAGAAUACAAUAGGAAUGGUUGUAACAAGAUUAUAAUUAGUACUAGUUUGUAUUUUAUGUGAUGUAGAACGCAUUAUAUUACAACUUUUAGUGUUAUACUAAUUAAAAAUUUGAAUUAUUUUAUUAUUGUAAAAAUUUAAUAUCUUAAAUAACAGUUAUUUUAAUUAAGUAUUUUUGUUGCAAUGAAUUAUACUUUUUUAAAUAUAAUUGAAAAUUCUUAUUACUAAACUAAUAAAAAAUUAAUUAUUUGAGUUAUCUCCUAAACUACUUAGCUUACGAGAUAAAUUCACUUUGUUUAGAAUGAAACGGAUUACAUUUAGUACUAUUUUGUAUUUUAUGUGACGUAGUGUAUGAUUCAAUUAUAUUACAAAUUUUAUUGUAAUAAAAAAAUUUUGAAUUAUUUUAUUAUUGUAAAAAUACAAUAUCUUAAAUAACAAUUAUUUUUAUUAAGUAUUUUUUAAUGAUUUAAAAUAUAAUUGUAAAUUCUUAUUAUUAAACUAAUAAAAAAUUAAUUAUUUGAGUCAUCUCCUAAACUACUUAUUUCACGAGAUAAUUUCACUUAGUUUAGGAUGAAACGGUGGGUUAUUUUUAUGUGGGAGCCACAUCCUUUCCAUAUGAGAUGUUACUCAACUUUAACAAAACUUACUCAAACUUUGCACGUUUGGCAUGCCGGAUGGAAUAUGAUAGUAUAUGAUGUGAUAGAAUAUUAUAUGAUUAGAUGUAAUAGGAUUAUAUUUGGUCUUGUUUUAUAUUUUAUGUGAUCUAGUAUAUGAAUGGAUUAUAUUACAAAUUUUAUUGUUAUAAUAAUUAAAAUUUUGAAUUAUUUUAUUAUUGAAAAAAUAAAUAACAGUUAUUUUGAUUAAGUUUUUUUUUUCUGUUGAAUUAUAGUUUUAAAAUAUAAUCCAAAAUUUUUAUUACUAAACUAAUAAAAAAUUAAUUAUUUGAGUUAUGUCCUAAACCAACUUAGCUCACGAGAUAAAUUCACUUAUUUUAGAACGAAACGGCGGGUUUUAUGUGGGAAGCCACAUCCUUUCCAUAUCAACCUCAACAUCCAAACAUGAAAUUGGACUAAGAAUAGUUCUUUCCCAUGUAUUUACGUACCCUCCUGCCACUAAACGUAAUUGUAUAUUUUGGACCUUAUUUGACUUGAUUUUAUUAACUUAAUUUUCUCCAAUUUCCAUUGUCGACGUUGAGUGCAUGUAAUUAAUCCACAAGUUUUGAUUGAGCAGAAAUAGCCAAAAAAAACUGAUGAUAUGAUAAUAGCAAAAAAUCUAAUGACACCCACGUCCAAAGAUGCCGUUGUCACAAAGGCCUGGACGCCAUACCUCGAACCCAUCCCCUUUUACCAUGAGUGAUGAUACAGCCACAAACUCUUAUACAAACUUAUUUUAUACAAACUAAUGUGACAUCAAUUCAAUGGUUGAAUGAAAAUAUAAAAUAAUGAAAGUAAAUCAUGUGGGCCAAGAGAUAUUUAAUUUAACCAAUAAAUUGACGCCACAUAAGUUUGUACAAAAUAAAUUUGUAUAAGAGUUUGUGGCUGUAUUACUGUAUUAUUACUCUUUUACCAUAUUUUAUAAUUAAAGAGGUCAUUGUUUGAAAGAAAAGAAUGACAUGUUGGUAUGAAAUUACGUUAAAAUGAAUAUAUCACUUUUUUUUUUGUGUGAGUGAUGGCUUCGUUUAAUGACAAUUGGCAGACAAUGAAUCAUCUUUUAAUUUUAGUUUUGAUUUAAUAAAAAAUAUUAAUUUUUGUAGUUUCGGUAGAUGAAAUUUCGAAUCAAAUAUUAAUAUCGUUAAAGUACGCAACUCAAUAUUUACUUAAAUCAGAAAAAAGAUUAAUUGCUUUACAUGAAAAAGAAAAGAAAAGAAAAGAGUGAUCACUUGAUUUAACUUCCUUUACUAAAUUUACGAUUUAAAAUCUAAAAUGGAAAAAGGAAAACAAGUUUUGGAAACACACUCGGAGUUUUAAAUUGAUAUGAAAAAAGAGUUUAUUAUUGACAAUCUUUUUCCCAAAAUUUAAGCUAAGACAACAAUAUGUCCAAAAUACCCUCCACAUUAUCCCAAAACUUUAUAAACUCCCCCGUUCCUCUCAACAUCAUCUCUUCCAAAUCUUUCUUCCCCCCAAAAACCAGCCAUGGCUUCAUAUUCAAUUACCUCAACACUCCAAUAUUGGCUUGUAAACCACCCCCAAAUCCUCAACUUCACAUGGACUCCGAACCAAACACUAGCUUCCUCCCCACACUUCCUCAUUCUCUCCAUCCUCACUUACCUCUCCCUCACAUUCAUCCUCUACCACGCAUCAACAUCAACAUCACCACCUCUCAUUGGACCCCACAUCCUCAAGCCCAUCACAGCCGUCCAUAACCUCACCCUCUUCGUCCUCUCCCUCAUCAUGGCCGUUGGUUGCACUCUCUCCAUCAUCCUCCAUUUACCCUACCUCCGUUACACCCUUUGUUUCCCCACUACCAUUUCUCCGUCUGGCCCUCUCUUCUUCUACGCUUACAUCUUCUACCUCUCCAAAAUACUCGAAUUCUUUGACACCCUUUUGAUCAUUUUAUCAAACUCCAUCCAACGGCUCACGUUCCUCCACGUCUACCACCAUCAACCGUCGUUGUAAUGUGCUUCCUUUGGUUACAGACGAAGCAGUCUUUGUUUCCUAUUGCAAUUGUCACCAAUGCAAGUGUGCAUGUGAUCAUGUACGGGUACUAUCUAUUGUGUGUGAUGGGGUUGCGGCCAAAGUGGAAGAGAUUGGUCACUGAUUGUCAGAUUCUUCAGUUUGUGUUUGGUUUUGCUGUUUCGGUUUUGAUGCUGUAUUAUCAUUUCACGGGUUUUGGUUGCUCUGGGAUUUGGGGAUGGUGCUUCAACGUUGUGUUUAAUGCGUCCCUUUUGGCACUUUUUGUUAAUUUUUAUUCCAAGAGCUAUGCUAAGAAAAAGAAGCAGGGAUGAUCAAAGUGCUAUGAUUGUUUUGUGUUUUCUUUUUUAAUUUAUUUGAUUUUGGUUAAUUAUGAAUGGUGGUAAUUGGUUGAAUGCAAUUGAAGAGAUGCUUUCAGUUGCCUAAACUUUGUUUUUUCAAUUUUUGUUAUAGAUGUCAUAUGUCACCACAUUUUUUUAGUCUCUCCCUUUAAAAUUCCCUCACACAAACUUCGGAUUUGUAUUUUGUAAACUAGAAUUUUUCAUUUUCGUUAAUGUGUUAGCUGUUAUUAUCUACAAUUAUGUCAUACGACACACAUGUCACAUCAACUAAAAUUAGAUUAUGAAUUUUGGGCACAGGGCCAAGUCCCACCGUUUGGUAGGAAAUAAGUGUUGGAUCAUAAACUUGAUCCAAGAUAAAUAAAUUCAACCUUAACUCAUGGAAGGUUCCAUGAGUAGGUAUGGUUAGUGAGGUUUGAAUUAUUUGUGUUAGGUGUGGUAGGUGUGGUUGGUGAAGUAGGUGAGUGGUAGGUUUUAAUGGAUGGUGAGUAUUUGUGUAUUAGUUGAAUAAAUGAAUGGUUGUGAUUAGUUUGUUUCAUGGAUAAAUACCCCCUCUCCCCUUUGGUUUAAAUAUCAAGUGAAAUAACAAAAUCUCUAAGGUGUAGAGAGUGAAAAAUAAGAGUUGUAAUUAGUGAGGAGUGUUGUUGAAGAAAUAAAAUAGUGUGUUUUAUUUGUUAACUCUCCAACAAAGUGGUAUCAAAGCUAGUGCUUGAUGCUAUAUAUUGUCAUAUAGCAUAUCAAAUCGAAGAUCUCGAUGAGAGGAACGUGACGCCGCAAAAAUCAUCCUGACCAAAGACCAGACGCGCCCAAGCUCGCCGUCAGAAUUUUUCUGUCCUGAAGCUGAGUCGACUCACCGAGUUGAACCAACCUGAGUCGAGCCGAACUGAACCGAAUCAAGUCGAACCAAGCCAACUGGAGUUGAACCAAUCCGGACCGAACCAAGACUACUAAGCCAACGCUGACCGUUGACUGAAAGUUGACUCAAGUUCUUCCCAAGGCUUUUCGACGUGCCGGAUCCAUCUGUGCUUUCAGAAUCUCCAAAUUCUCACUCAAUUUGUGAGUUAUGGAAAACGGUGGUCUGAUGUCAUUUCAAGUUCCACAAUUAAAGAGAAGUAAGUUUGACAAUUGGAGUAUUAAAAUGAAGGCUCUAUUGGGUGCACAUGACGUAUGAGAUAUCAUGGAAAAAAAGCUUUAUUGAGCCAGAAAAUGAAGCCACUUUAACUGCGGCAUAGAAUGAGAAUUUAAAAGACUUGAAGAAGAAAGAGAAUAAAGCAAAGUAUCUCAUCUUUCAAUCAUUAGAUGAAGAUGCCUUUGAAAAGAUUGCUGGUAAAACGUGAGAAACUAGAGACCUCUUACAAAGGAGCGAAGAAAGUUAAGAAGGUUCAUCUCCAAAUAUUCCGAGGAGAAUUUGAGUCCUUACACAUGAAGGCGUCGGAGUCAAUUUCUGAAUACUUUACUUGGGUUGUGACCAUUUCUAAUGAAUUAAAAAGAAAUGGCGAGGAGUUAAAAGAGGUAAGGAUCAUUGAAAAAAUACUUCGAUUAGUAUACUCGAAGUUUGACCAUAUUAUUGUGACAAUUGAGGAAACAAGAGAUCUAGAGGAUAUGACGAUCGAGCAACUUUAAGAAAGGUUGCAAGUCUAUGAAGAAAAACAAAAAAAGAAGCAAGGAAUCGAAGAACAACUUCUCAAGAUGGAGGUCAAUCCAAAGAAAAGAAAAGAAAGCUCCGACAACGGAAGAAGGCAUAUUUAUCUCCCAAGAAAGCUAUACAAAGGAGAUUCUAAAAAAGUUCAAGAUGAAUGAUUGCAAGCCUAUAAGCACGCCAGUGGAAUGUAGAGUCAAGUUAUCUAAACAUGAUGAAGGGGAAGAUAUAGAUCCAACAUUCUUUAAAAGUUUAGUCGGAAGCCUACGUUAUUUGACAUGCACCAGACCAGAUAUCCUUUAUGUUGUUGGACUUGUGAGCCGAUACAUGAAGAAUCCAAAGACCACCCAUUUUAAAGCUGCAAAAAGAAUCCUUUGCUACAUCAAAGGUACAACUAAUUUUAGCUUGUUAUACUCAUUUUCUAAUGACUCCAAGCUUGUUGGAUAUAGCGAUAGCGAUUGGGGUGGAGAUGUAGAUGAUCGAAAGAGCACCACAGGAUUUGUGUUCUUCAUGGGAGAUACUGCUUUCACAUGGAUGUCAAAGAAGAAAACAAUUGUCCUGCUAUGCACCUAUGAAGCUGAAUAUGUAGCUGCCACAUCAAGUGUUGAUAAUAAUUUGGCUCAGAAAUUUGUUGAAGGAAUUAGGUUUGCCACAAAAAGAGCCAACCGAGAUUUGUGUUGAUAACAAAUCAGCAAUUGCCCUAUCCAAGAAUCCAAUCUUUCAUGAUUGAAGCAAACACAUAGACACUUGCUAUCAUUUCAUAAGAGAAUUUAUUACAAGAAAAGAAGUGCAAGUCAAGUAUGUAAAAUCACAAGAUCAAGCAGCUGAUAUCUUCACUAAGCCACUCAAGCAAGAAGACUUCGUAAAAUUCAGAAGUUUGCCUGGUGUCACAGGAUCAAGUUUAAGGGGGGGUGUUGGAUCAUAAACUUGAUCCAAGAUGAAUAAAUUCAAGCCCAACUCAUGGAAGGUUCUAUGAAUAUGUAUGGUUGGUGAGGUUUGAAUUAUUUGUGUUAGGUGUAGUAGGUGUGGUUAGUGAAGUAGGUGAGUGGUAGGUUUUAAUAGAUGGUGAGUAUUUGUGUAUUAGUUGAAUAAAUGAAUGGUUGUGAUUAUUUUUGUUUCAUGUAUAAAUCUCUAAGCUGUAGAGAGUGAAAAAUAAGAGUUGUAAUUAGUGAGGAGUAUUGUUGAAGAAAUAAAAUAAUGUGAUUUUUGUGUGUUUUAUUUGUUAAUUCUCCAACAAUAAGGAGCAUUAAUGAAAUAUGUUUAAUUAAGUAAUAAUUUGUUAUUUUAGAGUGAAAAAUAAGGGUAAAUUGUAUUCUACCCCAUAUUAGAUUGACAAACUUCAAUUUACCCCUUAAAAGUACAAAAACUUCAACUUAUCUCCAAAUACCAUUUUCUUCCCGUUAAAUUUAACUAUCGAAAGUAUAAAAUUAUAGUCUUACAUUCUCUCAACAGUCAACUCAUGGAUAAGAAGUCAAAACAUAUAUAUAAGGUAAUUUCCAUAAAACCCAAUGUAGGGGCGGGCAAUUGUUUGGUUUAGAAGUUAGGAACCGAAUGGUUUGAAAACAAAUGAACUGAUUGGUUUAUAUUUGGUUUACUUUGAACUGACAAACCGAUUGGUUCGCUUAAACUUAAUUAAAAAUACAUUUAUUUUAAAAUAUAAAUGCUUAAAAUAAUUUUUUUUUUCAUUUUUCAGUUUCCUAAUCUAAAAAUGUUUCAUAACCCUAAAUCAGCCGCCAUCUCUCUCAAGGUCGACGGCGGCACAACAAGCUCUCUCGGUCUCUCCCUCGCAAUCUCAUGGUGAUUGAUUUCUCGUGAUGUCUCCACUUUUGUUUCUUGUUCUUGUGUGAUCGAAUUCUCUCUAUACACACAUAGCCUAGCCUCUUGUUUUUUGGCUCAAUGGAGUUUCGUUUCUUUUCUCUCAGUUUCUUUCCUGUUGAAUUCUCGUGAUGUUUCUAUUUUUUUCUUUUUUUUUAGACAUGUUUUCGAAAUUGGCAUAAUACGAACCAAACCUGAACUGAAUUUCAAAAUCAAAUCGAAUUGAACCAAACUGAAAUUUUUAUGUUCGGUUUGGUUCGAUUAAAAAAUUUGGUAUGCGUUCGGUUCUCUUUCUUACGAACCAUUGGGUUUUAGUUCGGUUCGGUUUUGGUCUAGAAAAGAACUAACUAGAACCGAACCAAACCAAACCAAACCAAACCAUUUACUGGCCACCUUGCUCAUAUGUUUCAACAAAUUUCAAUGCACACUUAAACAUUUCAAUAAAAUUCGCUUUGUACCCAAAUUGAUAAUUUUUACUUUUUAAUUAGUUAAUUGUUAACUGCAGAAGUAUAAAAAAUUAUUUCUUUUUAAAAUAAGAAAAAUAAUUUUUUUCUAACUUUUUUCCUUUUUUAUUUUCUAGUUAAUUUCUUUAUCUGGUUCGGUUCAUUUUUCCCUUUUUUAUUUCUUACUGUUUUCCGCAUGUUCUCCACGCUUGAACUUUGCCAAGCAUCAUAAGGCCACAGUAGCCAUGCCAGCAACUUGCAACUAGGGGUGGGCAAAAAAACCGUAGUCUUAAAAAAACCGAACCGAACCGACGGUUUUUUCUAAUUCGGUUCGGUUUUUAUUUUUUUAAAAAACCGAAUAUACCGUUUGUAAAAAAAACCGAAAUGUCGGUUCGGUAUUCGGUUCACUUAGCUGAACCGAAAAACCGAACCGAAAAACCGAAUUAUUUUUUGAUUUUAUUCAAAUCAAACAUGUGUUAAUAAUUUUAUUCAAAUCAAACAUGUGUUAUUUCUCUUUAUAACAUUAUGAUUAUGUUUAUAUAGAUGGAGUAUUGGAGUUUGGUUAUAUAUUUUGAAAUUUUAAUAUUUCAUAUAUUUGGGAGUAUCUUAUUAAUAGUUAGUAAGAUAUUAGUGAUAAAAUGUGUUUUGAAUACUUUGUAUUUAUUGUUAAUAUUUGUAAUAAAAUUAGGAUAAAUUAAUUGUUGAAAAAAAUUAUUACAUUUAUGAGGCCCAAUGGGCUAAAAAUUUUAAAAUUCAAAAUAGGCCUAAUAGGCCCAGAACCGAAAAAACCGAACCGAACCAAACCGAUCUGAAAAGAACCGUUUGAGUUCGGUUCUUAUUGAGUUUGGUUCUUAUUCGGUUCUUUUUAUAAAAUAACCGAUUUAAAUCGGUUCUACUUAAUUUCGAACCGAACCGAACCGAACCGAACCGAACCGUGCCCACCCCUACUUGCAACAAAGUUUAGAGCUGCGCGAUGGUUGCAGCAACGUUAACGCCGCUAUUCCAAGUCUUGGCCCAUCAUCUCCUUUUCAACAAAUCUUAGCUUCUUCCCAAAUUCAUCAAUGAACCCCAAAACCAGAAUAAUCAUUAAAAUUAUUAACAACCAUUUGCUUGGAUCAAUGUAUGCUUGGCAUGUCUAUGGGCUUACUUGGAAUGGUCGCUGAUGGCCAUGGGCUUGCUUGGAUUGGCCGCGCACAGCCAUGGGCUUGCUUGGAAUGCCGGUACCCGUUUGCCACGGUUUUGCUAGCGUAUCCAUGGGUUUUGUUGGACAUGGCAGUGCGAGGCCAUGGGUGUUGCCGGACAAUGGACAUGGGUUUUGCUGGGCUGAUUAGGAAUUAACAGAGGCUAUGGAGUUGUUCAGUGUGUGAAAGAGAAAAAAACAUGAACGAAGAAGAAUAUGAACAGGGAAUAGAACGAAGAAGAUGAAGAAAGUAGAAGAGAGGGAAAAAAUAUUUUGCUUUUUUAUAAAUUUUCGGAUUUUUAUUUCAAAAUUUAUAAUUUUUGUUUAAAUUUGAGAAUCUUAAGGGUAAGAUUUUCUUUGUAACUAUGUGUAGAAGGAGGUUUUCAGAUGGUUUUUGGUUGGGUUAACAUGAAAUAUGCUUGUUUUAUGAAAUAUUAUUAUUGAGGUUUUGUUUUAUUUUCUAAAAAAUAGAUUAGAGGAUGAUUUUCAUUAAUGACACCCAUAAAGUUUGAAUUAGUUAUAUUAUAGAAAUAGUAGGGAUUUAAAUGAUAUAUCUUUUCAACAUAAAUAUAUCAGUAACAUAAGUUAUUCUAUAAUUAACAGGGUAUUAUCGUAUUUUAGUGAGUCAUUAUUGGUUGAUAGUUAUAUUUAACAGAUUUUAGACAGUAAAUUGAAGUUUAUUUUUUUUAUUUUUGAGUAAAUUAAAAUAUGUCAAUCUCAUAAGGGGUUAAAAUAUAAUUUAUCCAAAAAUUAGUGUUAAAAUUUUAUAGAUGAGUGUAUAUUAAGAUGUUCAAAGUAUUAGAACAUAAAUAAUCUUAGUUUUAAUAAAAUUUUGCCACAUAGUGAAUAUUAUCCUCAACCUCAAGAGAAACAUAUCAAUAAAAUAUACAAAAAUAGAAUGCAUUAGUACAUGUCAAUAACAAGACCAAUUAGAUCAUGUCAUAUUUGUUAUGUAGUUAUUUAAGCUAAUAGAGUAAGAAGUCCCAAAUACAUGUACAUCAUAUCUUGGUGAAGAAAUCGGUUCUACCCGAAAUACUUCUUCGUAUUGAAAUCAAUGAUGAUUGCUUGUUUAAAUAAUGAAAGUUAAAAUAAUUUUGUAAAUAAUUUCAUUCUUUAAUUUACGGUAUACAAAUAAAUUCAAAAAAUGUUAAUUUCUCUCAUACUUUUAGGACCCAAAAAAUAACAAAAAGUCUUAACAUAUUUAAUGGUUAUAUAUAAAUCAUCCGUACGUAUUUUUCUUGAGAGAAGCUCAAUUCGAUAGACAAUGCUCCCCUUAAUUUUCUUUUCUAAUUAGAUAAAAGAACAAGAGAAAUUGAUUACAAGAAUAACAAACUUUAAUUUACUUCUUAAAGGGUAAAAACCUUAAUUUACUUCUUAAAGGGUAAAAACCUCAAUUUGUCCUUAUAUUUGUUCAAAAGAUACAUUUUGUCUUCUUAAUAUAAACAAGUUAAAUUGAUGUUUCACAUCUUUUAGAAAUAAAUUAAAGAUUGUUAUUUUAAGUAGGAGGUAAAUUUCAAAUAAAACAUGUGUUCAUAUGAUAGAUGUGCAUUUUACAAUAAUUAAUAAACAAAAGGGUAGUGAUAUUUUCAACCUGUAAUUUUUGUAAAUCCACCCCCACUCCCAAGAAAUAAUUACAAUAAAUUCACAUAACUUUUUUAAAACUCAAAUAAAGAAAAAUUUUGGAGAUUUAAACUAUUGUAUACAAGAGGAUAAGAGUAAAUAUUUUUCAUGCAGUAUAAAAAGAAUGCGACAGCUCCUUUUCUUUCGGUAUUUUCACAACAAAAGCACACUUAAUAACUCAUCAAAUUAUUUCUCCUUUUCUUUGAUCGCUUCCCCUCUCCUGGAGCUGCUGAACUCCUUUGUUGCUGAUGAAGGGAACAAGUGAGGCUUUUCAAAAGAGGGCAAAGAGAUGGUGAUUCGAUUUGAUUCGAUAAUAGUAGUUUAUUUUAAUUGUUAUUCAUUUGAUUUCAUAGAAGUAAUUUUUAUUUUCAUUUUUUUGUUGAAAAUUGGUAAAAACGAACUAAAAUGAGAUAAUUACAUUAAAACAAUCUUCAAUGACUAAAGUAAUUUGAAAAAAUAAAAAUAAAAAUAAACAAGCUCAAAAUUUACCCCUAAUCCGAACAUUAUCCGAAUUCAGCCUAAUUGACCCAAAUCUAAUUGUAAUCCAAACUUGACAUGACCCGCAUAUAAUUAUAACCCGAUCAGAUCCAAACUCGACCUGAAUUUUUAAUUCAAUACGAUCCAAUCCAAAUAUUCCAAUCCCAUCAAAAUGAAACUUGAUUGGGUUGAUCCGAACCCGAAUUUGCCACUUCCGGAGGAGACCAUGACCCUAAAGGCUUUGAAAUAAUCUUUGCGGUUUCUUAAUGAAAUAGUAAAAGUUAUGCGCAAAAAGACUGUUUUGACCCUAGAAUACAUGAUAUAUAAAUUUCAGACAUUAUAUUCUGUGAAAUAAAGUCAAAGUAAACUGGUUGUUUGAUUUUUUAUUAAUUAUUUUCCAUUAUGACAAAAUGACAAAUAGACUUUAUUAAAAGUUUAAUAAAGUUUGGGCCUAACUCCUUGAUUUUUAUUUUUUUUAAUUAUUUUUCAUUUUGUUUUUUACUUGCAACAUUAGCUUUAAUUAUCAAUAGUCUCCAAAUCAAAAUGACUGCAACCUGUAGCUACAAGCAAAAUUCUCAAAUUUUGAAAUUUCUAACGACUACAUAAGAGCUAUAAAUAGAAAAAUCAUCUAAAAUUAAUCCUCCUUCAGAGGCAGAUUAAAUUCUUAGUAAUUUCAUAUAAUUUCAUUUCAUCAGAACAAUUUUCCAAAAGCAAUUUUAUAAAUGGUUGUCGAAAGCUUUAUCCCUUAAUUAUAUGUCACGUAUUUUCUUUGUGAUAUGAGGCGUGUCCAUAGACCAUAGUAUGAUAUUUAUUGUAAUUAAAAUCAUUAUGGAACUGAUUUUAUUCUUGUUUCUCAAACAAAAUAUCUAACUGCAGAUGUAAUAAAUUACUAAUUACCAUUAUUUGAGUCGCACUCUUUGAAUUGGAUCUUGGAGUUUCGAAUGACCAAAUGAAUUAGUGAGAUAAUGGCUUUUGCUUUUGUCUACCUGAUAAUAAAAUUUGUCCACCAUAUAGACAAGAAAUGGAUCGGAUCCAUAUGCUAUAGCUAAAUUGAAAAAUUUAUGUGGAGUUUUAUUGUAAGACAUUUUUAUCUGAAUAGAAAAAAUAAAUUUUUUUUAUUUUUAUCUAAAUGAUAAAAUAUCUGAAUAAAAAAUCAGUUUUCUUCUCACAAAUACCCUCAUUAAAUAUAUUUAUUUUCUACUUAGCUAUUAGAUGUCAUAUUAGAAUUUCCUUUGAUCUCAGAUUUUACUUGGUAUUAAAUACUUAAUCUGCGUUCGAUUCGAAUUUAGACAAAUUCUUUUGUCAUUAGAUAACAACGUUUUUACUGAAUUUGAUGUUCAUACAGAAACAGUCAAGUCCUUGUUGACUGAAAUUGGCAUUUCUCUUGUCUCUGCUCCUAUCAUUUGGUGUGAUAACCAAAGUGCAGCUGCCUUAGCAAGUAAUCCUAAAUUCCAAGAACUUAAAUUUAACUCUAAUAAAAGCUCAAAGUUAGUUAUGUUCCAAGUUCUCAUAAGUCAUAACUCAUCUGAUAUCCUUACUAAAGCUUUAGCUUAUCACCCUUUUCAUUAUCUGAGAGACAAGCUCACCCUGACUUCACUAGGCUGAGCUUGAGGGGAGAUGUUAAGAGUAUAAGCUGAAGCUGCUGAGCUGGCUGGUGACGUGCUGACGGUGUUGAGUUGACUAAUGUUUUGUAACUAAGUUGCUGAGCUGGAUUGGGUUGUUAUUUGCACUGAAUAAGUUGUAACGAAUUGUCCAGCUGGCUUGUUAUGAUUGGAAGGCUAAUUAGUUUGUUAAUAUUGCAGCUUUGAGCUCUGUUUCUGUAAUCAGUUUUGAGUGUAACUAUAAAUAUCACGCUCAUAAUGUAUGAUUUCAGCUUUAAUCAAUAAGAAUCUGUGAUUGUUCCAGAAACUUCAUAGUCAAAUUUUCUUUCUUAAUUUUCUUUCACUUUCUCUCGUGCCAAACACCUUAUUGAUUCAAAUAAAACUCCAUCCAAAGGCUCACGUUCCUCCACGUCUAUCACCAUGCAACCGUCGUCGUAAUGUGCUACCUUUGGUUACAUAGUAACCAUGUUAAAUUGGAUUUUCUAUAUGAUAUUAUCGUUAGCUUCAUUGUUUAAAUAUACCGUUAGUGAAAGAAUCGUUCGUGAUUAGGUACUUUACAACUACAACACGAUAAGCAAUCAAAGUUACAUGAAAGAAUCAGUAAUUAGUAGUUAGGUUAGAGGUGAAACGUGCAUGUUACAGGGAAGUAGAAAACAUGUCAAGUUGUUAUCAUAAAGUGAAUAUCCAAUUUAAGAAGAUAAUAACUGGAUUUUGAAUUCAAUUUCACUCUGUUUUAGUAGUAUGUAUUAUAUCUCACGAAUAUGAUAUCAGUGAAAAAUGUAUAAGUUAUGGGCUUUGAAUUUAUAUUAAUGCAUAUAUACUAGCUAUGAAAAUGACGAAUUCUAAACAGAUUUUGCUAUUUAACAAGUAAUUAAGAGGUCUAGCAAUCAAUUAAUAAAAAAGUAAUUCAAUAUAACAUUGCUACAAAGAAAUUAAACUAUAUAUAACAACUAUUUCAAUGAGACUAAUGAUAAUUAUAUCUAAGGUUUGAUCGAACAAACGGGCAAGAACAGCAAAAGCUAAUCUUAAUUUAGAAAUUUUUAUAAGGGGGGAGGAUUGUAAUAUACGCACUUGGACUUUCUUAAUAAAGUGCUGAUUUUUAUUUUCCUCUUCUCUAUUAAUUUUUAAUUUCGUCACUAUAGUUUAAUUGGGAUAAAUUGAGCUCGAUUAUACGCGCCGAUGGUCGGAUUUUAUUUUCGUAACGGGUCUGAAAUUCGCUUAAUUUGUAUUAAGCUUAAAAAAAAAAAAAAAAAAAAAAAAAAAAAGAGGGGCAGAAUUGUAUAACUGGAAAGAGGGAAACGGGUUUUCCAUUUUAGAGAGAAAGAACCCGAGAAGAGAGAGAAAGAUAGAGAGAGAAGUCAGACCCGUUGACCCGAGAACCCGACCCAGUAACCCGCGGAUUGACCCGACGAUUUCUCCCAACUCCAGCCACUUUACCGGCCGUGCUUGGUACCGAUCUGAAGCUUGGAAGCAGACCAUCGUAUCCCUGCUGUUAUCGUCGCCGGAAACUGGCCAGAACGCCGGUGAUCGAGCUCGAAAAGUCGCGGCUUCGACCCGUUUUCGUUGCCGUUGAUCCCGCCGGAGUUGUGACGCGCCACCACUUGGAACUGGUUCCUCACAUCCCCAGCAACAUUUCCCGACCAGCAACGACCGCCGGGGACGCCCGGAACUCGCCGAAUGAUCUCCGAAAAUUUGCGGAACUUUGGAACUUCGAUCCGCCGCCGGUAGCGCGCGUGGCGACUCACUGCCACCACCGUUGGAUUCAUCGAGGCCGGAACUAGCAGACCUAAGCUCCCCGUCAUCGUUGACUGAAGUCCGGUCACCGUUGACCGGCAGGGGCAAUUCGGUAAAUUCAUGAAACUUUGGGGUGAAUUUGUAAUUUUAUGUAAUCAGUGGACAUUUCGGUAAUUUUAUGCCCUGAGGGUAAUUUCGUAAUUUCGGACAAUGUGAUUAAUUUAUGUAAUCUGAAUUGAGGACAAUAUGGGUAUUAACGAAUAUGAGGAUAAUUUGGUAAAAUCAUGAAGUUUGAGGAUAAGUUGGUAAAAUAUUGAUGUUGGGGUAUUUUGGUAAUUUUGGCCUAUAGGGGCAUUUUGGUAAUUUUAUACAUGCGGGACUAGUUUAUCGUUAAUAGAUAUUUGUUUCGAGAUUUAUUAUAUUAAUUGGUUUUUACGGAGAAUAAUUAUGGUGUUUUCCGUGAUUAGGAGGAUCCGCAUCCGCGAACGAGAAUCUACCCGCGGACGUUGUUGAUACUGAGUCUAGACAUCAUCACUGUGAGUGGAAUAUACAAAACCUAUUUUCAUAGUAUAUGCUGAUUUUCUUAUAUAGUACAGUAUGUUUGAGAAAUAAAUGUUUAAUGCGUUGAUUUAAUGAUUUUCCAGCGAAUUGACUUUUAUUUAUGUGUUGAUAUUUAUUAUGAUUGAGAAUGAGUUCGAUUUAUGAUUUUAUUAGCGUUUUUGAGUAAAAGCAUGAUAUUAGAAUUGAGCAGACUUGAGAUAUGUUGAAUAGAAAGAAAAUGAGAUUUCAGAUGGGAUCAUAUGUUUACUAUCAGUUUUGAAAUCAUUAGACAGUACCCUUCCCUCCAGAUACAGAGAUACAGAUAAAAAGAGAUACAGAUAAGAGAUACAGAUAAGAUGAGAUAGAGGCCUUUGGGGCCCGUCGGGACACACAUAGAGGCUUUGGGCCGUGUGUUCGGGCGCUUUUGCCUUUUGGGGGCUUAUGCAUGCACAGUACAGAUAUAUGAGAUAAGAGAUAUGAGAUAUGAGAUGAGAUCGUCCCCAUCUAUCCGUUGUGGCUCCGGGGCGUGACGUUACCCAGAUAGUGCGUUAUUGCCUGGCCGUUGUAGCCCGGAUAUGAUCAGAUUAUCCCCUGGGUACUUGUUUGAUGACAGUUUUUAGUAUUCAGUAUUUAAUAUGAGUAUGGUGAUUCCAUCGAUUUUAUGCAGAUUUAUUAUUGCAGUUAUUCAAUUUGAAUUAAAUGAGUUUAUGAUAUUUUGAGAAAUUGAUUUGAGAAUUGAUUUACGAAAUUGAAAUUGAUUUAAGAAAAGAUUUGAGAAAGAUUAAAUGAUUUUGAAUAAUUUAUUAAAGUAUCAGCACCUACUAUCCACUCACUGAGCUCACUGAGUUUUAUACUCACCCCUCUUUUAUUAUAUUUUUCCCCCCACAGGAGAUUUACAGGUACAUCAGUCAACCCAGUAGUGAACGUUAGUUUGAUAUUGUGGUCACGUGAUGGUGCUAGAAGUCGUGGAUUUUAUUAUUAUAUUCGAAAUUUGUGUUAUUAUUUUAUGUUAUUAAGGAUAAUCGUUGUAUUUUAAUAUUCGGAUGAUUUUGGUGAUAUUUGAGAAGUUGGUUUGAGAAGUUGGUUAUGGAGGAUGUUUGGUUAUUAAAUUAUUUCGGGAGUGUUAUUUUGUCAAUUGCAGGGUUGGAUAUGUUUUAUUUAUAAGGGAGACUCUGCCGAAAUUUUUAUAGAUUUGUUAUUAAUUCGAUUUUACGAGUUUAGAUAGACUCGCCCUGGGGGAGGUUGCGGGGCGGGUCGUUUCAGUUGGUAUCAGAGCAUGGUUUUAGAUUCUGUAGACUUUAUGGUCGUAAAUAGAAUAAGUUUUGAUUAUUAAGUCGGAUUUACUAUUUUGUAGGCACCAUCAUAAUUAAAUUAGUUAGAAGUAAAAUUAUCUCUCUAGUAUUAUGCAAGGGUAGAAAUUUGGGUUGUACCAUGUUAUAAUUAUCAAGGAUAGUUUUGAUAGAAUUCUAAUUGUAAUAUAUGACUGUAUAAAAAAAAAAGAACAUUAAUGAAAGAUGUUUAGGUAAGGACUAUCUUGGAAUAGAAUUUUGAUUGUAAUAUAUCAAUAUAUAAAAAAAAAAUUUAUGAAAAAUGUUUAACAAGGACUGUUUUGAUAUUUUAAUGAGUAGUAAAAAUUAAUGUUAAAAUUUGAUAGAACAUAUAUAAAUAAUCCUAGCUCUAAUAAAAUUUUGCUACAUAAUUAGUUUAUCCCUUAAAGAAACAUAUCAAAAAAAUAUACAAAAACACAAUGCAUGAGUACAUGUCAAUCACAAAUGAAAGCAAUUAAGAUAAAGAAUAUGAUUUAUUUUAUUUUAUUUUAGUUAUUUUUUUGUUUCUUUUGAAACAAGACCAAUUAGAUCUGCAAGAAGUAAUUUUUUAAAAAAAUAAUAAAAAAAGGAGAAAUGAUGAAACCCACGUCCAAAGAUGCCGUUGUCGCGGAGGCCUAGAUCUCACUACACCCCAUCCCCUUCUACCAUAUUUUAUAAUUGAAGAGGCCAUUAUUGAAUUGAAAAAUUAUGAUUCAAAUAUCCAAAAGUAGAAAAAGAAAAGCAAUUGUUGGAAACACACUCGGAGUUUUAAAUUGACAUGAGAAAAGAAUAUAUUCAUCAACCUCAUACGUUAAUGAUGCGACGAGUUUAAGAAUAUAUUCCUAACGUGUGGGAAUUUAAAGACGUUACUACAAAACAUGUGUUCGUCGGUGGAGUAGAAUCAGGGAAAUUAAAGAUGCUACUACAACCACUAACGUGUGGGUGGAGAUAAGCAUAACUUUUUUCAUCAAAUGCCAAAUCCCCCCAGGUGGAGAGUGGGGACUCCUUCGCAUAAAUGUUGAUAAAAUUUUGACUAUGAUGUUAUUAGGAAUUAAGGGAAACUGUGGUGCAAUUGUGGUAUCGUGUCACAGUUGUAUUUGGUCGUUGGAUGUCAGUAGACCCUACCCAUAUAAGUGUAUCUAAUGGCUAAAUGUAAUUAUAACACGGUACCGCAAUUGCACCGUAGCCGAACCCUAAAAAUUAAGAUAUUCUCUCUCUACGUAUGCCUGCACGAAAUAAAUAAUAUGCAAAUAUAGUAUUUUAGUUUAUUAUUAAUAGUUUUACAAUAAUAAAAAUCAUUUUGAUAGACUGGAAAAUGUCAUAUUCGCAUUUUAUUUUGUACGGACGUCUGCGAGAAAGAACAUAUAUAUAUAUAUAUAUAUAGAGGAACGUGUAUUUAAGAUUUAGCUAGUGUGAAGUUGGGAAAUUUUUUUUUUGAACCCAGGCUAAAAUUAUUUCAAUAAAUUUUGAUCAUGGAGACUAAUAAGAUUUUUUUAGUUAUAUUUAUUAAUUUUUUAGGGACUAAUAAAUUUUGAUCAUGGAGACUAAUAAGAUUUUUUUAGUUAUAUUUAUUAAUUUUUUAGGGACUAACAUGAAUAUUAAUAAUUUUAUUGAGAUUAUUAAAAAAACAAUGUGCUAUUUUACAUCUAUGACUUUUCCAAUCUUUUUUUCUUUCGUUAUUUAUUCCUUUGUGAAUUUUAGUUAAUGCUUGAUAUUAUUUUUUUGCUCAUUUUUUAAAGCAGUAAUUAAAUCUGAACCCUUACAGUAGAAGAUUAUGAAAAAGUAAAGACACAAAAAUCAUAAAAAUCAUUAGUACGUCCAAAUUGUGCUAUUUUCAUACAUAACUUGAGAAUAUUUAUAAUUACGCAUCAGAACUAGUGGAGUAGAAUCAGGGAAAUUAAACAUUCUACAAUCAUUGACGUGUGGGGUGGGGAUAAGCAUAAACCUUUUCUAUGCAGUAUAAAAGAAUGCAAUAACUCCUUUUGUUUCAUAUCUUCGCAGCAAAAGCACAUCUAAUAACUCUUCAGAAUUCUCGUCUUCUUUGUCAGAAUGGUUGAUGCGAUCGUUUCCUCUCUCCUGGGGCAGCUGAGCUCUGUUGCGGCUGAUGAAGUGAAACAGCAGGUGAGGCUUGUGACUGGUGUCCGACAAGAAGUGACAAAGCUUACCAGCAAUCUUCGAGCCAUUCGAGCUGUGCUGGAAGAUGCAGAGAAAAGGCAAAUGCAGCGCGACAAUGCUGUUACUUUUUGGCUGGAUCAGCUCAAAGACGCAUCUUACGACAUGGAAGACGUGUUGGAGGAGUGGACCACUGCAAGGCUCAAAUUGCAGAUUGAAGGCGUUGAUGAUGACAAUGCUCUUGCUCUUGCUCCUCAUAAGAAGAAGGUACGCUCCUUCUUUUGUGCUGUAUCAAACUGGUUUGGUAGUUUCAAACAACUUAGUCUUCGUCAUGACAUUGCCGUCAAGAUUAGGGAAAUCAAUGGAAAGCUAGAUGGUGUUGCCUCCCAAAAAGAUACGUUUAAAUUUGUUGAGAAUGUGAGCAACAAUGUUAAGAAACCAGAGCGAGUGCGAACCACCUCCUUGAUUGAUGAGGGAGAGGUUUGCGGUAGAGUUGAUGAGAAAAAUGAGCUCUUAAACAAGUUGUGUGAAAGUAGUGAACAACAACAAGGCCUUCAUGUCAUCUCACUAGUUGGGUUAGGGGGUAUAGGUAAAACCACUCUUGCACAACUAGCCUAUACUAAUGAUGAUGUGAAAAGAAAUUUUGAAAAAGUUAUAUGGGUGUGUGUAUCAGACACUUUUGAGGAGAUUAGGGUCGCCAAAGCAAUCAUUGAAGGUCUAGGCAUGUCAGCUUCUGGUUUAAGCGAAUUCGAAUCUCUUGUGAAACAGAUUCAGGAAUAUAUUACGGGGAAGAAAUUUUUUCUUGUUUUAGAUGAUGUGUGGGAUGUAGAUUACAAAAAAUGGGACCCAUUCUUUUCUUGUCUAAAGAAUGGCCACCAUGAAAGUAAAAUUCUAAUUACCACACGUGAUAGGUCAGUUGCACUACAGUUGGGAUCAAUAGAUAUUAUCCCUGUCAAGGAGUUGGCUGAAGAGGAAUGCUGGUCGUUGCUCGAGCGGUUAGCAUUCUUCCGUCGUUCUGUUGAUGAUCAUGAAAAAUUAGAACCAAUCGGGCGAAAAAUUGCACACAAGUGCAAAGGCCUGCCUCUUGCUGCAAAGGUAAUAGGGAAUCUCUUGCGCUCUAAAAUUACAGUAAAAGAGUGGCAAAGAAUUUUAGAUAGUGAAAUGUGGAAAGUACAAGAGAUUGGGCAAGAUCUUUUGGCCCCUUUGUUGUUGAGUUAUAACGAUUUGCCCUCCAAUUCUAUGGUAAAACGGUGUUUCUCAUAUUGUGCUGUCUUUCCAAAAGACUACGAGAUGGAUAAAGAGGAGUUGAUUGAUCUGUGGAUGGCUCAAGGUUACCUUAAUGCAGAAGAAGACGAAGAGAUGGAGAUGAUUGGGGAAGAGUGUUUCAACAUUUUAGCAGCACGCUCUUUCUUUCAAGAGUUUGAGAAAAAUGAUGAUGAUGAUGAUAUUAGGAGUUGCAAGAUGCAUGACAUAGUACAUGAUUUUGCCCAAUUUGUAAGUAGAAAAGAAUGUUUGUGGGUAGAAAUGUAUGAUAACAAAGAAUCAGUCAUAAAGUCUUCUGGUGUCAAAGUCCGUCACUUAGGGUUAAAUUUUCAAAGAGGAGCUUCAUUUCCUACGUCCUUUUUUGAAUUUGAUAGAUUGCGUAGCCUCUUAAUUUAUGAUAGAAGUUAUUCCAAUCAGGUUCUUAAUAGUAAAUUGGCGUGUUUAAGGACAUUAGUUAUAAGGCAAUCGUUCCAAUAUUUUUAUCCUAUUUCUCUUGACUCAAAUGCGAUUAGAGAAAUUCCAGAAAAUGUUGGAAAAUUGAUACAUUUAAAAUAUCUUAAUUUGUCUAAAUUAGCCAUAGAGAUACUACCUGAGACUUUGUGUGAAUUAUAUAAUUUACAAAAGCUAGAUAUUAGGGAGUGCCGAUAUCUUAGGGAAUUGCCAGCGGGGAUUGGGAAGUUAAAGAACAUGAGAAGUUUACUGAAUGAUAAAACUUAUUCAUUGAAGUACAUGCCAAUAGGGAUUUCCAGAUUGACCAGCCUUCGAACAUUAGAAAAGUUUGUUGUGGGUGGAGGUGUUGAUGGUGGCAGCACGUGUAGGCUUGAAUCUCUGAAAAAUCUUCAACUCCUUCGUGAAUGUAGAGUAGAAAGGCUGAGUAAUGUAUCGCAUGUAGAUGAGGCUGAGAGGUUACAACUUUACAAUAAGAAAAACCUCCUUCGUUUGCGUCUUUGGUUUGGUGGAGUCGUAGAUGGGGAAGGCGAAGAAGGGAGGAGGAAGAAUAUUGAGAAAGAUAAACAACUUCUUGAAGCCUUACGACCGCCUUUGAAUUUAGAGGAAUUAGGGAUUGUAUCCUACCAAGGCAACAUUUUUCCCAAAUGGUUGACUUUGCUAACCAAUCUAAGGAAUUUAUUUCUUUCCUCGUGCGUUAACUGUGAGCAUUUGCCUCCUUUGGGAAAAUUGCCUCUGGAAAAACUCAAACUAUGGAAAUUAAAAAGUGUAAAAAGAGUGGGUAAUGAGUUUUUGGGAAUAGAAGAAAACAGUGAGGACGACCCAUCUUCAUCUUCAUCGUCAUCAUCAGUUAUUGCCUUCCCCAAAUUGAAAUCACUCGAAAUUUGGGACAUGGAGGAAUUGGAAGAGUGGAAUUACAGGAUUACGAGGAAGGAAAACAUCUCCAUCAUGCCCCGUCUUUCUUUCUUAAAAGUUGUUUUUUGCAACAAAUUAAAGGCGCUGCCGGAUUACCUUCUUCAAACGACGGCACUGCAGGAACUGCGUAUUUUUUCUUGUGAUCUUCUAGAAGAACUGCCCAUUCUAGAAGAUCGCAGGACAACAGACAUUCCACGUCUUUCUUCCUUGCGAAUUUCGGAUUGCCCCAAAUUAAAGGUGCUGCCGGAUUACCUUCUUCGGACGACGACGCUGCAGGAAUUGACUAUUGACGAAUGUCCCCUUCUGGAAAACCGUUAUAGAGAGGGGAAAGGAGAAGACUGGCAUAAGAUAUCUCACAUUCCCCACAUCGAGUGGUAAAUUCUCGAAUGGUUGCAAUUACUAUCACCCACCGGUAAUUUCUCACCUCUAUUUUACUUUGUUGUUACUUCAAACAACGACACUGCAAACAUUGACAAUUUGUACAUAUCAAUAAAAUGUACAAAGUUAAAAAUAUAGAAUGCAUUAGUACAUGUCAAUAACAAGACCAAUUAGAUUAUGGCAUUGCUUUAUUUUAUUUAUUUAUUUUUUUGAUUCUUUUGAAACAAGAUCAAUUAAUUAGAUCAUGCUAGAAGUUAAUUUUUUUUUUCAAAUGAAAAAGGAGCAGUCAUACAAAGUUUGAAUAUAAAAUUUAUAAUCUAAAACUAAUAAUGUGACAAUUAGCAUGUUAUUAACCUAUCUAAUAGAGUAGGAAGUCCCAAAUACAUCAUAUUCUGCUCCAGAAAUCCAUUCCACCUAGAAUACUUCUUUCUAUUGAAAUUAAUGAUGAUUUGUUUGUUUGCAUCAUGAAAGUUAAAAAUAAUUUUAUGAGUAAUUUGAUUCUUUACGGUACAAAAAAUAAAUUUGGAAAGUACUAAUUUCUCUCAUACUUUUUGGGCUAAAAAAUAAAUGUAACUCCAACAUAUUUAUUAUUUAAUGGUUCUAUAUAGAAUCAAUCGUGGUAUAAAUAUGUAAAACUUCCUAGUUAUCAAUUUUGUCUUGCAUAAUGAUAAUCGUUUUUUUUUAUAUAUAAUUUAUGUGACAUUAAUUCUUUAAAGUAAUUGUGGAAUUGUUUUUACUACAUUAGCCCUCUUUGUUUUAUUUCAUACGAGUUUAAUUAUGUUCACCAGGGAUUCGAGGAAAUGUCAGAACCACACUAGCAAUUCACAGGUCCAAUCUAAUUUGGUUUUAAUGAUGCAGGCAGGAGAGUAUGCUAAGAAAAUGAAAAGUUUAGCCAAAGGAUUGCUAAAAUGUUCUGCUGGUAAUUCACUUGCUUUAUUUUAUAGAAUUUCAUUUCCAUCUUCUUCUAUUGAUAUCUUGUUGUGAAUAAACAAGAACAGAGAAGUAAAGAUAUAUCAAAAUUAACUAUUACGAUGAUGCUAAAGCAAGCUCAAGCUCAAGCAUUGCAUUUUUAUUUUAUUUAAUUUAUAGAAUUUUCAUUUCCACCUGCAUUGCAUUUUUAUUUAUUUUUAGGUUGACUUUGAAUACUUCAUGGUGAAAAUGACGAGUUCAGCCAAAGGAUUGCUAAAUGUUCUGCUGGUAAUUCACUUGCUUUAUUUUAUAGAAUUUCAUUUCCAUCUUCUUCUAUUGAAUCUUGUUGUGAAUAAAGAAGAACAGGUAAGUAAAUGAUUGAACCACAGAGAAGUAAAGGUGUAUCAAAAUUCGCUAUUAUGAUGAUGUUAAAGCAAGCUCAAGCACAAGCAUUGCACUUUAUAUUUUAUUUAGUUAAUAGAAUUUUCAUUUCCACCUGCAUUUCAUUUUUAGGUUGACUUUGAAGACUCUAUGGAGAACAUUGGGGUAACCAAGGAUUAUCACUGUGGUUAUUGUGCAACGUUUGGUUGCUGGACUUUGAAGAAGGAAGUGAUGGCCGGGUCUGCUCUGUUUCAAUUGAGGAUGGAUAGCUGCCUGAAAGACAUGAUGAUUAUUAUUGUGUGAUGUUAAGGUGCUGAGAUCAUCAUUGCUAUCUUGUUUCAUUCUUGGAAUCAUUUAUCCUGUAUAAACAUUUGUUUUAACAAAUGUUUCAAUGGCUGCUGUAGUAACAAUUUCAUAUCUUGCAUCUCUCGGGUGCAUCAUGAUCACGGGUUUGAGAAAGCAUUUGUGGUAAAGCUUCAAAGCUUGUACAAUGGCUGUGAAAAGGCACAUUCAAUUCGGUACGUUUGGUGCGGUCUCCUAAUGCUACUACCAUAUUUUGUAUAGCAAUUAAAAUUCAGGUAUACAAUCUUAAUAUGCAAUAAAUCAUUGAGUACAAAGUUAUCUAUUAAUUAUAUGGUAACUGAAAUUUUCAUUAUAAUUUUAAUUAUCAUAUUAAUAUUAAAGUUUUUUGUAACCCUCUUUUACUUUGCUUGUACAGAGUAUCUGUUUUGGCUGAUAUGUCUAAUUCGUAGCAAUUCAUUUCCAUCGGUUUCCAUUGGUUUUAGCACAAACAGAAACAAAAAUCUGGGGAAAAAGUUUUACUUCUUGUGGUAUUAUGCCUUUAUUUAUUCAUUCAUCAUAUUUGUUCGAAUUCAUGCUCUCAUUCAGAGAGCAGCCUUUUCCAGGCUACUUUGUAGCCAAAUUUUCAUGCCAUCGAUGCAUGAUUGUCAUUUAGAUUUUCCAAAUAAUUGUUAGAUUGAAGAAGAAUAAGAAGAUAUUGUUAAAAGGGUAUUUAAUUAGCACCCUCUGAAUUUAGUUGCCAAUAAUGCAUUGAAAUGGUUGGGGAAAGUUAUUGUCUCACUUAAAUUACAGGUGAUAAGAUGCUGCUCCAAUUUUGCAAGCAUCUCGUGUUGCGAAGAUUUUGCCCACAUGAGAUGUUAUGAUUUUUGACAUCAGGGUAACACAGGUCAAAUUUUAGCAUCAAUAGAUAUCAUCUUCUUUACUGUUCUGCUCGAAAUAUUAAACUUUAGGCAAGUUGUUUUUGGUUGUGUGAGUUAUCAGGUUAAGGAUACUAAGCAGCUUAUUAAGGCAAAUGUCAGAAUGCAGAUUGCUCACCACACCUGGUAUGCAUGAUGGCCAGGAAGAUUAAUUGUUCACAAGCCAAUUUGAUCAGUGUUAGAUUUUUUUCCUCCUUUCGAGGGACAUCAUCAUCAAAUUUGAGUAGAGAAUCUUUGAAGGGAAUUUUGUUGUAAGAGUUUCACAGUAGUGAAUUCUAGAAGCUCGAACUCACUUGAGUGAGAUAUUAGGGAGUAUUGGGGAUUUGGGUUAUGAGUAAUCAUUAUCCUUCCAAUAUGUGUAAGCACUCACUUGUUAGUAAAAUCAUCUUCGUAUAUUGACUAUGUUUCUUUGUUAUCAGGUAGAGUGUGAUCUUCAAGGGUUUGAGAAAGUCCUUGCAGUAAAGUUUCCACCACAAGUAAUUGCUCAGUUUCAGAUUUUCUAGGCGUUUAAUUAGUUUCGAUUAUAAUAUUUAGUCACUCAUUCUGAAUCUUUUCUAAUUUUCAAGUUCCUUAGGGUCACAAUCAUUUUUUCAAGUCUGCUGUGGCUGCAAAAAGAUUGUUGGUCAUAAAAUUAUCUUGACCCUUGAGCCAUUGCGUUUGAGCACAAACAGAAACAGAGCUAAAGGAAAAGAACUUGACGCAAGAAGAUGCUCUGAAUAUAACAAAAGUAUAUUUCUACUUCUUGUGGUUAUUUACUUUUGUUUCUCCUGUCAGCAUAUUUGAUUAAUUCGUUCGAAUUCACACUCUCACACAUUAUUUAAAACCAUUUGUAGGUGGCUUGCAAGCUAAUUAAGUUAAUGCAGAAGCAAUACUCUAGACUUUAGUGAAGUUGUUUUUGUUUGUGUAAGUUAUCAGGUUAAGGAUACUAAGCAGCUUAUUAAGGCAAAUGUCAGAAUGAAGAUUGUUCACCGCACCUGGUAUGAAUGAUGGCGAGGAAGAUUAAUUGUUCACAAGCCAAUUUGAUCAGUAUUAGAUUCUUUUGCCUCCCUUCGAGAGAUAUCAUCAUCAAAUUUGAGAAGAGAGUUUUGUUUUGACAUUUCACUGUAGUGAAUUUUGGGAGCUUGAACCCACUUCAGUGAAAUAUUAGGGAAUACUGGGGAUAUGGGUUAUGAGUGAUCGUUAUCCUUCAAAUAUUUGUAAGCUCUCACUUGUUAGUAAAACCAUCUUCGUAUAUUGACUUUGUUUCUUUGUUGUCCGGCCGAGUGUGAUCUUCAAGGUUUGAGAAAGUCUUCGCAGUAAAAUUUCCACCACGUGCAAUUGCAGUGAAGGGGCAUAUACAUUUGAGUAAUUCAGUUUCAGAUUUUCAAGGCGCGUUUGUUUAAUUAGUUUCGAUUAUAAUAUUUAGUCACUCAUUCUGAAUCUUUUCUAAUUUUCAAGUUCUUUAGGGCCGCCAACAGUUUUUCAUGUCUACAUGUGGCUGCAAAAAGAUUGAUGGUCAUCAAAUUAUCUUGAGCCUCGAGGCAUUGCAUUCGAGCACAAAGGGAAACAGAGCUAAGGGAAAUGAAGACAGUAGGAGAUGCUCUGAAUAUAACAAAAGUAUAUUUCUACUUGUGGUUAUUUUAAUUUUGUUUCUCCUGUCAUCAUAUUUAAUUAAUUCGUUUGAAUUCACACUCUCACACAUUAUUUAAAACCAUCUGCAGGUGAUAGAAUAUGGGAGACGUUGUUAAUGGAAAAACAGUACUCUAGACAAAGAUGAGCAAAUUGAAGGCGACAAAUGCAAAUUGGAUUUCCAUGAAUAAUUGUUAGGCUGGUGGAGAUAUUCUUAAAAGGGCAUUAAGCUAUCUUAUGGAAUUGGAAAGUUAUUAUUACUUGAAAGCAAGCAGCAUCUUCGUUGCGAAGGCUUUCCCCACUUGAUAAGAUGCUGAGAUUGUUAUCGGCCCCUUAAUUAUUUAUUAACUCAGGU